GGAAAUGGGCUAAGCUUAAAUGGGAGUCCAUGGAUCGUCCAUGGAGCUUUUAACCCAUGGAUCCUUGGAAGAGGAAAAGAGAUGGGUUAUUAGGGUUUACCCUAAUCAUCCAAACUAUAUAAAGAGGCUUGUGAUGCAUGAAAUGACACUAAGUGUGUGUGCAUAAGAGUGGCCAAUUUCUAGAAGCUAGACAUACUCUCUCAUAAAGGUUUCCAAGUUUGUGGUGUUUUGUGAUUUCCAUUUGAGGCAUUCACAUUAUUGGUGCUUGGCUCUCAAAAUCCAAAGGAAUCAACUCACAAUCAAAGGUAUGUAACUCUUCUAAUUCUUUUAUGUUUAAAAGUACCCCAUGCCAUGCUAGAUAGGUUAUGGACCUUGGAAAAAUUAUUUUGCCUGUAUCAUAGUCAAACAUAGAUCCAGGGUUUCUAGGGUUGCAUGAGCACCUUAAGAGUGUUAGUUUGCUCAAAACCCAACAGUGGUAUUGGAGCCUAGGCUUGCUUGCUUGAUAUUUGUUGCAAAAUAGUGAAAAAAAAGUCUAUUUUCUUGCUGUCUGCAACAUGAACUCGCCGAGUCCAUGAGGGGACUCGCCGAGUCCAUGACUAAAUUCAUCCUAGUCGUCGAGUAGGUUCAUGUACUUGACGAGUAGAAGCCUCAGAAUGCAAAUUUUCAACUUUUGCUGCUGGAAAUGGACUAGAAACAUUACCCUAAACUGUUUUGGUGAUUUAAAACUUAUCAUAGAUGGUGUAAUGUUUAUGCUAAUCCAUUUACAAUGGCUUAUAUCAAAAUUCCAUGCUUUGUAUGUGCUUAUAUGAUUCUUGAAGUUUUGAUAUUCAUGUUCAUGUUCUUAUGAGGUUAGAAAGUGAUAGAAAUUAUUUGCUAAAUUGUGUUUAAUUCUUGAUCAUUUAUGUGUUUUAAUGGAGUCCAUAAUUUGUCCUCAAGUUAUGGAUUUCCAAAGGUCAUUUUCUUUAAACACGCAUUUGAAACACAUAAGUUACAUAAAAAUGAAGAGUCUUCAUUUUAUAAAUCAUUAACUCAUAAGUUAUGAAAUGAAGAGUUUUGAAAAGUUUCAAAACUUGUCCUCAAGUUUUGGUAUUUGUAAAGUUGCACAAACUUUAAUAAACUUUAAUUCCAACCCUUGGAGUUUUAAAAGUUAAAAUUCAACCCUUAUACUAUUAUAACAUUAAUGGUUAAUUAUUAUCUAUAUGUAUAAGAUUAAGUUGUUUUAGCGUUAGUAGGCCUCAUUCAAGAAGCCAGUUUAUAAGGGGGGGGGGGGGGGGGGACGNGGGGUAUAAGGUUGUUGCCUAUAAAUGGCAGCUUAAUGGGUGUCCAUUCUCACCCACCGCUUCCUUGAUCGGUGGAGGGUCGUUAGCCGAACGGGUAGAAAAAUCACUUUAAAUUCUCAAUAAUAGUAUGAUGAAUAUUAUAAAUUAACUAGACCUUUUAUAAAUUCCCAAUCAUAGUUACUUUAGGAAAAUGUGAACAUGGUGCUAACCCAUGAAAUUCACACUUUGUACUUUACCAAGUCAGUGCUGGAGCGUGUGUGGGUUACCGGCACACUAAUUUGGACUAGUAAGGAUAAAAAAAGGGUAACUUAAUGUUUAUCAUAGAUCGGUGGAGCAUGUGUGGGUUACCGGCACAUCGAUUAAGUGAUAAUAUUAAGGGUACCAAGUGAGUUUGCAUGGUUAUUCACACAUUGUUUUGUGAUCCCCGGCAUCCCAGUCACAAAACUUGAAGGGCACAAUCAAGAUUGAAACAUGCCAUUGAAAAGUUCAAUGAAUCUCUAAAGAAUCUAGGAAUUUCUUGAACCAAUUAAACCUAAUACCUAAUUUCGUUUUCGUGGUGGAAAUUAGUGAAUCGUCAUUCACCUACCUUCAAAUAUGUUAUAACUUAGAUUACGGUAUCCCUCUUCUAAUUUAUAAUAUAUUGUGAUGGAUCCUAGCCUUAAUAUUAAAUUUGGGUGUCUUAUUAAGGACUCUAUAUAUCUAAUCUAAACAUGUCCUUCUUAUUUUCAGAUGUCUUCCAACAACAAUGCUUCGGGCUCUAACCCUACCGGCUCCUUCUCUCUCAUGAACCUUUGUGGGAGAGUCAUCUUUGAUGGUUUAAAAUUCAAUGAUUGGAUAAGAAACAUCAGGAUGGUCACACGCUACAAGGACAAGGAAUAUGUCCUUGGCAAGGAGCUCAGGGAACUCGAUGAGUCCACUGCUACUCCUCAGGAGAUCGCUGACUUUAGGGCUCAUGAGAGAGAUGCCACUAAGGUGGCAUGCAUCAUGAUGGCCACUAUGAAAGCCGAACUCCAGAAGUUCUAUGAGGACUUCUACCCUGUUGAGAUGCAACAGGAUUUGAUGGACCGCUACCAUCAAAGUGCCCGUCAAGAGCAGUAUGAGAUUAUCUCCUUGAUGGUAACAACUAGAAUGAAGGAUUGUGAACCCAUCACGACCUACAUGCAGAAGAUGCAAUGAUCUGUGGACCGUCUACUGAAACUGAAUGUGAACUUCCCCGAGGAGUUGGUAAUUGACAUCAUUUUGCACUCCUUACCUCCUUGUUGUCACCAAUUUAGACUGACCUACCACAUGAACAAGGAGGAGGUCACACUCAGCAAGCUUCAGGGACUCUUAAAGACCGCCGAAAGUGGUCUUAGGUAUGAAGAAGUGAGGAUAUGGAGCACAGGAAGAUAAACCUGAAUAUGGGAAAUAGGAAGGCUUCACUUGUUUCCAAGAUUGGAGUUUAUACCUUGAUGCUAAGUAGUGGGUUAAAGUUAGAUUUGAAUAAAUGUGUGUACUCGUCCGAAAUGGCGAGAAAUAUUAUUUCUUUUUAUGGUUUGUACAAACAAGGUUUUACCUUUUUGUUUGAUAAUGAAUGUGGUGGUAUUAAUGCUUUCAUUAAUAAUGUUAUUUAUUUUAAAGCAUUGCCAUGUGAUGGUGUGUAUGAAACUGUGUCGGUUGUAGACAACCUAGGAAAUAAUGUGUUGUGUAUUGAUUCGUCUACUAGCUUGGAUAAGGCAUCAUUGUGGCAUUGUCUUCUUGGACAUGUAAACAAGAAACGCAUAGGCCAACUCCAAAAGGAUGGAGUCUUGGAGUCAUUUGAACUGAAGUCAGAUGAUAGUAGUGAGUCUUGUUUGCUUGGAAAAAUGACAAAAUCACCCUUCACUGGUACUUUUGCAAGGGGUGAGGGUUUGUUGGACCUUAUACAUACUGAUGUAUGUGGACCAUUUAAAACCGCCAUAAGGGAUGCUAACCGCUAUUAUGUGACUUUUACUGAUGAUUACAGUAGAUAUGGUUAUGUCUACUUAAUCAAGCAUAAGUCAUAGACCAUUGAAAAGUUUAAAGAGUUUAAACAGGAAGUAGGGAAUCAAUUGGGAAGGAACAUUAAGAUGCUAUGAUCUGAUCAAGGUGGCGAGUAUCUUAGUACUGAGUUCCUUGACUAUAUUAAGGAAUGUGGGAUUGUCUCACAAUUGACACCUCCCAGGACACCAUAACUGAAUGGUGUAGUUGAAAGGCAUAAUCGGACCUUGUUGGACAUGGUUUGUUCCAUAAUGAGUUGAGUUUCGUUACCAAUAUCUUUUUGGGGGUAUGCCUUAGAGACUGCCACCGACAUCCUUAAUCUAGUCCCUACUAAGAAGGUUACCAAAACACCUCACGAGAUGUGGACAGGGAAAGUUCCCAAUUUAGAUCAUGUCAAGAUUUGGGGUUGUGAGGCUUUUGUGAGACGCGAGAAUUAGGAUAAGCUCGAACCUCGAAGUGAGAGGUGUAUUUUCAUCGGCUACCCACGCAGUUCUUUUGGUUACCUCUUCUACAAACCUAGUGAGAAUGUGGUCUUUGUGUCAAGAAGAGGAGUCUUGAGAGAGAGAGAGAGAGAGAGAGAGAGAGAGAGAGAGAGAGAGAAUUUAUAAGCCAAGGAAACAGUGGGAGGCAAAUUGAUCUUGAACAAAUUUAAGAGUCAAGUGGUGAAGGAACCUCAGACACUAGCAAUUAACCUGAGGAGGAAACUCUUGUUGAACCAGCUGAUGAGUUUGUACCUCCAAGGCGUUCCACAAGGGUUAGGAACACGCCUGAUUUCUAUUAUGGAUUCCAUAUUACUAUGGAAGGUGAUACGUUUAUCCGUGAUAGUACACUAGUAAAUUUCGAUGAACCUAACAGUUUUAAGGAAGCCAUGGCAGGCCCAGAGUCUGCUAAAUGGAAGGAGGACAUGUACAGCGAGAUACAGUCCGUGUAUGACAAUCAAGUUUGGAACUUGGUUGACAAUGUACCAGGCCGUAAGACAGUCGGGUGCGAAUGGAUCUUCAAGAAGAAGACCAACAUGGAUGGAAAGGUGAACACUUACAAAGCACGACUGGUUGCAAAAGGUUUUACUCAAACUCAGGGUAUUUAUUAUGAUGAAACCUUCUCACCAGUAGCAAACAUUAAGUACAUUAGGAUUAUGCUGGCCAUUGUUGCAUUUCAUGAUUAUGAAAUAUGGCAAAUGGAUGUCAAAACCGCUUUCCUUAAUGGGAAGCUGGCUGAGGAUGUUUACAUGGUUUAGCCAGAGGGUUUCGUUGGUCCAGAAUAUCCUAAUAGGAUGUGCAAGCUUGAGAGAUCUAUUUAUGGAUUGAAACAAGCAUCUCGCAGCUAGAAUCUUUGUUUUGAUGAAAAGGUCAAAGAGUUUGGUUUCUCGAGAAGCAAAGAUGAAUCCUGCGUGUAUGUCAGAGCUAGUGGGAGUAUAGUCAGCUUUUUGGUAUUGUAUGUGGAUGACAUACUACUCAUAGGAAAUGAUGUCCCAACUUUGCAGGAAGUAAAGUCCUGGCUUGGGAAGUGCUUUUCUAUGAAGGACCUUGGGGAGGCUGCCUAUAUCCUAGGGAUAAGGAAAUUAUGAGAAAGUAGUAAAAGACUAAUUGGACUUAGUCAGAGUACUUACUUGGAUAAACUGUUGAAAAGAUUGAACAUGCAGAAUUCCAAGAAAGGAGAUUUACCGAUCCAAAGAAAUGCCAAACUAAGUAAGACUCAGAGUCCGAGUACAGAGGAAGAGAUAACUGAGACAAGUCAAGUACAGUAUGCUUCCGCUGUUGGCUCAAUCAUGUAUGUUAUGACUUGUACUCGCCCUGAUGUGGCUUUUGCUUUGAGCAUGGUCAGUAGAUAUCAGGGGAAUCCUAGAAAGGCUCAUUGGACUGCGGUAAAGAAUAUUCUCAAGUACCUACGACGGACUAAGGAUUGGAUCCUUACCCUUGGUGGGAGUGAUGACUUGAGGGUAAUGGGGUAUAGUGAUGCUAGCUUUCAAACUGACAGGGAUAACUUCCGUUCUCAGUCGGGCUGGAUCUUUACCCUAAAUGGAGGGUCAAUCACUUGGAAGAUUUCUAAACACGAGAUGGUAGCUGAUUCAACUUGUGAAUCAGAGUACAUAGAAGCAAGUGAAGCGGCAAAGGAGGCAAUAUGGCUGAAGAACUUCAUCGAAGAUCUUGGAAUUGUACCGACUAUUAUGGAGCCUAUGGAGAUUUUCUGUGACAGCAAUAGUGUGGUUGCCUUAGCCAAGGAACCAAGAGAUCAUGGAAGGUCCCGACACAUUGACAGAAAAUAUCACUUCAUAAGACACAAGAUAAAGAAGGACUCCUCGUGGCAAAGAGGGUAUCGUCAAAUGAGAACCCUGAGGAUUUCUAAAAGCUAGACAUACUCUCUCAUAAAGUUUUCCAAGUUUGUGGUGUUUUGUGAUUUCCAUUUGAGGUAUUCAGAUUAUUGGUGCUUGGCUCUCAAACUCCAAAGGAAUCAACUCACAAUGAAUGGUAUGUAACUCUUCUAAUUCUUUUAUCUUUAAAAGUACCCCAUGCCAUGCUAGAUAGGUUAUGAACCUUGGAAAAAUUAUUUUGCAUGUAUCAUAGCCAAACAUAGAUCCAAGGUUUCUAGGGUUGCAUGAACACCUUAGGAGUGUUAGUUUGCUCAAAACCCAACAGUUUUGUGUGUGUGUUGAUGUAUAUGAUGUGCAUAAACUAGUCAAUGACCAUUAUGCUUGUUAUGUUGUUCUGUUGGUUGUUUUAUAAAAUGGUUGUAAUAAUUUAUUUAUUCAUAUGGUAUACAAUAAAUUAAAUAGAUUAGUUUUCUUGUUUACUUUUGUAAAAUAAUAGAUUAGUUUUUAGAAAUAAUUCAUUUGUAUAAAAUGUAACUAGAAAUAAAGUUGGAACCAUUUUUGAUGACAAAAGAGCAAUUUCCAAGUCUAAAAGGUGUGCAGGAUUUUCAGUGACAUUUUCUAAAAAGUGUCACUAAUGCUGUUUACCAAAGGUUGUUGGCUUUUAGCGAUAGUUGUCGAAUUUUAGCCUUCAAGAAGUUUUUCCAAUAUUUUGCAAGCAAAUGGUAUUUACACAAGUGGAAGCUUCUUCAACAACAUUACAAGAAGAUGUUUUGGUCCCCUUAAAUGUUCCUUUAGGAAUGGACUUGGUAUCUUUUGUGUUGGCUCACAAAAAUGUCAUUAGUUGGUUAUGUUUAUGUACAUAUCUUUUUAUGCAUGUUUUUGUGUUUUUAUUUUAUGCAUUAUUUUGUGUGGUUGAUUAAAUUAGUUUUUCACGUGCUAAAAUAAUUUUGGACAAAAUAAACAUGACAUGGAGUUUGGGCUUUAAAAAUUGGACAUAAGAUGUAACAAGUUAUUAUUUUUUUAAUAAAACCCGAUUUUAUAAAUCGUUAUAAAGGCAAAUUUUGAAAUACUCCAUUAUAAGUUUUAAAAUGGUGAUUUUUGUAACUUAUACAAACUCCAUAUGUAUAAGUAAUAAAAUGAAGUUUUAUUAGAGAUAUAAAAGGUUAAAAUGCACUCAAAAUUAAUAUCGGUUAUAAAAAUUGAAUUGCAUCAAAUUAUAUAAAAACUAGCUUUUUAUAUAGAACCUUUAAAAGUAAUUUUUUUAAAAAAAAUUGAUACAAUGGUUUAUUAUAUGAUUGUAAUAACCAUGAUAUCAUAUGUUUUUAAACUAGAAUUUAAAAACAUAUAAAUCCCCUUAUUUUACUAACCUCAAAUCUAUGCAAUCCUUUUGAAAAAUACCCACACAUCUCUUGUAUGCACUGGUGAGAUAAAGGAUACCUAACCGCUUUGUGUCAUCUUUUGAUGGUCGGGGUGUCUUUGCGAUCUCUAUAACCAAGUUAUAGGCCGAUUACACAAGUAUUUCAAUUGGACGAUUUGAUCAGAAAUAUUUUGUGAUAAAGGAUACCUAAGCAAGAGAGUUCCGAGACAUAGAUCUGAUCAAACAUGUCUAAUUAGCUUUGUUAUUAGCGUUCCCAUAAAUCUAGGAAUUAUAUAGUAUAAUAUAAUUGAUAAUCGAUAUCUAUUGACUUGAAUUCAAAUAGAUGGGACAACGGAUACCUAACAAUUUAUUUGUUUUGCAACUUAGAUCCUAGACUUUGAUAAUUAACUUUUUUUGGAAUAAUCCAUUGUCAUUUUCUUUAAUGACUUAAUGAAACAAUAAAAUUCAAUAGAUACGACUUCAAUGAAUAAGUUCAUGUCUUAAGAGACAGUCUUGUGAGAGAUAUGAAAUUGUAUACACUUAAAGGUCCUUGUCAUAAACUAUUUGCUUUGAGCAAUACACCUGGACAUGAUACCUAGUAAAUGCAUCACUGUGAUGCUAAAGAUGCUAAUAACAUCAAGCAAGGAAUAAUUAGUCAUGACUUCUAGGAAGUGUUAGAUAAUUUAAACAUAUAUCUAAUUAUAUGACAGGUCAAGCAAUAUUUCCAUAAAUACAGUGAUAUUUUAUUCAAAGCUACUUUAAACGUUGGAAUAAUGCAAGGCUAAAAUAAUCACCCUGUGUGAUCCAGGAGGCCUAUGUUUUAUGGACUUAACACCUUUAAGCCCAACAAAUUUUCUAAAGUCCACAUAGAUGGAUCUUAUUUCUUUUGUGAAGAAACUAGACACUGGAAGAGGAUUUACUCCUCUUAUUUGGAAAGAAAGUUUGGAAGAGACUAGUACUUCUAUUAUUUGCUAGAUAGAACUCAUAUUUUUCAUAUAACAUUUAGGUACUUCAUACUUAAAUGUUAAUCUAAUAUUUGUAAAUGGGUUGGAAAUAUUUAUUAAAGAGUAACCAAGCUAAGCACAACCAAGUUGGAACUACACUCUCGGAGUUUAUUUUAUUAGUUAUGCUUAGAACAUAAAUUACUUGUAAUGUAAAACAAUACUUAUUUUGGAACAAUGUAUGUUUUAAUUUAGCAAGUCUAAAUUUAUGUCUCGGUUAUUUUAUUCAAAUGUUUGAUCAUUUACUUAAUCGUUUUCAUAAUGAUGAUAUUUAUAUUCUGAAAUGUUUAACUUCUAUUUAUGAGACUAGAUCUCUUAAUAGAAUUAUAAAGUAAAUAUCAACAUUUUUUUAAAUAAAAUUAAUAUCUAUAUGUAAGCACUUUUUAAAUUAAACUUGUUUUAAAUCAAACUCAUCUUUGACAUUGUUAUCUUUAUUAUAUAAAUGACACACAUAUUCCAACUUCAAGAAAGGGAUCUUUGAAGACAAAUAGUGUCGUUUAUUUAACAUAUGUCAACCUUAUUUAUAUGUAAAGGAUUCCUAACGAUAUUUUCACUAAGGUGUAAAGAAAAUAGUUAAGGAACUAUACACUUUGGUGUAUGACUUCCUUUCUAAUGAAUGUUUGAGACUAAGCACAAGAUACCAAAUCAACUUUGUUAAUAACUAUAUUAGUUUUAAUUAUAUUUACCUGGUAAAGUAUAAUUGUGAAAUCUUUUUUGAAUGUUUCAAAAGUUGAGAUACAAACCUGUAAGAACCAUCUAAGGCCUUAAUGAUAAUAAAGGAUGAAUUAAAUCUUACUUGGUAUGAUUUACUUUCUAAUCGGUAGAAAUAUCCUCCUUUAAUCUUUUUGGGAUAAUACUUCAAUCACUAUUAACUGUAUCUUGAAUACAAAUACCAAUUAAUAAGUGGAUUAGACAGUUCAUAAGAUAUUGAAUGGAAGGGCUCCAUCCAUAUCUUAUUAAAUAUUUUAUGGAUUUUAAGCAUAUGUUGGACUAAAGCUUUUAAACCUAAAAUCUACUAAAUACAUAUUUGUAUAAUACUCUACAUGUGGAUUAGAUUAUUAAAUGCAAAACCCACCUAGAAUAGGUUCUCUUAUUCUUGUGAAACCUAAGUUUGUAGAAAGCAAGUUUCUAAUGACAAACUAAGUGGGAGGUACAUGAAACUUGAAGCAGCUCAAGAACCAUAACCUUAUGUAGUAAUAGUUGGCACUAGUUUUAACAAGGAUUAUUAAAGUUGAAUAAUAGAUAUUCACAAACACAAAUUGUUCGCCUUAAUGGUAGAAAUCAUCUAUGACUUGAGAAAUAUGGAAUCUCUCAUUGAUAAGCUUUUAUUAAUGUUUUCUGGAAAAUCCAUCAAAUACCAAGAUGCUAUGUCAAAUCUCAAAUCUGAUAAAUGACUUAGAGUCAUGAACAUUAGAUGUAAUCCAUGUAUGAGAAUCAAGUACGAGUUUGAUUAUAAUUUGUCCAUAUAGAAAGGCUAGAAGGAGAAAAUGAUUCUUCUAGAAAGAAUAAAUUACAUGGAUAACCAUACACACUUAAAGCAAGACUUGUAGUAAAAGGAUUCUCUAAUAAUCAUGUCAUUGACUAUGGUCCUCAUGAUACUCAUGACAUUGACUAUGAUCAAACCUUUUCACAAGUAGCUAUCACUAGAUCAAUAAGGAUAUUGUUUACUCUAAAUUCAUAUUCUUAAGAGUAAAUUACACGAAUGGUCCUUAUGGUUUGGGGUAAUUUGCACGCUUGAUCCCUAACUUAUUUUUUUAACUCGGAAGGUCCCUACUGUUUGUUUUUGUUACACGCUUGGUCCCUAGAGUUUGUUUUUGUUACACGCUUGGUCCCUAUAGUUUUUUUUGUUGCACGCUUGGUCCUUAUCUUACCUAAAAAGACUACUAUUUAAAUAGGGAAAAAUGGUGAGGUAGGUAAGGUAAUGUGAGGUGGGUAAGGUUGGGGGUGUGUUUAUUUAAAAAAAAAUUAAAAAAUCAAGGGCAUAAUAAUCUUUUUAGGAAAGACAGGGACCAAGUGUGUAACAAAAACAAAUAGUAGGGACCUUUCGAGUUAAAAAAUUAAGUUAGGGACCAAACGUGCAAAUUACUCUAAACCAUAGGGACCAUUCGAGUAAUUUACUCUAUUCUUAAUAUGAGAUAUAGUAAAUAGAUUUCAAGAAAGACUGCUUUUUCUUAAUAGACAUCUACUAGAAGAUAUCUAUAUAGAUUAUCUUGGAGGUUUUCUUCAUCCAUGUUAUCCUAACAAAAUGAGUAGAGCUUGAGAUCCAAUUGUGGAUAUAAAGCAAACAUCUCAGUGUUGCAAUCAUCACUUUAAUGUAAAACCACAAGGUAUGUUUUUAUAUCAAAAUGAAUAGAACAUCUGUGUUUACUAAGAAUUAUUGGGAGCAUAGUGAAACUCCUAAUCUUGUAUGAAUAAGACAUACUUAAUCAUUUGAAAUCAUUUUCUGUCUUAGCAAGGUUGUUUUCACCUUGACUCAGAAAUUUUUUCUCAAAUGAAAGACUUGGGAAGGAGAAGACACAUUCUUGGAAUGUAAAAUCUAUAAGUGAUAUAUAAAAUGAAUGUUAAAAGUUUCAUGUCCUUAUACAUAUAUCGGUGAUAUCAUGAAAGGAAUCAAGACAUAAUAUUCUUUUGGAGAAUUCUUGGCAUUGUCAUAUGAUAUGUGACAACCCGAUAUUUCGAGUCAAUGUAAUGACCUAAGUCAAGUAUUGUAAUCUAUUUUUAAAUUAAUAAAAAAAAGUUAGCAACAGAAAUGAAAUGUUCAAAAAUCUCAAUUGGGAUACAUAAAAUGAUAGAUAUCGUGUCAAGGUUUUCAGAAAUAUAAAGAACACUCAAAUCAAAGUUAUAAUGAGGAAGUUAUGACAAUUCAAAUAUCCGCGUCAAAACCGCUAAAGCAAAGUUACGUGUGAAAAGCGAAAUUUCAAUAAAAUACUUUUUAGCCUUAGGAAUCUAAACAAAAGUCUUGUAUUAGGUUAAACCAUGAACGUACAUAAAAAGAACGUCCAAAUCUGACUUCGUAUGAGGAACUUAUGAUUUUUCUAAGUUUCGGAAUAGUAGUAGACAGCUAAAAACUCGAAAUUAAGAUCAAGCGAUAUUUAGCCGACAUAACCUAUACGACAAUUGAAAAAAUCGACAAUAGUAGUACAAUAGUAAAAAAACAUACGAAAACGGACGUCACAUGAAGAAGUUAUGAUUUUUUAACGGACAUUUCCUGUCCUAGCCUAUUAAAAAUAUAAAAUUAAAAAUAAAUUUGAAAUUUGCUGAUGAAGUCUAAACGAAAGCUGUAGAGUAUAAUCUCAACUACGCGUGGAUAUAGAGAACAUCAAACCGGAGCUCGUAUGCGAAAGUUACAGAUUUUUAAAGAUUGGGGCAUGCAUUGUGAGGCUGGUCCGAAGAGGAACACCCCGUGUUCGCAGCACAUGGCCUCGGAUCGAUCACGUCUCCCCUAUAGCCUUCUAGCCCGUCCCAUUUAAAGUCUGGUAUCCGACGGUGACGUCAUGCCUAACGAACGCGCCGCGUAUGAGGGAACACCAUGCGUUACGGAACGCCCCACGUUCGAGGUCGGUUCCCACCCCUAUAAAUAAGAUGCAAGGCUUCCGAACUUCUUUGCAAAUUUCCAACUUCUCCCCAUCUAUUCUCACUCUCGAGCCCCUUGAAACUACCCCGACGCCCCGAUUACGUAUCCAAGCUCCAACGAAGGUCCGAAGCUCCGAAACUCCUGAGAAAUUUUCCACUUUCCGGUCGAACUGCUGCCCGAGAAAAGUCUCGUUUUCUUCAAAUCAUCACACUUACCAGGUGAGUUCAUACCCCUAUAUUUUUGGGGGAAAAUACAAGUGAAACGCAAGAAAAACAUAUGUUAAAAUGCAAAUCAUUACAUACAGUUUCUAAGGUUUUAUCUACAUUUUGUGUAUAAAUGUUAAAUAAGUAAAAUAAUGUUAUCACAAAUGUUAUACUUUACAUGCAAAGUUGGUAAUACACCAAGGUUUGUCAUUCAAAUGAAACACACUUUUUGAAAAACUAUAAUAGGUAUAGUUUACGAGAUAUUCAUGAUAUUUUACAUACUAUAAACACUAUAAAGAGGAAAAACUUACAUUUACAAGAAAAAUGGACUUUUCAUAUGUAAAUCUAUUUGAUACUAACUUUUGUGAGACAUUUGACUUCAUGUACUUUCAAGUACACAUUUGAAGUCCUAUGUUAUAAACCACAAUCACUUGUAGGGGAGCGUGAUACUUGUGUAUAGAUUUGUACGGGAUUGACAAUCCCACACCUAAGCUGUUAGCUACAGUUAGACCGGCAGGUCUGGGGUGACAAACGUCAUAACACUCCAACGCCUGAAGAACGUUGUUACAGGCAGUCUGGGUCAAUAGUACGGUUAUAAAACUCACAUUAAGUAUUAAAACAAUUUGGUUUACGGGGCUAUCAAACGCCUUAGUGGUUAUAUAGACAUAUAUAAAUCUACUUACACUAUAUUAGGUAUGGAAAAUAGUUAUGCAUUCCGUUUUUUUGGAACUUUUAAAACUACCAUUCAUUUAUGGAAAAUAUUGGAUUUUCUAGAAAGGCAUACAAUUGUUAUAUAAAAACGCUUAUGAACUCACCAACUUAAUUGUUGACACUUUUUCAAAACUUCUUGUAUUUCUUAGGGAUUCAAUAAUACAUGUAAACAAUAGCUUUUGGGGAAGGGACACUAAGGCAUCAAUUUCAAACUUAUUAUAUCAUCAUAAUGUAAUUUAUUUUGAAACAUGUAUUACAAGCAAGAAUGUAACUUUUUAUAUUAUAUUUAUGGUUGUUGUGUUUGCUUUCUUUACUAUUUACUCAAUUGUUAUGAUACUACAUGAAGUCAUCCGCCCUCGAACGAUUCCGUCAUUCUGGUUUGGGGGUGUGACAGAUUGGUAUCAAAGCAUUGUUUAUAGUGAACUAAGUAUAUCGAACCACAUAAGAUAUAAAUAGUAUAAAUGAAAAGGGUACAGAUUCAUGCAUGCAAUAGUUUAAUGUCAUGGUUAGAACUAUACAAAAGUAUUAAGACAAGUUGGACACUAUGACUAGGCCCCAGAAUAUGUAAUCAGAUCUUGGAUGAAUAUAGCUUGAUCAACUAUAUUUAUCCGAGGUAUGACCAACGUAUGUCGGGGAAUAAUCAUAGUGAGCAACAAGUCAAAAACUUACCAAAGUAACACUGGAAUCAAACUUACAAAAUUAAAUACUAUAGGAAUAUUUAUGACAAUAUAAAAAUUGUAAUAAGCGAGUAAACCUCGACAUUUCGUUAGAACUGGGAAUCAUCAAUUAAAUAGAAUUAUGCUUAUAAAAAAACUAAAAACCUUCACUGACAGGUCUAUAUUUGCAAAGUGAAUACUUUAAGGUUACACAUGAUUGAGGUUGCAUAGGCUCAGGAUUUAUGAUUUCGCUUUAGGUCCUUUCCUUGUUUGGAUGUGGUCUUAGAGUGAAGCUACUUAUCUAACGGUCCAUUCGAUCUCCAUUUAAUGUAAUUUGUAUACACUAGGUAACUAUAAAAGGACUCGGGUGUAGGUCUUGUCAAAAUAUUAUCUUUUUACCCUCAAGUUUUAUCUAUAAUCCUCUUAUCUCUAUUCUCGAUCAGACGAACUGGCAGAAUUUCAUAUCCCCAGAGAUCCCUACUAGCCUAACCAUGGCAAUGGAGGCUGGGUCGAGGAAGAUCCAGAAGAGGAUCCCGAAGAGAUUCCCAAAGAAGAUCCAGAAGAGGAUCCCAAAGAGGAGGAAGAGGAAGAAGAUGAUGAGGGCACUAACUCGGAACCCGAGGUCUACAAUCCUCCCCAGGUAGUACCAAAUUUCUAAUGGAACUUUUAGGGCUCGGCGCCUCGCUGGUUGUAGAUCUGAAACGAUGGAGCAGGGAACAAGGACAACGUCCGCCCUACGGCAUGGGACAAGGUUUUCAUAACCUCAGUAACGGAGGUUCAGCUGAAAGUGCACUCCCUAUCAUGAUUCGCCUCAUUGCCAACCAAGGCAAUCAAACAAGGGUGAACGCCAACCAGAUCAUGGAUGUUGGUGCCACCGCACAAAUCACGGCAGUACGUCUUUGUCGCCUAGAUGAAGAACAUGAACGAACAAUAGAGCACACUUUUUCCCUUCAGAACGACAUUACCGCUGCUAGAGACGAGGUGAGGUAGUUUCGGAAAACCAAAGCCGCAAUGGAGAGGCACGUCAUCGAGGCUGAACGUUAUGUAGCUCGAGCUCAGACUUCCACGAGCACAUACCAUGGUCCACAGCGUAACACCCGCUUGGAGUUGAGCACAUACUUCUUGUGCUUUGUAUAGACUUAUCGAGUGAGCAUUGGUGCUACUCUUUCCUUUAUGUAUGUAAACCCGACGGAUUGUGAGUACACAAUUCGGGGGUCUGAAUGCUGUCAAAAUUUCCCAUUUGCAUUGAUAUGCUCUAGACUUGUGUUAAGGUCAAUUUUUCCUGAUCGAUGUAUCGAAUAUUAAUAUCAAUGAGACGGACACACAUUUAUUAUUUCAUUGGGUAUUUCAUUAAGUUCUUAAAAUACUAAGGAAAUCAUGUACUUAUUGUUGUAAGUUUCUAUUUCGCAAUUAACUUACAAAUUCGAUAAUGUUCAGAAUGUAAAGCAUAUGAUUACUAAGAAGACUUAUCAAGAAUUCGUCUUUUAACUUAUGGCAGAAUCAUGCCACCAAGAAGGAAUCCCCGACGCAUAUACUGUUGGGUUUUGAGCAUUCUAACACUUCCUAAGUGUACAUGCAACCCUAAAUACCUUGGAUCUAUGUUUUUCUCUAUUAUACAUGCAAAUAAGAACAUCCAAGGUAUUAUCCUAAUCUAGCAUACAAAAACUAUGAAUGUAACAAGAUAGAAUACAUACCUCUUGAUGUAGCUUGAUGUCUUCAAGCUUUAAGAGCUUAGCCCCAAUAGUGUGGAAGCCUCAAGUGGAAUCACAAAUCACCAAGACACCUUGGAAUACUUUAGAGAAUAUGAUUACUUGGUUCUCUCUAGUGAAAUUGGCUAGCCCUUCUUUAGUGUAUCCACACUAGUGCCAAUUUCACCAACCAAAGACAUCUUUANUUUAUAUAGUAUGGAGAAUAGGGUUAAACCCAUGACCUUUCAUUUCAUAUGAUCCAUGGGUUAAACACUCCAUGGACUAUCCAUGAAAGCUUAGCCCAACCUAAAUGAACUUGGCCCAUUCCAUAUAUACAAGAGUCCAUAUUUAAUUAGUUCAUUUUGAUCACUUAAUUAAUUCUAAAUUAAUUCUUGAUCAAUACUAAUUAAAUAAUAUGAUUCCAUAUUAAUAUAUUAGAACUUAUAAUAUAUUAAUAUUAAUCAUAAACAUACUAUUCUCAAAAGAUUAUCCAUAUAAAUUGUGUCGGUGAAGUGCAACCCAAAUGGACCAUGCCGGGUCGGGUCAAGUACAUACCAAAUAUAGUUAUGGACUUAGACAUUAAUCCAACAGUCUCCCACUUGGAUAAGUCUAAAACUAUUAUUGCGUAUGACUUCAAACCUAACUGGCAAUCGUAGCUCUUAAAGCUGCUGUCGAACUCUGAUCUUGUCAACGAACUUGUCCAUUAGAUAAGGGAUCAUAUAUUCCUCCAUUCUAGAUAUCAUAUGGACUGAGACAUGGAUUAUAAUCAUUCUCUCUGUCCAUUUGUUGUUUCCCGAUUUCCGAUUUAUGACGACUGACUAAUUGAACAAAUCAAAUCAGUCCUGGCCCGGCCGAGCACUUCCAUUUGUCAUCAUCAAAUCAUCGAGGGGCCCACAGAUAUCGCUUUUAUCCCGAAGGUAAAAGGAAUGGAUAAACUUCGACUCAUAUGGCUUGUUCUACUACUUGUUGAAUCAUACACAAAGGCACGUUUUAUAGCACCGAGUUACCAAAUGCGUUUUCGUGCAAUCAAUGUACAACCAACUCAUAGUAACAACUCAUAUCUCUAGGUUUGAAGAAUAUAAGAUAUUAUCGUCUCAUGAUCACUCGUGAUAAAAUCCAUGAAGUGAUUCCAAUGAGCGCGGGUUGAAUCCAAUACUCAGAACUUAUGAGCACUCAUGAGUGUUGUAGCCCUUUGUCCAACACCUUAGACCUCUACAAGCCAACCCAUGACAGUCUUAAUUCAUAUCUACUUCCAACAUAUGACCGACUGUGGAUGGUUUGAAUAACUUAGUCAUUCCGGAAGAAUAACCUAGUUUAUUCGGGAAGUCAAAACAUGCAAAGUGAAACACAAUAAUAAUUGAAUCCAAUAUGGUAUCAACCCUUUGAACAUAAAUAAAACACCUUUUAUUUAUCACCAUAUGAUUACACAUUAUUCAUUGUAUACUGUUUCAGCUAUCAACUUUAUUCUUGAAUUUAAAACAAUAGUUGUCCCAUGCUCCAAGCAUGUACACUAUGUUUUCUUAAACACUAGUCAUGCCACACACCAAGUAUGCAUACUAUGUUUGUCUAUGAUCUUUACUUUGUGAACUAGAUCAAUUGAACAUAACUUCAAUGAUUCUCUUUUCACACUCCCAAAUCCUUACUGCAAAUGCAAGAAUUCCAAAUUCAUGCCAUUUACUGAAAUCUGUUAGAUUCUAAACUUAUAUGCAUUGAUCCUCUUGUAAUGAUUAUGCACAAAGUCACAAAGACUUGGCAACAAUCAUUACAGAGUAUUCCAAAGGAGAUCAACUCCUUGGAAAUAUCCUUCUUGCAUUAAGUUUCCUUAAUCUUACACAGAUUGAAAAUUCUAACUUUGAAACAUUUCCAGAUUCCAUUUUGACUAUCACUUCUGAACAAGAGUUGCCUCCUUACAGAUUAUGUCAAUAUGGUCCUUCCAGAAUUAUCACUAUACUUCCAAUUGUCCUUGAGUAACCAAUCUUUGGUAAACCUUAGAUUGUCCUCGACAAUUGUUUAAUCCUUUUAGUCAUAUCCAGUUCUAAACCUUUUCCCUUCUUAAUGCCCCAGGCAUUUGGAAAAUUUUAGAACGGAUGAAUAUAGCACAUGUAAUCGAUCCUAUAUCCGAAGCAUAUGGGACACGAUUCAUGAUGUCUUACAUAAAGACUAAACCAGUCUUUUGCUAUAAUAUUUCCAUUUCAAUUUGCCAAGUUCUCAUAAUUCAGAUUAUGAAAAGGGAUGCCGUAAUCAUAAUCGAAUUUUAGAACGCAAAUAAUGGACCCAUAUACAGAAUUUCCUUAUGUUGAGCCAUUCCAACAUGAAAUUCAUAUAUAUCCUUGACUAAAUGAUUAAAACCUCACGAUCUAAGCUUAUAGAUUUGAGAUGAAGCAUAAUUUCCUCUCCCUUAAUUAUAGCAAAACAACUUUUUCCCAAUUGAAACUUUUGUUUUCUAUAAUUAACAUUGCUAACUUGCAAUACUUAUCAUAAUUAUCAUGCUCCCACUAACAUGAUGAUUAUUAGCAUAACACUUAUGCUCCCACUAGCUUUGACAUGUACUCAGAAAUCAGCUGGACAGUCUGAAAUUUAGAUUCAUACACCCUUUCCGUAGAUAGCUCACCUGUGUGUCUAAGCAAUUUCAAGAACCAUGAAAAGGGAUACCGUAAUCAUGGUCUCAAUUGCUUAGGCAUUUGCCAUUUCUCACAAGUCCAUGUUAGUGUGCCGGUUAACCACACGCGCUCCACUAACGACUUUUGAAAAUGCAAAUAACACAAUUGAUAUCUUCGUAAAAUCUACUUAGUGAAAGCGUUUCCUCACCAUCAUUUUCAUGAAUCGGAGAGAAACCUUAUGACACUUAGAUUUAUAUGGUGUAUGAGUUCCUACCCAUAUGAAUUUGUCAAACCAUAAUCACAAGACAAAGAUAAUGACAAAUCCAAAACCAUAUGGAUUGAACUCAAUCUUAACUUCUUGCCACCUGGCAGCUCAAGGGCCUGCCAUUGCUUCCAAGUUGUUGUGCAACAAAUUGAGAACUCUAAGAACUCAUAUGCAAAACCAACUUUAACUGGAAUGGGCACAGAAUAUGUCAACACGAUAGGUUAUGAACCUCAAGUCGUGUGCUAGUGAAGAACUUUAGGUUUUAUUCUUGAUUAUUUCUUGAGACUUUCAAGACCUUUAAGACUCCCACUGUCCUCUUGACAUAUAAGACUCCCUUGUCAAACAUCCAAGAGAUAGUGCGGAUUCUAAUCAAGAAAAACACUUUACCCAAUUGGCCUAAGUUGGUCUUUGUUUUAUCCAAAACAUCACAACUUACCAAUUUCAAAUGUACAAGAGUAGAAAACUUUUACUCUUACAUUUGACAAGUGUUUUAAACCUUCUUUAAGACAUGUCACUCAAAUGACAAUCUUGGAGUAUGACUCUAAGACUUGUAUUGGAACGAAGUAUGACUCAUCUUCUUGAUUUAACCAUUUCAACAAUUCAAGUUCCUCUUCUUAGUCAUAAGAAUGCACUAAGAUUUCCUUAGAGAACUAAUUUUGAUAUGGUUUCUUAAUCAUUAAGAUGAUCACAAAACUGAUACUAAAGUACUCUCCCAUCUUUUCAGAUUUGAGAAACUUUUAUCCUUCUGCCUUAUUUGAUUCUUCUUAUCGAUCUUUAGUGGUGGACUUAAUCAGUGCACAAGAAUGUGUACUCGAUCCCUAAGUCCUUUACUUGACUCACACAUCCAUGUGAACAAGUAAUUAGUCUUAAUUUUCCAAAACUUGAAAGUUCUCAUUCAUCAUGCUAUACAACUUGCAUGAUUCCAAGUUCCGGUCCAAUUGAAACUUGGGUGAUGAGAAUCUUUCCUUAUUUGGUAAAUUUAGACAUUACCACAAAUGAAAGAAUCAAUUUCAUACUUCCACUCUUGCUACUAAUGGAAUCUUAUAAGCAACAAAAAUUUCCACAGAUGCCAUUGUAAGGAUAUUUUAAAAUAAAUAAAAUCAAAAAUUUCCUUUUAUUUUAAAACUUUGCGGAAAAACUAUCCUUACAAUCCAUAUGAAAACUUGUUGUUAUCUAUUCCUAAGCAAUAUCUCAUAACUCCUAAGAAGUAGCUCAAGAAUCCGAUUUUUCAAACUAUGCGAUAGAAAUCCAUCUAUGCGAUCAGAUUCAGCAUAUUCUUCCUUUAAGUUUCUUCACUUUCCUUUGAUUCUUAAACCAUCACCAUGCGACCCGGUCACAUCAUGUAUCAAGAAUCUCAGAAUAGAAACUUAACAGAGUUAGAUAGUGGAUUUUACCUGAAGUAGAGUCAAACUUAUUGACUUUAACAUCCUUAGGUAAAUUUGGCAGCUUCGCAACCAAUGCCCUUUCUUUGGCAAUACAAACAUAUGGACCCUUUGAUAAUGGUACACAGGACUAUCACAGACUUAGCUUUUCUCUUUACCAUUUGGUCAACCGAGUUGACUAUAGCCGAUCCCUUUCCAUUGGGAAGAGAAUGCUUUACUGGAUAUCCAAUGUCAUCAUUGUCAAUGUCCAUAAAGUUUUAGGAAGUUGAUCUUAGCAAAUAGAUAAGAUCAUUAAGGGUCUUGUCAUAGUCUGUUUCAUAGGUGUCCCAAAGGAACUCACUAUGUGACUUAGAAAGUGGUUGAACCACCAACUUUCUCAAGACUUUGACACCCAACUCUCCCGGCUUGUCAAUAUGUGACUACAUCUCCAAGAUGUGACCACACCUAGACCUUGCCUUGCCAAUAGGGCCUGAGUGACCUUAAACUUUUCAAGAACUUGUGGGUUAGGGAGAAUAAUUUGAAGAGGUGAAGAAGUAUGAUAUCCAUGGGACAUCAUCUUCAUUAGGAAACCUUGUUUCAAGAGAUUUGGGAAGAUCAUAGGUGUCUAAACCAGACAUCUUUUGGGAGAUAUUCAAGAUAGUUGAUUUAAAGUCCUUAAUAUGACACCCAAUAUGAAAUAUUAAGGCUAGGACCCAACAAACUAUUUUAUAACUUAGAAGAGGUAUGCCGUAAUCCAAGCUAUAAAAUAUUUGAAGGUAGGUGAAUGACGAUUCACCAAUUUCCACCAAGAUAAACGAAAUGUAUUAUUAGGUUUUAAUUGGUUUUGAAACUCCUAGAUCUUUGAGAUUCAUUGAACUUUUCAAAGGCAUGUUUCAAUCUCGAGUGUGCCCUUCAGGUUUUGUGACUGGGAUGCCGAGGAUCACAAAACAAGGUGUGAAGUAACCAUGCAAAUCACUUGGUACCCUUAAUAAAUUACCCCUCAAUCGAUGUGCCGGUUAACCACACACGCUCCAUCGAUACUAUGAUAAAUAUUAAGUCACCCUUUACCUACCUUGUUAAGUCCAAGUUAGUGUGCCGGUUAACCACACACGCUCCACUAACGACUUAGACAAAGUGUAAAGUGUAAUUUCAUGGAUUAGCACCUUAUUCACAUUUUUCCUAAGUAACUAAGAUUGGGUAUUAUUAAGAGUUUAGUUACUUAGUAUUAUCAUUAAUACUUUUAAUGAAGGGAGAAUUCUAGUCCUGUCAAACCCGUUCGGCUAACGACCCUCCACCAGUCAAGCAAGCGGUGGGUGAGAGUGGACACCCAUUAAGUUGCCAUUUUAUAGGCAACAACCUUAUACCCACCUUAUAGACCGGCUUCGUGAAUGAGGCGUACUAGCGGUAAGACUGACUUUACUCUUAUACAUAUAUAUAUUAUUAACUUAUAAUAUUAUAAAGUAUAAGGGUUGAAUUUUAACUUUUAAAAUUCUAAGGGCUAACUUGGAAUUAAAGUAUUCAUAAGUGAAAACUUUACAAAUUCCAAAACUUGAGGGCAAGUUUUGAAACUAUUCAAAACUAAUUAAUUCCAUAACUUAUGUGUUUAAAGUAGUUUUAAUCCAAAAACUCUUCAAGUUCCAUAACUUGAGGACAAGUUAUGGAAGACUUUAAACUAAUAAAAGAAUUAACUUUUCUUUAUUUUAUAACUUAUGGAAUUAAUUAAGGUUACCCUUUUUUUUAUUUUAUUUUAUUUUAUUAAAUGAAGAGACUCUUGGUCCUCCAUAACUUGAGGACAAGUUAUGGAGUCAUAAAACCAUUUAAUUAGAACUAGACUCUUCAUUUUUGUAACCUUUGCCAAUUUUUAUGAGUUUUAUGAUUCUUAAAUGUGACUUUUCAUAUAACUUGAGGACAAGUUACAAAAACACAUUUUAGAAUCAAUUCUUAGAUUAAUUUGGAUUAAAACCAACUAUCACAUAAUUUUAUUCAUUAAUCUAAAUUCACUCAUAAAACAAGAUAACACAAAAAACUUUUGGUGAUCCAUAACUUAUUCUUAAGUUAUGGAAUCCUUUAAAACAUUAACACCAAAUUUUGUAACUCCAAAAAAACUUUGAAUCAAUUUUUUUUUUAAAACCUUUUCAUAUCCAUAACUUAUGGAGGUUUCAAAAAAUAAAACUCUUUAGAUCAAACUUUUAAAACUAAUAAAAUAAUCAUAUUAUUUUAUCUUUUAUUAAAUUUGACCUAAUUCAACUCAUAAAGCAAAUUAUUCAAAUUUUACAAAUAAUUAGUUUUUCACAAGAACAAGUAAUUAUCUUAAAAUUUGACGAACUUCAUGUUUUUUUUUUUUUUUUUUUUCAACUUUGAAAAUAAAAUAUUUGCAUCAAUAUAACAGAAAACAACCCGUGGCUCUGAUACCACUGUUGGGUUUUGAGCAUUCUAACACUUCCUAAGUGUACAUGCAACCCUAAAUACCUUGGAUCUAUGUUUUCUCUAUUAUACAUGCAAAUAAGAACAUCCAAGGUAUUAUCCUAAUCUAGCAUACAAAAACUAUGAAUGUAACAAGAUAGAAUACAUACCUCUUGAUGUAGCUUGAUGUCUUCAAGCUUUAAGAGCUUAGCCCCAAUAGUGUGGAAGCCUCAAGUGGAAUCACAAAUCACCAAGACACCUUGGAAUACUUUAGAGAAUAUGAUUACUUGGUUCUCUCUAGUGAAAUUGGCUAGCCCUUCUUUAGUGUAUCCACACUAGUGCCAAUUUCACCAACCAAGGACAUCUUUAUAUAGUAUGGAGAAUAGGGUUAAACCCAUGACCUUUCAUUUCAUAUGAUCCAUGGGUUAAACACUCCAUGGACUAUCCAUGAAAGCUUAGCCCAACCUAAAUGAACUUGGCCCAUUCCAUAUAUACAAGAGUCCAUAUUUAAUUAGUUCAUUUUGAUCACUUAAUUAAUUCUAAAUUAAUUCUUGAUCAAUACUAAUUAAAUAAUAUGAUUCCAUAUUAAUAUAUUAGAACUUAUAAUAUAUUAAUAUUAAUCAUAAACAUACUAUUCUCAAAAGAUUAUCCAUAUAAAUUGUGUCGGUGAAGUGCAACCCAAAUGGACCAUGCCGGGUCGGGUCAAGUACAUACCAAAUAUAGUUAUGGACUUAGACAUUAAUCCAACAUAUACUACAUCAACACCACCUCCACCACCACCACCACCUCCAUCAAUAGACAAUGUUGUUUUCCAGGCUGCCGUAACAGCUGUUGUGAUAUUAGCAAUGACACAAAUGAAUAACAACGGGUCGGGAGGAGGAGUAAAUAGCUCUACAAAUGGCCAACACCACGUCGUUCAGGGGAAUGCACUUACAAGGACUUCACAAAAAGAAAACUCGUAUCCUUUAAUGGGACUGGAGGAGUAAUGGCUCUAUCCCAAUGGAUACAGAAAACGGAAGCAGUAUUCGAGAUCUGCUCAUGCCAAGAAUGAAGAAAAGUAAAAAUUGCUUCAUGUACUUUCUCCGAACUAGCCUAACAUGGUGGAAUGGCCUUGUUAAGUCACUAACACUGGUAGUGGCUAACUCCAUGAAUUGGGAGAACCUGAAACAAAUGCUAAUGCAAGAGUAUUAUCCAAGAGAACAGGUACAGAAGCCCGAGCAAGAGCUUUAGGACCUUACUAUGGUAGGCUCGGACAUCACAACCUAUACCAAUAGAUUCAAUGACUUAGCAAUACUUUGCCCGGGAAUGGUUGCUCUAGAGAGCAAGAUGAUCGAGUGGUAUAUCUGGGUACUGUCACUCCAGAUUCAUGGAAGUGUACUAGCUUCUAAGCCAGUUACUUUCGAUAGCGCCAAACAGUUGGCAUAUGCCCUCGUUGACCAUGGUUUUGCCAAGGAUUCAUGGUUGUUGUUCCGGAGCAACCCAGAGGAAGCAACAACAACAACAACAAUACCAACAACAAAAAGAAGAAGAAGUUUUGGAACAAGAGGAAGGGUCAAUUUUCGCAGGAACCUUCCAAGAAACAACAGAUAGUAGCAGUCCAUGCCGUUACUGCUCCCACCGGUGUUCCUGUUACCCCUAUACCAGCAAAGCAAUAUGCUGGAAACCUACCAAAGUGCGGAAAAUGCAAUUUCCAUCACAACGGGAAUUGUCGGGAGAUGCACUGUAAUAACUGCAACAGGAAAGGGCACACUGCCCGUUUCUGUAAGGCACCGACACGACCAAUCACCAAAGUUCCUGGAGUCGGUGUGGGCGAGGCAUGUUAUGGGUAUGGUGAAGCUGGCCAGUACAAGAGAGAUUGCCCUAAGGUAAGGAAUGCUGGCGGCGUAGGAAGAGUGUUGGAAAUAGGGCAAAACAAAGCAAUAGUUGAUCCCACAGUGGUUAUGGGUACGUUUCUCCUCAAUAGCGCUUAUGCAUACAUACUCUUUGAUUGAGGUGUGGAGAGGAGUUUCGUUAGCCAUGAAUUCAAACUCUUACUUAAACAAAACCCCCAAUCACUUAAUAAGAUCUUUAUAGCAUAAAUGGCAAACGGUAAAACCGAAAGUAUAAACAAUGUGUACGUAGGUUGCAUGCUAGAUUUAAAUGAACACUCAUUCCAAAUAGAUCUAAUGUCAAUCACUAUAAGAAGAUUUGAUGUCAUCAUCGGUAUGGAUUGGUUAAGCCUUCACCAUGCCGAUAUAUUUUGUCACAAAAGGUUCGUUCGCCUUAAUCUACCAAAUGGCGAAACCCUUAUCAUUUAUGGUGAGAAACCCGGUACCAAUUUACAAAUCAUCUCUUGCGUCAAAGCCCAAAAAUACCUGCGCAAGGAAUACCAUGCUUUCCUAGCACAUGUGGUAGAUAAGGAAAAAGAAACGAAAGAUAUCAAAGACAUUCCAGAAGUCUACGAUUUCCCCCGACGUCUUCCCUAAAGAUUUUCCAGGAGUUCCACCAGAAUGUCAAGUUGAGUUUAGAAUCGACUUGAUUCCUGGAGCUACCCCAGUAGCAAACUCACCGUACCGUCUAACACCGGCAAAGAUGCAGAAAUUAUCCAGCCAACUAAACGAGCUACUCAACAAAGGAUUCAUCAGGCCGAGCUUCUCACCUUGGGGAGCACCAGUCCUAUUCGUAAAGAAGAAGGAUGGAUCUUUUCGCAUGUGCAUCGAUUAUCGGGAACUAAACAAGCUCACAAUCAAGAACUGAUAUCCUCUACCGUGCAUAGACGAUUUGUUCGACCAACUCCACAGAACAAGCUACUUCACAAAGGUUAAUUUAAGAUUCGGGUAUCACCAGCUGUGAGUCUUGGAAGGAGAUGUUCCCAAGAUGAUAUUUCAAACUUGUUAUUGUCACUACAAGUUUGUAGUGCUUCCCUUUGGAUUAACAAAUGCACCAACGAUGUUCAUGGACUUAAUGAACCGAGUAUGUCAUUAUUUCCUAGACAAAUUUGGGAUCGUGUUCAUAGAUGAUAUACUCAUCUUUUCAAAGAGUAAAGAAGAACAUAGUCAACACCUCUGGCAGGUCUUGGAAACAUUAAGGGCAGAGAAGUUAUACGCAAAAUUCUCAAAGUGUGAAUUUUGGAUUCGGAAAGUUGAUUUCCUAGGUUAUAUACUCGGCAAAGAAGGGAUACACGUGGACCCUUCCAAAAUCAAGGUAAUCGAGAACUGGUCAGCUCCAAGAACCCCAUCGGAAAUCCGACAAUUCUUGGGCCAUGCUGGCUAUUACCGAAGAUUCAUACAAAAUUUCUCGAAGAUUGCUAAGCCAUUUACCACCAUGACUCAGAAGGGUGUAACCUUCAGCUGGGAAGAAAGACAAGACGCUAUGUUCCGAACACUGAAACAUGCCCUAUGCAGCGCACCUAUAUUAUGUUUACCAGAAGGAACUGAAGACUUUGUGGACUACUGCGACGCAUUGUAAGUUGAAUCCUUUGAGUUGUGUGUAAGUAAUAUCAUUGAAAACCUUCAGUUGUAAAAGUACGAUAAUAAAUCUCAUGUGAGUAACAUAGAUGAACAAAAGUUUUGCUUGUUGACAAUAGUAGUGGUGCAAACUUCCAUUAGUAAUAGAUACUUACUUCAAGAUGUUAGCUUAGACUUAAGUCUUAGUGUAUUAAUUUGGAUAAAGGUGUAACCCCUUAUGUAACCAGACUGAAUGAUAAUAGAGAACCCGAUGACCUUCCCGGUCAUGCAUAGUGUAGUGAUGUAGUUGCACCCCUAGGCCUAGUCGGCUCGGACUGUAGUUAACAGUCAGGAUGUAAUAGUGUCUGCCCCGUAUAGAUUUGUACAUGUAGUGUUGCCUUCCUUCCGGAAAGCCCUGAUCACAUGGUGUAAGCACAGUAGAGUAUCUUUUAGAGGGAUAGUGUGUUAUACUCUGGAUUAGUGUAUUCUCUUGUAUUAUAGUAUAGUAGUCUUUUUGUACAUUUCAUAGAGUGUUCUUUUAUACGUGCAUUAACUUGUAGUAAUAUAGUUAUAGUGAGUAUAGUAGUAGUAGAGGUAAUGAGCAGUAGUCUUAACUAUACCCAUUAUAGUUAACUAGAGUGAGUAUAGUCGGACGGAUAACAGAUACCCUAAGACCACAUCAAACAAGAACAGGAAAUAAGGCGAGCUAUCGGUCCUAAGUCCUUCAAGUCUUACUUCUAUAAAUAUAUUAGUGUAGAUAUAUUUUUAAAAAGAAAAAUGAUUUAAACACAGUUUUGAAAAUAGUUUCACAACAAUAUAAUCUUAAAAAUGCAUUUGAUAAACAACUAAAACAGUUUUAUUGGUAAACAACUAAAAGUGUAGAAAAUCCCUUUUUGAUGAUAAUUUGUGAAUCACAUAAGAUUUGAUAAUAAAUCUUGUAGAAUUAUACUUGUAUCCCCCCCCCCCCCNNNNNNNNNNNNNNNNNNNNNNNGGUUCAUUAAGGCGUAUGAACUCACUGUUUAUUGUAGGGUUCGAGUAUGCAACUCGUAUGAGUGUCAAGUGUCAACGGAUGCUCUGAACGCACGUAGCCCCUAUUAAUUAUACGCUGACACAUAUAUAAGUUAGAGCUAAGGUGUUUUCAUGACUAAACAUGAUGGGAAAUCCCUCCUAAGGGCUUGGAAUCACUAAGACUAAGUGUCCCAUGUUCUAUACCCAAUGAUCUAUGCAUGUUUAAGGCCAAAUAUGAGUAUUAGGGUGUGUGUAUGGCCAUAAAGGUGAGUGUGUGGCAGGGGUAUGCGGCCAGACUUGUGAGUGAGGCUGUACACUAGAGUGUGAGGCCGUAUAGGGUGUGUGUGCGGCCGUACACUCCUUGCUUGUGUCCCAUGUGUCGAUUGCGUGGCCUUACUCUCACUUUGGAGGGUAUUAUGAGUGUGUGCGGCCACAUGAUAAAGGUGUGCGGCCACACUCUCUCAUAGGAUGAAGAACAUGAAGAACAUUAUGAGUUUGAGGCUUGGAUUUAAGUGUUUUACCUCUAUGACAAGCUAAAUGAUGGUGUUCUUCAUGUUUUGGGAGCCUUCUAAGUGUUCUUGGGUGGUUUUCUAGAGAGAGAAAGUAUAGAGAGAGAAAGGAUGCAGCAAAAAGUGAAUGGAAGGGGGUCCUCCACUUUAUAUAGGGUUGAGUGUGAGGCUGGAGGGGUUUGCUGCUGGGUGUGCGGCUGGCUUGGCCACACACACUAGUGUGCGGCUGCACACACCUCUCUUGGUGUGUUUGGUUGGAUUUUGUGAUGAAACACCCUUCCUAAUCCUUCCUAAGGUCCAUAUCUAUGAUAUAUUAAGCCUAAAACACUAGCGCUGACUCAAUAUACUAUUAAAAGACGCUAAAUUCAAGUGAAUUAUAGAUAUAUGGAUCGAUUGCUGAGUGUAAAAGUGUCUGGUUGUCACAAUAGAUCUAUACGGGAUUGACAAUACCGCACCUAAACUGUCAGGUACAGUUAGACUGGCAGGUCUGGGGUGACAAACUUCAUAACACUCCAACGCCUGAAGAACAUUGUUACAGGAAGUCUGGGUCAAUAGUAUGGUUAUAAAACUCACAUGAAAUAUUAAAACAUUUUGGUUUAUGGGGCUAUCAAACGCCUUAGUGGUUAUAUAUACAUAUAUAAAUCUACUUACACUAUAUUAGGUAUGAAAAUACUUAUGCAUUCUGUUUUUUUGGAACUUUUAAAACUACCAUUCACUUAUGGAAAAUAUUGGAUUUUGUAGAAACAAACUUAGUUAAUUUAUACAGAAAGGCAUACAAUUCUUAUACAAAAACGCUUAUGAACAUACCAACUUAAUUGUUGACACUAUUUCAAAACUACUUGUAUUUCUUAGGGAUUCAGUAACACAUGUAAACAACAACUUUUGGGGGAAGGGGCGCUAAGGCGUCAUUUUCCAACGUAUUAUAUCAUCUUAAUGUAAUUUAUUUUGAAACAUGUAUUACAAGCAACAAUGUAACUUUUUAAAUUAUAUUUAUGGUGGUUUUGUUUGCUUUCUUUACUAUUUACUCAACUGUUAUAUUCCAUUUUAUUGACAAAUGAAUUCAUCAUUUUUGCCAUAUUAUGCAUAGGAUUUGGUAUAUAUUCUAUUUUAUUGACAAAUGAAUUCAUCAUUUUUGCCAUAUUCUCCAUAGGAUUUGGUAUUUUAUCAUGCUGUUAGCAAGUCAUAGGAUACUAAUUGAAUACAUGGUUAUGUCACUUGUGACAACCCGAAAAAGUUUUGCUUUAAAGACCCAGUCAAUCAACUCAACUGAGUGUCAUACUAAUUUUUUCUAUCUUUUAGCCAUAUUUAGAGUCCGUUUGAAGGUUCAAAGCUCCGUACAUUCAAGCAUUGAGCAUAGCAAUGGAUCGCAUAGACUUCUAGCACCAAAAUCGAGCCUUACACUCCAACAUAAGGAGUGUACGGCCACACACAUGGGUGUGCGGCCGCACACCCCUCUUCUAGUAGCACACUCACGUGUAUAAAUGUAGAUCUCAUCCUCCUUUAAUCCCUUUUCACACUCCCAAGCCUAGAACUCGAUUUCUCUCUCAACUAUCAUCCGAUUUUCAACUUAGAUCUUCAAGAAUGUAAGUGUUCUUCCCUUGAUUUGUUGUCAAUCAUCUUAAACUAGUUACAUCCUUUGAUUUCAUCCAUUUGAAAUCAUAUUUUGGCUAGAUCUUCAAAUUUUCAACCAUUUCACCAAGAACACACACCUGUUCUUGGUCUCGAGCUUCUAAAUCGUAAGUACUCUUUCAUUAAGCUUAGAAAUUGUUAAUAACACUUUUUUGAGCCUUAAAACUGCCCAGAGUUCAAGAACAUAUGGUGUGUGCGGCCGCACCCAUAGUUGUGGUCGUACACCCCUCAAAUACCCCUCAAAACACCCUUCAAACACCCCUAAAGGCUUCCCUAUUGUAGGGACCAUUCCCUAAGCCUUUAACUUACAAGAUAUGAGCCUUAGAAAAUGUCCAAACCAUUUUAAUCAAGGAGUGUGUGGGCGCACACACUACAUAUGGCCGUACACCCUUUGUUUAGUGCUUAAGGGCCUCCAAAGUGCCUUUCUAGCUUCAACACUUGAUGAGCAUCAGUCCUACAAACCUCCCUACCAUUUGGAAAACAUUUUGCGCACUCUUUACCAUGAGUGUGCGGCCGCACACUCCCUAGCCGCACACUCCUCAAAGUGGUCGUACACUCCCUUUUAGUGAAUCACAUAUGAUUCCGACAAUUGGUCAAAGUGUUUCCUAGUCCUGUAAGGUGUUUCAUUGAAUUUGGUUGCUUCCAAACACUAUAUUUAUGUCAGUAUAUGCCAUUAUAUUUCAUUUAGGACUUGUUAAGUCUCGGGACUUCAUUCGUGGAACUUCUCAUCCUUACACGCAUACCCGUUUGAAUCACCCACAUCAGGUGAGUACAUACCCCGUAAUGAAUAUUUUAACUGUUUUAAAUGCUUUUAAGGGAGGGGGGAUGCAAGUUAAAGACAAUGAUAAUUGUGUAACUAUAUGUUAUAAACAUCUUUCAAAAUGUUGCUUAUAUCUUCUAUAAGUGGUCAAAACAUUUCGAAAACUAUUUUACAGUUAUGUUGCUUUAUAGUUUAACAAAACUCCGUUUUUUUUAGUAUAAGCAUAACUUGGUAGUAAAAUGAGUCUUUUCAAUAACAGUUCAAGUAGAAUACUAGUAAACUAUAAUGGGUAUAGUUUAGGGAUUCAGAAUAUACUAGAUACAAUACACGAUAACAAAGACAACAUACAAUAUGCUAUACGACAGAACAUACUAAGACACUAUAACAAGAGAAGAUACUAAAGUACUAUAACAGAACGAACAUACUAAGUUGCUAUUGCAUGGAACACUUACAGGAUCUUACUAUACAAAUGAAUCACUAACGCAUUGUUCUAAACAAAAGGUGAUAGUUAUAUUGGGUAUACAUGAUCAUAAAAUUUUAAUGUGGAUGUUUACGGCUUGAAAUUAUUUGCAGAGGUCACGUUUGGAUCCCAGAAUCUUUUGACAGGGAGAGCGUUUAGUAUGGGAUCUAGCCAUCACAUUUUACCUUAGUAAUCAAUUUAAGGUAAUUAGCACAACAGUAGUUACUAUGUACAAUACUACAACACUUACAUUAUCUUGUUUCUUUCCUAAAGUGACAGUACCACUUGAAAAUCAACGUAAACUAUUUUGGAGUCAAGAUAGUUAUAAACUAGGGAAAACUUACAUUUUACAAAUGAUAAACAGAACAGUUGGGUCUAGUACAAUAAGUAGAAAGGGACCAUAAUGCUAACCUUAUGAUUCCUUAAUGUAUACAUCAGGAGAUAUAUAUUAGUAAGACCAGAUAAAUNUAGGUAAUAGGAUGUGUGCUUUGCGCUUCAUUUUCUGUUCCUUGUUUGGUUGUGGGCUUAAAGAAGACUCACCCAGCCUAUUAUCUAUUCGAUCUUAGUUAUAUAUUGGUUCCAUACACAUUAAGUCAUUAUAAGGGGUACCAGGUAUGGGUCAAGUCAUAGGACACUAAUUCAAUGCACAGUUUUCUAGUACAAAACAUACCUUUCAAAGAGAACUUUUGGUAAACAAAACUAGAAACUUACCAGUAAAGGGUUUAAUCCAUUUUAUUAAACCAGUGUAGACUUAAAGGACUUUAGGUGAUAGAAUCUAUAAUACCUUAGUUUAAACAUCAUGUUUAUAUAUUAUUAAUACCCAAAAGGUAGUUGGAUGUGUGUUUUCUGCCUUAUUUCAUGUUCCUUGUUUGGUUGUGGGCUUAGGGCAGAUUCAUCCAAUCAACUAUCUAUUCGAUAUUAGAUUAUAUAUAGAAGUAUAAACUAAGUGAUUAUAGAGGUAAUCAUUGUGGUCUCUAUUUUAUUAUAAGAAAAAAUAGGUUUUCUGAAAGGAUCUUUUCAUUAACUGUAAAGGAACUAUUACAAUUAUCUCCACAAGUAACAAGUGAAUACACCUAGGUUAUAUACAACGAGGAUCUAACAAACAAUGGGAUGUGUGCUAUCUGCCUUACUUCCCGUUCCUUGUUUGGUUGUGGGCUUAGGGCAGAUGUGCACAAUUGAUUGUUUGUUUACUCUGAGUUUUAUAUAACUUGUAUCCGUUUAGUACUCAUAGAAAGGAUUGUAGAAUCGUUUUUAUGUAUCUCACAUAAAAUUAGGAAAUAUAGGAUUUUCUAGAGGAACAGGCAAACCUUUCUAAAAACAGAACGUAUAACUUACUACUUUUCAACUACAUUUUUCAACAACUUUCUACAACUUACUUACAUCACUAAAAUCUUAUGAACUCACCAACUUAAUUGCUGAUAAACUCUUUCAAAUAACUUGUAUUCUCAGGAAACUAGUAGACAGGUACCCACUCUGGGAGUUUAGAAGAUGGAUCAUUUUAGUUUCAAGUCUUGUUUUGUUGUUUGCUUAUGUAAUCUAUCUUUUGUGAACACAUACUUUGUAAACACUUUCUUUCUAAUGAAAUGGUUGUUCAUUACUUGCUUACUAUGAUACAUGUCUUGUGAUACUAAACAUGACGUCCUCCACCCCCGAACGUUUCCGCUGUUCCGGUUUUGGGGUGUGACAGAUUGGUAUCAGAGCAUUAUUUAUAGUGAACUAAGUAUAUCAAUCGAUAAAAGAUAUACAACUAUAAAUACAAUGGGGCUUAAGCUCUCUGGGUAAUGAUAUAUUUUAAGUGUAUAACGAUAAGUUAUAAAAAUAUACGUACUUGUUAUACUUGUACACUAGAACAAGUAUCACGAGAAGAACAUAACUAAAGUAUUUAAAGGUUGAAUAUUUUCGUCAAACCUGAACGGUUAUGUAAUCAUAGCUAGAAUCACUAUAGCCCGAUCAACUAUAUUUAUUCGAGAUGUGACCGAAAUGUGUUUGGGAGUAAUGUGGUGUGGCAACAGUCUUAAAACUUACCAAAUUCUAUACAAGAGAUUCUAGAUCAGAACAUGAAAGUUAGAAUACUAUAGGAGUAGUCUAUGAUACCAUAGAACGAUAUCAAGUUUGAAACAUACUAAGUACUUUAGACUCUAUAUAAAUAACUUAUGUCAUAACUUAAAAGACCCUUACAUAUAGGUCUAUAAUUUUCAAUGUAUACUCCCAAGGUUAUAUACAACUAGGGUUUUAUAAACUUAGAAUUUUGAUCUAUGCUUCACUACCCAUUCCUUAUUUGGUUGUGGUUUUGGAGUAGAAACAUUUAUCCGAAGGUCUAUUUAAUCUUGAAUUCUAUACACCUUGUGUACAUUGUAUAAUUAUAGCAGGACUCUGUAAGGAUCUCCCCGUGAAGUUACCUUAAAUCUCAUAAGAUUCUUUAGUCAUUUCCAUUCUCGCACGACAAGCCCAGAUGGGUGUAACCACUUCCUCAUAGUAGACAAGAGAAGAGUUGAGGAGGAAUAAAAGCAAGUUCAUGAGGAGCUUUCAAAGAGGUAUCAACAGAAGUAACCAAAACAUCUGACACGUCACACUAAUAAAUAAUAAUAUUGUUAACUUAUUGAGCGAGUGGAGACACUGCUCACAUUAUGUAUUAGGAUUAUUUUCUUGCAUGCAACUGAUAACAGUUAUUCAGGCAACAUGUAUUCAUUCGAGGAUAGCCAUUUCUAAUUCAUAAAGUUCAUUUGGUAUAGACUUUUAAUGAAUUGUAUCUAGAACCAUGUGGAAUUCAUGACCCAAUACACCCAGAACUAGGAUACUCUUGUCUUUUUCAGCUUUCGACUUGUGUCUAUUGCUAUAGACUUAUUCCCAUCUCAUCUUUGUACUUUUUUUUAGCAAAUAUGCCUCCUCGUAAAUCUAUCAGACGCACUAUUCCGAUAACUCCAACACCUCCUCCACAAAUCGAUGUGGCAACUCUGAAUGCGGCAGUAGCUGCAGCUGUGGCAACAACCAUGGCUCAACAUCAUCCUACCAGUUUCGGUAGAGGUGGAACACCUGUUCAUGCUAUUCAAAGUGAGGUCCCUAUGCGCUCGAGACAGUGCUCCUACAAUGUGACAACCCAUAAUUUAUUUUGUCACAGUAAACCAUUCCCGUUAAUAAAACCGUUUGUAUUUCAAUUUUCCGUUAACUUUUGAUUUAUAUUAAUUAUAUUGUGACUUUUAUUAUAAACUCGUGAGUGUCCAAACCCAUUAGAAACGCAUAAAAAUACCCUCAUUAUUUAUUUGGAAAAAAAUUUAGUUACGACUAAGUCGGGUUACGACAAUUUAAUCGGGUAAAAUAUUAAACCCCGUUUAACGUCGGCGUUGGGUGGAUCUCCACUUGGACACAAAAUCAAACCCUAUAUAAGAGUUAGUGGACCUUCAUUUAAAGCCUUUUGUCCACCCUCAUAGCUUUCUCUCUCUACUCUCUCUCUCUCUCUAAAACUUGAGUUUGAUCUAAAAACAUCCCUUUCAAGCUUCAAAUUGGUAAGUAAUCUAUCCUAGCUUGUUACUAAGCUUGUUUAUCAUGCAAAUUCGUGUGUAAAUCAUCCAAAUGCAUCAAGAACAUGUGUUUACGGUUUGGGAACCCUCCCAAAACCGUAAACUCCUUUAAAGAGGGUUUUGAAGCCCCAAAACCCUUCUAAAUCACUUCUAGUGCUUAGAUAUGACUUAAGGCCUUGCAUGAAUGGACUUAGAAAGCCAAAAUCUUACCAUUUGAGGAGUAAACAUGAUUUUACGGCCCAAGAACAUGCUUGGACUGUAAACCCUCAUUCAUGGACCAUAAACACCAUUUAAGGGUGUCAAAGUGCCCCUAACACCUUGUAUGACUUAGAUUUGGGUCUAGAACUUAGCAUGCUUAACCUACAACCACCAAAUCACAUGAAUCAUGGGCAAACAUGAGUUUACGUCCGUAAAAUCAUGUGUUUACGGCAGCAAACUCACCAAGAACACUUUCAUAAACCAUAAACUCCUUUCCAAGGUCAAUUCAGAUACCGAUCACUUCCUAAGCCUUUAAUUCAACCCUAGAACCUUCCCUUGUGCAUUGUAAGACCAUUUAGCAUCAAAGAACAUAUCACCCAUGAGUUUACGGCCAUAAAAUCAUGGGGAUAUGGUCUUUGGACUGUAAAAUCCCCUUAGGGCUUACUCUUGAAGAGUAAACCCCUUAUAUUGGCCCUACACACCGUUAGAUGCAACCCGGAUCACUCCUACCACUUGAAAUAAAGUGUUUUCGCAUCUCGGAGUGUAUUGUCUUACUUAUUUGGUAGUUCAAAGUCUAAUUAGAUACAAUUAUGUAUAUCUUCAUAUUACAUAGGAACCUCGCGUGUUUUCAAGCCCCGAACUGACACUUAGCAUCCUAAUCGGCGCAUUUCUCGACUGGUGAGUUCAUACCCCUACUCUUUUUCUGAGUUUUUCAUGUUUUCAAGGGGGAAUACAAGCNUGAAAGAAGCAAACCAUAAAAGUUUAAAUAACUUAAAAACUGAUGUAAUUAUACGAUUUUCUGAUGAACUUUUAGAUAUCUUUAUCCCUUUUGUGAUAUGCGGAGCAUAAGGGAUGUUUUCUGAAUAUAAUUACAUUGUUUUCAAUACAUUGUGGGGAAAUUUAUCAAACCAAUCAAAUUAUUAUGGGAAUAAUUUUGGAUAUUCAUUACUUGUUUCACGGAUUCAGAUUUCAUGAAAAGACGAUAUAUAAACUAUGUCUGAUUUAGUUUAUCCAUGUUUAAUCUAGAGUAUCAUGCUAAAUAAUUACUUUGUAUUUAAUUAUUUAUACUCUAUUACGGUUCAAACGAUUUCGAAACUCGAUAACGACCAAGUGUACCGUGAAUUAUUUAAUACUAGCUUGUGAGAUACGUCUUCGUUAUACCCUUCGGGGUACCAGUAAAUCCUCACCGGAAGUAUAACCGGAGUCUCCUAGACGGAGAGCCUGAAAUUUGUGGAUAGAUCUAUUCAGGUCUGACAAUCCCACACCUUAACUGCUAGCUAUAGUUAGGCCUGGGGUGAAAAAUUUCGGAUAUCGUUUGACACCUGAAGAACGUCAACGAGGUCACGGGUCAAAUCAGUAUGGUUAUACGACUCACAAUACGUAUUAAACUAAAUAGUUUUAUUCACAAAUUUAUUUCUUUCAUUCUUCUAUAGCCUUAUUUAUGUAAUAGACUACCUACUUUCGUACUGGAGGGUAUUCCAGGGUUCUUAAUCUAUAGUUUUAUCUAUUAAAACAACCUACUUUCGUACUGGAGGGUAUUCCAGGGAUCUUAACUUAUGGUUUUCUUAUCGUGCUGGUGAUAACCGAGGUUUUUCUUAUCUUAUGGAAAUCGACUUACAUGUUAGAAAAUAUGGGAUUUUCUGGGAAAACAUGCAUAUGUAUUUCAUAACUAUGUAUCAAUGGUUUUCGAUAUUACAGAAAUCUUUAUCAAAGGAAAUGAAUUAUUUAUCAUAAGAUUAAAUAACCAGUUUUCCUUUAAAACAUGCUUACGAACUCAUCAGCUUUAUCUUGAUAUUUUUAAAAUUGCUUGUAUUCUCAGGUCCUCAUUAGACAGGUAUCCCGCGAUAUUUGUGAGAAGACAGAGCAUUUUAGUAGUCUUGUCUUUACUUUUGUUCAUUUUGGAUGUAUAUAUCUAUAAUCAUGUAUAAAUUUACUUUCGAACAAAUGUAAAUACUUCUAUGUAAUGUAAUGGUUGUGUUUACUACGCUUACUCUGUAGAUUUGUUGUGAUACUACGCAUGACGUGACCUCCGCCCCUGAACGUUUCCGCCUUCGGUUUCGGGGUGUGAUAGAUUGGUAUUAGAGCCCUUGUUUACAGUGAACUAAGUAUAUCGAACCUUACAUGGUAUAAGACUAUAAACACUAAGGGGCCAAAGUGCUCUGAACUAAAAGUAUACAUUAAAAUAUAAGUAUGUUUCAAAAGUAUACAAGAAUACCUAAAUGUUAGAUACCGUAACUACGAGUAGAACAAAACAUAAGUAAUUGGGUGUUGGACGCUGCGGUUAAACCUGGGCAGUUAUGUAGCCAUGUCUAGGGUCAAUACAGCCUGAUCAACUAUAUUCAUUCGAGACACGACCAGCAUGUGCUUGAGAGUGACUGUGGUGUGCAACAUGCCUAAAACAUACCUAAUAUCCAAACAAUGAUUCAUCGUUGCAGCGUAACAUAAAAUAAUAUGGGAGUAUUUUCUAGAGCUAACUUCAUUAUAUAAAUUCUCAUUCAAGUGUUGCUACUCAUUCAUUCCUUUAGCAAAAAAUUUCUUGGCUUGUUAGCUUUCCUAUAUUAUCGCAUAGUAGAACACUUUAUCUGUCAUAAUGAGAUAUCUCUUGUUCCAUAUCUCUUGAUUCAAUUCAGAGGACUUACCAUCCUCUCUUCCUGAUCAUUUUAGAUCAAGAUGCCUCCAAGAAAGAGACCCAGUCCAAAGAACAACAACCCUCCACCACCACCUCCUCCUCAAUUUGAUCAUGUGAUGUUCCAUGCAGCUGUUACUGCCGCAGUGGCAGCCGCCAUGUCUCAAAUGAACCCCAGUGGUCCAGGAGGUGGUACCCAAUCUGAAAACCAAGAAGGUAGUUAGGGACACCGGAAGGAGUAUUCCUACAAAGAAUUUAUGAACGCGAAACCCACAACCUUCAAUGGCACUGGGGUGUUAUUACUCUGACACGAUGGUUUGAAAAGAUUGAGUCAAUUUUCAAAAUCUGUGCCUGUUCAGAAUCUGAUAAGGUGAAAUUCUCCGCCUGCACGUUCACCAUUAAAGCCUUGACUUGGUGGAAUGGCCGAGUCAAAUCCUUAACCCUACAUGUAGCAAAUAUUAUGGGUUGGGAGGUCAUGAAAGAGCUUCUACUUGCGGAGUACUUCCCUCGGGGCGAAAUGCAGAAGCUAGAGAAUGAACUAUGGAACCUAAACAUGAAGGGUUCCGAUAUCUCCGCCUACACUUCCAGAUUCGAUGACUUGGCGCUAAUCUGUCCGGGAAUGGUUACCCCGAAGAGUAAAAAGAUUGAGAGGUUCAUCUGGGGGUUGACCCAGCCAACCAAGGGUAAUGUCUUAGCUGCGAAGCCGGAUACAUAUGACAGCGCUAAAUGUCUGGCGCAAACUCUGAUUGAUCAUAGAGACAAUCCUGAUGAGGCGGUCACUGCUCUUGAACCGGAUAAAGGUAGUGGUGAAAAUAAAAAGAAAUUCUGGAACAAACGGAAUGGUCAGGGUUCGCAAGGAUCCUCCAAGAAGUAGCAAAUUGUGGCAGUCCACGCUGCUACUACUCAUGUUGCUGAUUCUGCUGUCGCUUCCACAACUCAAACCUCUACCAGUGAAUACAGUGGUACACUUCCCUGGUGCAGCAAGUGCAGCUACCAUCAUCGUACUCCCGGCUCUGCAACAACUGUGGCAAGAAGGGCCACCUUGCUCGAAACUGCAGAACACCAGCCCAAUCAACAAAUCAAGCUUCCGGAGCAGGUGUCGGUCAGCCCUGCUACGGUUGCGUUGAAGUCGGGCAUUUCAAGCGAAACUGCCCCAAGGCAACAACAACUAGUAACACUGGGAUCCUAGCUAUGGGACGAGAGGUGGCAAUCGCCGAUCCCACUGUUGUCUCGGGUACGUUCCUUCUCGACAACUCUUAUGCUAGUAUCCUUUUCGAUUCUGGUGCUGAAAGAAGUUUUGUUAGCCAUUCAUUCAAACAUCUCCUUAAGCAUAAUCCCCAACCAUUAACUGAAACAUUUACCGUUAAGAUGGCUAACGGUGAGAAAGAAAGCACUAGCGAUAUAUUCAUAGGUUGUACCCUUACCCUGAACGAUCAUUCUUUUCCCAUUGAGCUGAUGCCAGUUUCCAUAAAGAGCUUUGAUGUUAUCAUUGGCAUGGAUUGGUUGAGUCCCAAUCAUGCUGAUAUCCUUUGUUAUGAAAAAGCCAUCCGUCUCAAUCUCCCCUCUAGCCAAACUCUUAUGAUCUACGACGAUAAACUUAGUUCCAAUCUCCGCAUCAUUUCCUGCAUCAAAGCUCAAAAACUCUUGCGAAAGGAGUGUUACGCAUUCUUGGCUAAUGUAAUCAACGAGAAACAGGAAGUUAAUGACCUUGAGAGCAUCCCCGAAGUCUGCAACUUUCCUGAUGUCUUUCCCAAAGAGCUUCCGGGAAUUCCUUCCGAACGUCAAGUUGAGUUCCGCAUCGAUCUAAUCCCUCGAGCUACUCCUGUAGCCAAAUCUCCCUAUCGCUUAGCUCCAGCAGAAAUGAGGAGUUAUCCAGUCAGCUUAAUGAGUUGCUCAACAAAGGGUUCAUCAGACCGAGUUCCUCACCCUGGGGAGCUCCGGUAUUGUUUGUAAAGAAGAAAGAUGGAUCCUUCCGGAUGUGUAUAGAUUACCGUGAGCUGAAUAAGUUGACCGUCAAAAACCGUUAUCCUCUUCCUCAAAUAGACGACCUUUUCGAUCAACUUCAGGGAGCCAGCUACUUCUCAAAGAUAGACCUUAGUUCAGGAUACCAUCAGCUACGAGUUCAUGAGAGUGAUGUUUCCAAAACAGUUUUCAGGACUCGGUAUGGACACUACGAGUUCGUAUUGAUGCCCUUCGGUCUAACCAACGCACCGGUAGUGUUCAUGGACCUGAUGAACUGGGUGUGUCGCCCCUUUCUGGACAAGUUCGUUAUCAUAUUCAUUGACGAUAUACUUGUCUACUCCAGAAGCGAGGAAGAUCACAAACAACACUUGAGGUUAGUGUUGGAAACUCUUAGAACGGAGAAGCUGUAUGCGAAAUUCUCCAAGCGCAAGUUCUGGAUUCGAAAGGUAGCUUUCCUUAUUCACGUUGUAAGCGGGGAGGGUAUACAUGUGGACCUGUCUAAAAUCAAGGCGAUAGAGAAUUGGUCGGCACCGAAGACACCAACAGAAAUCCGUCAAUUCUUGGGUCUCGCUAGCUAUUAUCGUAGAUUCAUCCAGAAUUUUUCCAGAAUCGCCAAACCCAUGACCACUCUGACACAGAAAGGUGUACUCUUUUGUUAGAGUGAGAAGCAAGACACUGCAUUCCAUACGUUGAAGCAAGCCUUGUACAGCGCACCUAUCCUGUCCCAACCCGAACUGACGGAGGACUUCGUUGUUUACUGCGAUGCGUCCUAUCAGGGUUUAGGAUGUGUGCUUUUGCAGAGAGGAAAAUUUAUCGCUUAUGCCUCGAGACAACUGAAGGCACACGAAGUUAACUACACGACUCAUGACUUGGAGUUAGGAGCAGUGGUCUUCGCACUGAAGAUGUGGAGACAUUAUCUUUACGGAACUAAGUGCACGGUCUUCACUAACCAUAAAAGCUUGCAGCACAUCUUCAAUCAGAAAGACUUAAACAUGAGGCAACGACGAUGGGUAGAGCUGCUCAGUGACUAUGAUUGCAAAAUCCGCUACCAUCCCGGUAAGGCCAAUGUGGUAGCAGAUGCCCUCAGCCGAAAGGAAAGAUCAAGCAAUAAAGUGAAGAAGUUUACGAUGACCAUCCAUUCCCACUUAUCCGUACAGAUCCGAGAAGCCCAGUUGGAAGCCCUCAAACCAGAGACCGUGUCGAGGGAAGCCUUGAGGGGAAUGGAUAAGAAACUUGAGAUCAGAGGUGAUGGAGUCUCUUGUUUCAUGGAUCGAAUCUGGACCCCAAAGUGUGGAGGUUUCAGGGAAGUUGUUAUGAACGAAGCUCAUAAGACCAAAUACUCUGUUCACCCAGGUUCGGAUAAGAUGAACCUAGAUCUCAAGAAGCAAUACUGGUGGCCAAACAUAAAAUCCGAAAUCACUGCCUUCGUGGGGAACUGUAUGACUUGCGCCAAGGUAAAAGUCAAGUAUCAGAAGCCCUCGGGUCUGCUCCAGUAGCCUGAGAUACCUGAGUGGAAAUGGGAGAUGAUCACCAUGGAUUUCAUCACCAAGUUACCCAAAUCUCCAAGUGGGUACGAUACCAUUUGGGUAAUUGUCGACCGUUUGACAAAAUCCACUCACUUCAUUCCGAUCAAAGAAUCAUUCAAGAUGGAAAGAAUCACACGAGUCUACAUCCAAGAGAUAGUCCGACUGCACGGUGUACCUGUAUCCAUUAUCUCCGAUCGAGAUAGCAGGUUUAACUCGAGGUUUUUGCAGUCCCUUCAGAAAGCUCUUGGAACUAAGCUGGAUAUGAGUACAACUUACCAUCCUUAGACAGAUGGACAGAGUGAGAGAACUAUCCAGACCCUAGAAGACAUGUUGCGCGCAUGUGUCAUCGAUUUCGGAAAUUUGUGGGACACCCAUUUACCUUUGAUCGAGUCAUCAUAUAACAACAGCUGCCACACCAGUAUCAAGGUUGCCCCGUUUGAAGCCCUCUACGGUCGCAAGUGCAUAUCCCCUCUGUGCUGGGCUGAGGUAGGGGACACGCAGCUAGCUGAGAGUCGAGUCCCCGACAAUGCUCUCACUGGUCCUGAAAUCAUCCGCGAAACCACCGAGAAAAUUAUCCAGAUCCGAGAAUGACUGAAAGCAUCACGAGACCAACAGAUGAGUUACGCCGAUAAACGACGAAAACCUCAGGAGUUCCAGCUUGGAGAUAAUGUCCUGUUAAAGUUCUCUCCCUGGAAGGGCAUGAUACGCUUUGGAAAGCGCGGAAAACUUAACCCGAGGUACAUAUGACCUUUCGAGAUCCUCUCUAGGAUCGGUCCCAUUGCCUAAAAACUCCGGCUACCUCAUGAACUUAGCAACAUCCAUCUGUCGUCCAUGUUUCUAAUCUUAAAAAGUGUCUAUCCGAUGAAACCCUUGUGAUCCCUCGUGAUGAGAUCGAGAUCAACGAAAGUCUGAACUUCGUAGAAGAACCAAUUGAAAUCAUGGAUAAAGAGAUCAAACGUACGAAACAAAGCCGCAUCCCAAUAGUGAAGGUUCGCUGGAAUGCCAAGCGGGGACCCGAAUUCACAUGGGAGUGUGAAGACUCGAUGAAACAGAAAUAUCCGUAUCUCUUUCCAAUUCCAUGAUUUGUAUGUUAGUUUUUAAAUUUCGAGACGAAAUUUUCUCUAACGGGGGGAUAAUGUGACAACCCGUAAUUUAUUUUGUCACUAUAAACCGUUCCCAUUAACAAAACCUUUCAUAUUUCAAUUUUCCGUUAACUUUUGAUUUAUAUUAAUUAAAUUGCGAAUUUUAUUAUGACCUCGUGAGUGUCCAAACCCAUUAGAAACACAUAAAAAUACCCACGUUAUUUAUUUGGAAAAAAAAUUAUUUACGACUAAGUCGGGUUACAACAAUUUAAUAGGGUAAAAUUUUAAACCCCGUUUAACGUCGGUAUUGGGUGGAUCCCCACUUGGCCACAAACUCAAACCCUAUAUAAGGGUGAGUGUACCUUCAUUUAAAGCCUUUUGUCCACCCUCAUAGCUGUUGGAUUAAUGUCUAAGUCCAUAACUAUAAUUGGUAAGACUUGACCCGACCCGGCAUGGUCCAUUUGGGUUGCAUGGCAUCAUGCACUUGGAUAGACUAUAAUGAGAGAAAUAAGACACUUAUGGUUAUUAAUAUAUUAUAAGUUCUAGUAUAUUAAUAAUAAGAAUAAUAAGAUUAUUUAAUUAGUAUUAAUCAAGAAUUAAUCUAGGAUUAAUUAAGUGAUCAAAAGAAGACUAAUUAAAUAUAUGGGUUGAUUGUGUAAAUCAUCCAUACUUGUAUAGUGGGAUAAUGCUCUAUGGAUAAUAAAGUUGGGCUAAAACCCAUAGGAUGGUCAAUGGAUGCUCCAUGGUGUAUUUGAACCCAUGGAUCCAAGGAAAUGGAAAGUCAUGAAAAUUAUGGUUUACCCUAAUUGUAACACUAUAUAAAGAUCUUAUUCUUCACCAAAAUUGGCACUAGAGUGUGUAAUAGAAGGGCUAGCUGAUUUCAUGAGUGUAGGUUUCUCUCAAGUUAUUCCAAGUACAUUUGGUGUUGUGUGAACCAUCUGAGGUGUCACAAUUGGGGCACUAGGCACUCAAGCUUCAUGAAGACAUUCUACAUCAAAGAGGUAUGUAUUCUAUCUUGUUAUAUUGAUAGUUUUGUAUGCUAGAUUAGGAUAAUACCUUGGAAGUUCUUAUUUGCAUGUAUAAUAGAGAAAACAUAGAUCCAAGGUAUUUAGGGUUGCAUGUACACUUAGGAGUGUUAGAAUGCUCAAAACCCAACAGUGGUAUCAGAGCCUAGGCUUGUUUUCUUGUUAUACCUGCAAUAGAAGCUGAAAAAACGAAUCUGGUGCUGUCUGGCCAUCAGACUCGGCGAGUCCAUCAGGAGACUCGACGAGUCCAUGCCUAAAAAGUGAUGAAUUCGAUCCAACUCGCCGAGUUUGUUCAUGCACUCGACGAGUUGGACCCCCAGACAGCAUAUUUUCGAGUUUUUUGGCUAGAAAUGGACUAGGAACAUUACCCUAAGUUGUUUUUGAACUUAUAAACUUGUUUUUGAUGUGGUAAUGUUCAUGCUAAUCCAAUUUCAAAGAUAAUUGUCAAUAGAUUCAUGUUUUGUAUUAGUUUAAGGUUUAGACUAAUACAUUAAAAAAGUUUGAUUUGAAUUAUCUUGUUCUUAUGAGUUGCUUAGAUUAAUAGAAUAGUUGAGUGGAAUAGUUGUUUUCAAUCCAAAUUAGUCUAAGAGUUGAUUCUAAAAUGUGUUUUUGUAACUUGUCCUCAAGUUAUAUGAAAAAUCACAUUUAAGUUUCAUAAAACUAAUAAAAGUUGGCAAAGGUUACAAAAUGAAGAGUCUAGUUCUAAUUAAAUGGUUUUAUGACUCCAUAACUUGUCCUCAAGUUAUGGAGGUUGAAGAGUUUUUGGAUUAAAACUACUUUAAACACAUAAGUUAUGGAAUUAAUUAGUUUUGAAUAGUUUCAAAACUUGCCCUCAAGUUUUGGAAUUUGUAAAGUUUUCACUUAUGAAUACUUUAAUUCCAAGUUAGCCCUUAGAAUUUUAAAAGUUAAAAUUCAACCCUUAUACUUUAUAAUAUUAUAAGUUAAUAAUAUAUAUAUGUAUAAGAGUAAAGUCAGUCUUACCGCUAGUACGCCUCAUUCACGAAGCCGGUCUAUAAGGUGGGUAUAAGGUUGUUGCCUAUAAAAUGGCAACUUAAUGGGUGUCCACUCUCACCCACCGCUUGCUUGACUGGUGGAGGGUCGUUAGCCGAACGGGUUUGACAGGACUAGAAUUCUCCCUUCAUUAAAAGUAUUAAUGAUAAUACUAAGUAACUAAACUCUUAAUAAUACCCAAUCUUAGUUACUUAGGAAAAAUGUGAAUAAGGUGCUAAUCCAUGAAAUUACACUUUACACUUUGUCUAAGUCGUUAGUGGAGCGUGUGUGGUUAACCGGCACACUAACUUGGACUUAACAAGGUAGGUAAAGGGUGACUUAAUAUUUAUCAUAGUAUCGAUGGAGCGUGUGUGGUUAACCGGCACAUCGAUUGAGGGGUAAUUUAUUAAGGGUACCAAGUGAUUUGCAUGGUUACUUCACACCUUGUUUUGUGAUCCUCGGCAUCCCAGUCACAAAACCUGAAGGGCACACUCGAGAUUGAAACAUGCCUUUGAAAAGUUCAAUGAAUCUCAAAGAUCUAGGAGUUUCAAAACCAAUUAAAACCUAAUAAUACAUUUCGUUUAUCUUGGUGGAAAUUGGUGAAUCGUCAUUCACCUACCUUCAAAUAUUUUAUAGCUUGGAUUACGGCAUACCUCUUCUAAGUUAUAAAAUAGUUUGUUGGGUCCUAGCCUUAAUAUUUCAUAUUGGGUGUCAUAUUAAGGACUUUAAAUCAACUAUCUUGAAUAUCUCCCAAAAGAUGUCUGGUUUAGACACCUAUGAUCUUCCCAAAUCUCUUGAAACAAGGUUUCCUAAUGAAGAUGAUGUCCCAUGGAUAUCAUACUUCUUUCUCCUCCUCCAAUUAUUCUCCCUAACCCACAAGUUCUUGAAAAGUUUAAGGUCACUCAAGCCCUAUUGGCAAGGCAAGGUCUAGGUGUGAUCACAUCUUGGAGAUGUAGUCACAUAUUGACAAGCCGGGAGAGUUGGGUGUCAAAGUCUUGAGAAAGUUGGUGGUUCAAUCACUUUCUAAGUCACAUAGUGAGUUCCUUUGGGACACCUAUGAAACAGACUAUGACAAGACCCUUAAUGAUCUUAUCUAUUUGCUAAGAUCAACUUCCUAAAACUUUAUGGACAUUGACAAUGAUGACAUUGGAUAUCCAGUAAAGCAUUCUCUUCCCAAUGGAAAGGGAUCGGCCAUAGUCAACUCGGUUGACCAAAUGGUAAAGAGAAAAGCUAAGUCUGUGAUAGUCUCGUGUACCAUUAUCAAAGGGUCCAUAUGUUUAUAUUGCCAAAGGAAGGGGCAUUGGUUGCGAAGCUGCCAAAUUUACCUAAGGAUGUUAAAGUCAAUAAGUUUGACUCUACUUCAGGUAAAGUCCACUAUCUAACUCUGUUAAGUUUCUAUUCUGAGAUUCCUGAUACAUGAUGUGACUGGGUCACAUGGUGAUGUUUUAAGAAUCAAAGAAAAGUGAAGAAACUUAAAGAAAGAAUAUGCUGAAUCUGAUGGCGUAGAUGGAUUUCUAUCGCAUAGUUUGAAGAUCGGAUUCUUGAGCAACUUCUUAGGAGUUAUGAGAUAUUGCUUAGGAAUAGAUAACAACAAGUUUUCAUAUGGAUUGUAAGGAUAAGUUUUUCCGCAAAGUUUUAAAAUAAAAGAAAAUUUUUUUGAUUUUAUUUAUUUUAAAAUAUCCUUACAAUGGCUUUUGAGGAAAAAUUGUUGCUUAUAUGAUUCCAUUAAGAGCAAGAGUGGAAAUAUGAAAUUGAUUCUUUCAUUUGUGGUAAUGUCUAGAUUUACCAAAUAAGGAAAGAUUCUCAUCACCCAAGUUUCAAUUGGACCGGAACUUGGAAUCAUGCAAGUUGUAUAGCAUGAUGAAUGAGAACUUUCAAGUUUUGGAAAAUUAAGACUAAUUACUCGGCCACAUGGAUGUGUGAGUCAAGUAAAGGACUAAGGGAUCGAGUACACAUUCUUGUGCACUGAUUAAGUCCACCACAAAAGAUUGAUAAGACUAUUCGUCAUAGUUUACUAAAGCUCAGUAAAUAUGAUUAUACUUACAAGCUUAAGUGUAACUCUGAGACAUUGGAAAAGGUUCCAAUGUAUGGCAGGGCGAAUAAGAAGAAUCAAAUAAGGCAGAAGGAUAAAAGUUUCUCAAAUCUGAAAAGAUGGGAGAGUACUUUAGUAUCAGUUUUGUGAUCAUCUUAAUGAUUAAGAAACCAUAUCAAAAUUAGUUCUCUAAGGAAAUCUUAGUGCAUUCUUAUGACUAAGAAGAGGAACUUGAAUUGUUGAAAUGGUUAAAUCAAGAAGAUGAGUCAUACUUCGUUCCAAUACAAGUCUUAGAGUCAUACUCCAAGAUUGUCAUUUGAGUGACAUGUCUUAAAGAAGGUUUAAAACACUUGUCAAAUGUAAGAGUAAAAGUUUUCUACUCUUGUACAUUUGAAAUUGGUAAGUUGUGAUGUUUUGGAUAAAACAAAGACCAACUUAGGCCAAUUGGGUAAAGUGUUUUUCUUGAUUAGAAUCCGCACUAUCUCUUGGAUGUUUGACAAGGGAGUCUUAUAUGUCAAGAGGACAGUGGGAGUCUUAAAGGUCUUGAAAGUCUCAAGAACUAAUCAAGAAUAAAACCUAAAGUUCUUCACUAGCACACAACUUGAGGUUCAUAACCUAUCGUGUUGACAUAUUCUGUGCCCAUUCCAGUUAAAGUUGGCUUUGCAUAUGAGUUCUUAGAGUUCUCAAUUUGUUGCACAACAACUUGGAAGCAAUGGUAGGCCCUUGAGCUGCCAGGUGGCAAGAAAUUAAGAUUGAGUUCAGUCCAUAUGAGUUUGGAUUUGUCAUUAUCCUUGUCUUGUGACUAUGAUUUUGACAAUUCACAUGGAUAAGAACACAUACACCAUUAAAUCUAAGUGUCAUAAGGUUUCUCUCCGAUUCAUGAAAAUGAUGGUGAGGAAACACUUUCACUAAGUAGAUUUUAGCUAGAUAGCAAUUGUGAUAUUUGCAUUCUCAAAGUCGUUAGUGGAGCGCGUGUGGUUAACCGGCACACUAACUUGGACUUGUGAGAAGUGGCAAAAAGGUCUAAACAUUAUGAUUACGGCAUCCCUCUUCAUAAUUGUUUAGAUACACAAGUGUGCUAUCUAAGGGAAGGUGUAUGAUUUUGAUACAGUUUUAUCAAAACAAUCUAGUAUCAGAAAUCUGAACUUUGGUAAGAAAGUCAAUGAAGUAUUGAUUUCUAGAAGUCCAGCUGAUUUCUGAGUACAUGUCAAAGCUAGUGGGAGCAUAAGUGUUAUGCUAAUAAUCAUCAUGUUAGUGGGAGCAUGAUAAUUAUGAUAAGUAUUGCAAGUUAGCAAUGUUAAUUAUAGAAAACAAAAGUUUCAAUUGGGAAAAAGUUGUUUUGCUAUAAUUAAGGGAGAGGAAAUUAUACUUCAUCUCAAAUCUAUAAGCUUAGAUCGUGAGGUUUUAAUCAUUUAGUCAAGGAUAUAUAUGAAUUUCAUGUUGGAAUGGCUCAACAUAAGGAAAUUCUGUAUAUGGGUCCAUUAUUUGCGUUCUAAAAUUCGAUUAUGAUUACGGCAUCCCUUUUCAUAAUCUGAAUUAUGAGAACUUGGCAAAUUGAAAUGGAAAUGUUAUAGCAAAAGACUGGUUUAGUCUUUAUGUGAGACAUCAUGAAUCGUGUCCCAUAUGCUUCGGAUAUAGGAUCGAUUACAUGUGCUAUAUUCAUCCGUUCUAAAAUUUUCCAAAUGCCUGGGGCAUUAAGAAGGGAAAAGGUUUAGAACUGGAUAUGACUAAAAGGAUUAAACAAUUGUCGAGGACAAUCUAAGGUUUACCAAAGAUUGGUUGCUCAAGGACAGUUGGAAGUAUAGUGAUAAUUCUGGAAGGACCAUAUUGACAUAAUCUGUAAGGAGGCAACUCUUGUUCAGAAGUGAUAGUCAAAAUGGAAUCUGGAAAUGUUUCAAAGUUAGAAUUUUCAAUCUGUUUAAGAUUAGGAAACUUAAUGCAAGAAGGAUGUUUCCAAGGAGCUGAUCUCCUUUGGAAUACUCUGUAAUGAUUGUUGUCAAGUCUUUCUGACUUUGUGCAUAAUCAUUACAAGAGGAUCAAUGCAUAUAAGUUUAGAAUCUAACAGAUUUCAGUAAAUGGCAUGAAUUUGGAAUUCUUGCAUUUGCAGUAAGGAUUUGGGAGUGUGAAAAGAGAAUCAUUGAAGUUAUGUUCAAUUGAUCUAGUUCACAAAGUAAAGAUCAUAGACAAACAUAGUAUGCAUACUUGGUGUGUGGCAUGACUAGUGUUUAAGAAAACAUAGUGUACAUGCUUGGAGCAUGGGACAACUAUUGUUUUAAAUUCAAGAAUAAAGUUGAUAGCUGAAACAGUAUACAAUGAAUAAUGUGUAAUCAUAUGGUGAUAAAUAAAAGGUGUUUUAUUUAUGUUCAAAGGGUUGAUACCAUAUUGGAUUCAAUUAUUAUUGUGUUUCACUUUGCAUGUUUUGACUUCCCGAAUAAACUAGGUUAUUCUUCCGGAAUGACUAAGUUAUUCAAACCAUCCACAGUCGGUCAUAUGUUGGAAGUAGAUAUGAAUUAAGACUGUCAUGGGUUGGCUUGUAGAGGUCUAAGGUGUUGGACAAAGGGCUACAACACUCAUGAGUGCUCAUAAGUUCUGAGUAUUGGAUUCAACCCGCGCUCAUUGGAAUCACUUCAUGGAUUUUAUCACGAGUGAUCAUGAGACGAUAAUAUCUUAUAUUCUUCAAACCUAGAGAUAUGAGUUGUUACUAUGAGUUGAUAGUACAUUGAUUGCACGAAAACGCAUUUGGUAACUCGGUGCUAUAAAACGUGCCUUUGUGUAUGAUUCAACAAGUAGUAGAACAAGCCAUAUGAGUCGAAGUUUAUCCAUUCCUUUUACCUUCGGGAUAAAAGCGAUAUCUGUGGGCCCCUCGAUGAUUUGAUGAUGACAAAUGGAAGUGCUCGGCCGGGCCAGGACUGAUUUGAUUUGUUCAAUUAGUCAGUCGUCAUAAAUCGGAAAUCGGGAAACAACAAAUGGACAGAGAGAAUGAUUAUAAUCCAUGUCUCAGUCCAUAUGAUAUCUAGAAUGGAGGAAUAUAUGAUCCCUUAUCUAAUGGACAAGUCAUUGACAAAGGUCAGAGUUCAUCUACAAGGUCAGAGUUCGACAGAAGCUUUUGAGAGCUACGAUUGCCGGUUGGUUCCUGAAGUCAUACGCAAUAAUAGUUUUAGACUUAUCCAAGUGGGAGACUGUUGGAUUAAUGUCUAAGUCCAUAACUAUAAUUGGUAAGACUUGACCCGACCCGGCAUGGUCCAUUUGGGUUGCAUGCCAUCAUGCACUUGGAUAGACUAUAAUGAGAGAAAUAAGACACUUAUGGUUAUUAAUAUAUUAUAAGUUCUAGUAUAUUAAUAAUAAGAAUAAUAAGAUUAUUUAAUUAGUAUUGAUCAAGAAUUAAUCUAGGAUUAAUUAAGUGAUCAAAAGAAGACUAAUUAAAUAUAUGGGUUGAUUGUGUAAAUCAUCCAUACUUGUAUAGUGGGCUAAUGCUCCAUGGAUAAUCAAGUUGGGCUAAAACCCAUAGGAUGGUCCAUGGAUGCUCCAUGGUGUAUUUGAACCCAUGGAUCCAAGGAAAUGGAAAGUCAUGACAAUUAGGGUUUACCCUAAUUGUAACACUAUAUAAAGAUCUUAUUCUUGACCAAAAUUGGCACUAGAGUGUGUAAUAGAAGGGCUAGCCGAUUUCAUGAGUGUAGGUUUCUCUCAAGUUAUUCCAAGUGCAUUUGGUGUUGUGUGAAGCAUUUGAGGUGUCACACUUGGGGCACUAGGCACUCAAGCUUCAUGAAGACAUUCUACAUCAAAGAGGUAUGUAUUCUAUCUUGUUAUAUUGAUAGUUUUGUAUGCUAGAUUAGGAUAAUACCUUGGAUGUUCAUAUUUGCAUGUAUAAUACAGAAAACAUAGAUCCAAGGUAUUUAGGGUUGCAUGUACACUUAGGAGUGUUAGAAUGCUCAAAACCCAACAAUAGCUUCCUCUCUCUUCUCUCUCUCUCUCUAAAACUCGAGUUUGAUCCAAAAGCACCCCUUUCAAGAUUCAAAUUGGUAAGUAAUCUAUCCUAGCUUGUUACUAAGCUUGUUUAUCAUGAAAAUUCGUGUGUAAAUCAUCCAAAUGCAUCAAGAACAUGUGUUUAGGGUUUGGGAACCCUCCCAAAACCGUAAACUCCUUUAAAGAGGGUUUUGAAGCCCCAAAACUCUUCUAAAUCACUUCUAGUGCUUAGAUAUGACUUAGGGGCUUGCAUGAAUGGAAUUAGAACGCCAAAAUCUUACCAUUAGAGGAGUAAACAUGAUUUUACGGCCCAAGAACAUGCUUGGACGGUAAACCCUGAUUCAUGGACCAUAAACACAUUUUAAGGGUGUCAAAGUGCCCCUAACACCUUGUAUGGCUUAGAUUUGGGUCUAGAACUUAGCAUGCUUAACCUACAACCACCAAAUCACAUGAAUCAUGGGAAAACAUGAGUUUAUGGCCAUAAAAUCAUGUGUUUACGACAGAAAACUCACCAAGAACACUUUCAUAAACCGUAAACUCCUUUCCAAGGUCAAUUCAAAUCCCGAUCACUUCGUAAGCCUUUGAUUCAACCCUAGAACCUUCCCUUGUGCAUUGUAAGACCAUAUAGCAUCAAAGAACACACCACCCAUGAGUUUACGGCCUUAAACUCAUGGGGAUAUGGUCUUUGGACUGUAAAAUCCCCUAAGGGCUUACUCUUGAAGAGUAAACCCCUUAUAUUGGCCCUAUACACCGUUAGAUGCAACCCGGAUCACUCCUAACACUUGAAAUAAAGUGUCUUCGCAUCUCGGAGUGUAUUGUCUUACUUAUUUGGUAGUUCAAAGUCUAAUUAGAUAAAAUUAUGUAUAUCUUCAUAUUACAUAGGAACCUCGCGUGUUUUCAAGCCCCGAACUGACACUGAGCAUCCUAAUCGGUGCAUUUCUCGACUGGUGAGUUCAUAGCCCUACUCUUUUUCUGAGUUUUUCAUGUUUUCAAGGGGGGGGGGGAAUACAAGAAAAGCAUAAAAGUUUUCGUAACUUAAAAACUGAUGUAAUUAUACGAUUUUCUGACGAACUUUUAGAUAUAUUUAUCCAUUUUGUAAUAUGCGGAGCAUAAGGGAUGUUUUCUGAAUAUAAUUACAUAGUUUUCAAUACAGUUUGGUGAAAUUUUUGAAACCAAUCAAAUUAUUAUGGGAAUAAUUUGGGAUAUUCGUUACUUGUUUCACGGAUUCAGAUUUCAUGAAAAGACGAUAUAUAAACUAUGUCUGAUUUAGUUUAUCCAAGUUUAAUAUAGAGUAUCAUGCUAAAUAAUUACUUUGUAUUUAAUUAUUUAUACUCUCCUACGGUUCAAACGAUUUCGAAACUUGAUAACGACCAAGUGUACCGUGAAUUAUUUAAUUCUAGCUUGUGAGAUUCGUCUUCGUUAUACCCUUCGGGGUACCAGUAAAUCCUCACCGGAAGUAUAACCAGAGUCUCCUGGAUGGAGAGCGUAAAAUUUGUGGAUAGAUCUAUUCGGGACUGACAAUCGCACACCUUAACUGCUAGCUAUAGUUAGGCGGCCACGCUGGGGUGACAAAUUUCGGAUAUCGUUCGACGCCUGAAGAACGUCAAGGAGGUUACGGGUCAAAUGAGUAUUGUUAUACGACUCACAAUACGUAUUAAACUAAAUAGUUUUAUUCAUGGAUUUAUUUCUUUCAUUCUUCUAUAGCCUUAUUUAAGUAAUAAGACUACCUACUUUCGUACUGGAGGGUAUUCCAAGGUUCUUAAUGUAUAGUUUUAAGUAUUAAAACUACCUACUUUCGUACUGGAGGGUAUUCUAGGGAUCUUAACUUAUGGUUUUCUUAUCGUGCUGGUGAUAACCGAGGUUUUUCUUAUCUUUUGGAAAUCGACUUACAUGUUAGAAAAUAUGGGAUUUUCUGGGAAAACAUGCAUAUGUAUUUCAUAACUCAGUAUCAAUGGUUUUCGAUAUUACAAAAAUCUUUAUCAAAGGAAAUGAAUUAUUUAUCACAAGAUUAAAUAACCAGUUUUCCUUUGAAACAUGCUUAUGAACUCACCAGCUUUAUGCUGAUAUUUUUAAAACUGCUUGUAUUCUCAGGUCCUCAUUAGACAAGUAUCUCGCCAUCUUUUGGUGAAGACAGAGCAUUUUAGUAGUCUUGUCUUUACUUUUGUUCAUUUUGGAUGUAUAUAUCUAUAAUCAUGUAUAACUUUACUUUCGAACAAAUGUAAAUACUUCUAUGUAAUGUAAUGGUUGUGUUUACUACGCUUACUAUGUGAAUUGGUUGUGAUACUACGCAUGACAUCACCUCCGCUUCAGAUCGUUUCCGCCUUCGGUUUCGGGGUGUCACAUACAAGGACUUCAUCAACUGCAAACCCCUUUCCUUUGACGGAAAUGGUGGAGUCAUCGCUCUGAUGUGAUGGUUCGAGAAAACAGAUUCGGUCUUCGAAAUCUGUUCGUGCCUAGAAGGGAGCAAAGUGAAGUUUGCUGCCUGCACCUUCUUUGUCAGAGCCCUGACAUGGUGGAACAGCCAUGUUAGGUCACUGACCCUAUCAGUGGCUAACUCAAUAGGGUGGGAAAACCUAAAGGAGUUAAUGAUUGAACAGUAUUGCCCAAAAGGCGAAGUACGGAAACUGGAACAAGAACUAUGGGAACUUAAGAUGGUCGGCUCAGACAUAGUGACCUACACUGACAGGUUUUGCGACCUGGCAACACUAUGCCCUGAAAUGGUUACCCCAGAGAGCAAGAAGAUAGAAAGAUACAUCUGGGGUCUAGCUGCCCCGAUCCAAGGAGAUGUAUUGUCUUCUAACCCAGCCACAUUUGGUAGUGCCAAACGCCUGGCCCAGCGGCUAAUUGACCAUGGAGUCCACCAUAAUGUAGAAGUCCACGUUCCCGAGCCAUGAAAGGGAAAGGACUAUAAUUGGAAGUCGGGGAAGAAGAAGAAGAAGAAGAAGCAAACAACCUAGGAAACCCCGCAAGAGCAGCAAGCGAGUACUAUGUACGCCGCUACAACGCCUGCUACUCCAGCACCUGCCAGUCAAUAUGCUGGAACCCUUCCGAAGUGUGGAAAGUGCAACUUUCACCACCCCGGAGUAUGCCAGGAAAUGUAGUGUCUGAACUGCCACAGAAAGGGACACAUAGUUCGUUUCUAUAGGGCACCGGCUCAACCGAUCUCCCAAGUCCCUAGAGCUGAAGAAAACCAAGACUGUUAUGGCUGUGGUGAGACUGGACACUAUCAGGGGGACUGCUUGAUAAUAUGGAACUUAGGUGCGGAUGGACGCAUUCUGAUGGUCACCGCAGGAGAAUCAACCCCAAAUUCGUCAACGAGCAGCAUUACGUCUUCGGUUUAGUAAUUACUUUCAAAAUUAAUUUAUAUUUAUAUAGGAUUAAAACUAAGCGGAAUACACUUAAAAGUAAUCUUAAUCACUCGCAUAUUGACAUAGGUCACGAUAUUAAAGAGAACUAAAAGAUCCGUUUAGAGAAGCUAUGAUGGCUUAGCAUAUACAUCAGGGUUGUGCAUAACAAAGAUGUUGAAGACUUAGAGUGAGUGAUUCCGCCUUAAUUCCUGUUCCUUUUCUGGUUGUGGAUUUGAGGUAGAGUUACUUAGUCGACUGUCUUAUUCAUCUUAAGAAUUCAUAACUUGUAUAUGACAGGCGAUCGUAGUAGUACCGAGGAGGAUCAUUGUAACAUCUCAAAUUUUCAAAUAAAUUUUUCAUUUAAAACAANNNNNNNNNNNNNNNNNNNNNNNNNNNNNNNNNNNNNNNNNNNNNNNNNNNNNNNNNNNNNNNNNNNNNNNNNNNNNNNNNNNNNNNNNNNNNNNNNNNNNNNNNNNNNNNNNNNNNNNNNNNNNNNNNNNNNNNNNNNNNNNNNNNNNNNNNNNNNNNNNNNNNNNNNNNNNNNNNNNNNNNNNNNNNNNNNNNNNNNNNNNNNNNNNNNNNNNNNNNNNNNNNNNNNNNNNNNNNNNNNNNNNNNNNNNNNNNNNNNNNNNNNNNNNNNNNNNNNNNNNNNNNNNNNNNNNNNNNNNNNNNNNNNNNNNNNNNNNNNNNNNNNNNNNNNNNNNNNNNNNNNNNNNNNNNNNNNNNNNNNNNNNNNNNNNNNNNNNNNNNNNNNNNNNNNNNNNNNNNNNNNNNNNNNNNNNNNNNNNNNNNNNNNNNNNNNNNNNNNNNNNNNNNNNNNNNNNNNNNNNNNNNNNNNNNNNNNNNNNNNNNNNNNNNNNNNNNNNNNNNNNNNNNNNNNNNNNNNNNNNNNNNNNNNNNNNNNNNNNNNNNNNNNNNNNNNNNNNNNNNNNNNNNNNNNNNNNNNNNNNNNNNNNNNNNNNNNNNNNNNNNNNNNNNNNNNNNNNNNNNNNNNNNNNNNNNNNNNNNNNNNNNNNNNNNNNNNNNNNNNNNNNNNNNNNNNNNNNNNNNNNNNNNNNNNNNNNNNNNNNNNNNNNNNNNNNNNNNNNNNNNNNNNNNNNNNNNNNNNNNNNNNNNNNNNNNNNNNNNNNNNNNNNNNNNNNNNNNNNNNNNNNNNNNNNNNNNNNNNNNNNNNNNNNNNNNNNNNNNNNNNNNNNNNNNNNNNNNNNNNNNNNNNNNNNNNNNNNNNNNNNNNNNNNNNNNNNNNNNNNNNNNNNNNNNNNNNNNNNNNNNNNNNNNNNNNNNNNNNNNNNNNNNNNNNNNNNNNNNNNNNNNNNNNNNNNNNNNNNNNNNNNNNNNNNNNNNNNNNNNNNNNNNNNNNNNNNNNNNNAAAGCGGACAAUAUUGUGAUACGUGCCAGAGGGGGGUGUUACAAUCAUGAUAUUCAGUAUCAUCACCAAUUAUCAAAGAUCUUUUAUUUGUAUGUAUGCACACAUAGUAGUACAAUACAUAGGAGUGUUAGCAUCAAAUGGAAAACAGAAAGCAAUAUAACAUUCACUAAGAGUACAUUGUCGAACACCCUAAGAAUACAUUAUCGAACACACUAGGAAUACAUCAUUGUAUAACAGACAUUUCUUUCAAAUUGGCAAAAACUAUGUUCAGUAGAGAGUCCGUUACUAUCGUUUGUCAUGAGUUGGCGUAGUCCUCACCAUACAAAGUUCAUAUGUUUUGUAUCGUCUCGAUCGUCGAAUUUUCGAAACCAUCGCCCUUUGUAGCGAUAGUCCGACCUAAAUCCCAAUUUUAUCUCCUGUAUUCUCAACCCGAAGUACUCGUGCGAAGGGUACUUUGUCCUCCGAAGCCUUAUCAUCAGAUGUCCGCAGACUGUCACGAAAUAUCGCUCAUCCAGCAGACCAAGUUCGAGCACAGAGGCUAAGGACGAAUACAGCCCACCUAUCACUAUUCAGUGUAUAUGCAAGGGUGGUAUAUGAUUAUGAUUACGCAGAUUUAGUAUGUGUGCUUCCGCCUUAUCUCUUGUUCCUUGUUUGUUGUGGACCUGGGGCAGAGUUGCACAUCUGACCGUCUUACUAAUCGUAAUUAUAUACGACUUAUAUACACGAGGUAAUGAUAGAUGGACCAAGUACGAAUCGUAUGAUGAACAGAAGGGAAAAGUUGCCAGGUCUACGAGUAGGUAUUUUGCCAAUCAACGGAGCACAACCCCAGUAGUACUGUAAGAAACCUAAUUUCGAGACGAAAUUCCCUCUAACGGGGGGAUGUUGUGACAACCCGAAAUUUUUUUGCUUUGAAGACCCAGUCAAUCAACUCAACUGAGUGUCAUACUUAUUUCUGCUAUCUUUUAGCCAUAUUUAGAGUCCGUUUGAAGGUUCAAAGCUCCGUACAUUCAAGCAUUGAGCAUAGGAAUGGAUCGCGUACACUUCUAGCACCAAAAUCGAGCCUUACACUCCAACAUAAGGAAUGUACAUCCGCACACCCCUCUUCUAGCAGCACACUCACAUGUAUAAAUGUAGAUCUUAGCCUCCUUUAAUUCCUUUUCACACUCCCAAGCCUAGAACUCGAUUUCUCUCUCAACUAUCAUCCGAUUUAAAACUUAGAUCUUCAAGAAUGUAAGGGUUCUUCCCUUGAUUUGUUGUUAAUAUUCUUAAACUAGUUACAUCCUUUGAUUUAAUCCAUUUCAAAUCAUGUUUUGGCUAGAUCUUCAAAUCUUCAACCAUUUCACCAAGAACACCAAGAACACACACUUGUUCUUGGUGAUUUUGGGCCUUCUCGAGCUUCCGAAUCGUAAGUACUCUUUCGUUAAGCUUAGAACAUACUAAUAACACUUGUAUAGAGCCUUGAAACUGCCCAGAACUCAAGAACAUAUGGUGUGUGCGGCCGCACACACAGUUGUGGCCGUACACCCCUCAAACACCCUUCAAACACCCCUAAAGGCUUCCGUAUUGUAGGGACCAUUCCCUAAGCUUGUUACUUACUAGAUAUGAGCCUUAGAAAACGUCGAAACCAUGUUCAUCAAGGAGUGUGCGGCCGCACACACUCCAUAUGGCCGUACACCCCUUUGUUUAAUGCUUAAGGGCCUUCAAAGUGCCUUUCUAGCUUCAACACUUGAUGAACAUCAGUCCUACAAGCCUCCCUGCCAUUUGGAAAACGUUUUGUUCACUCUUUACCAUGAGUGUGCGGCUGCACACUCCUCAAAGUGGCCGUACACUCCCUUUUAGUGAAUCACAUGUGAUUCUGACACUUGGUCAAAGUGUUUCCUAGUCCUGUAAGGUGUUUCAUUGCAUUUGGUUGCUUCCAAACACUAUAUUUAUGUCAGUAUAUGCCAUUAUAUUUCAUUUAGGACCUAUUAAGUCUCGGGACUUCAUUCGUGGAACUUCUCAUCCUAACACGCAUACCCGUUUGAAUCACCCACAUCAGUUGAGUACAUACCCCGUAAUGAAUCUUUUAACUGUUUUAAAUGCUUUUAAGGGGGGGGGGGGUGUAAGUUAAACACAAUGAUAAUUGUGUAACUAUUUGUUAUAAACAUCUUUCAAAAUGUUGCUUAUGUCUUCUAUAAGUGGUCAAAACAUUUCAGAAACUAUUUUACAUUUAUGUUGCUUUAUAGUUUAACAAAACUCCAUUUUUUUAGUACAACCAUAACUUGGUAGUAAAAUGAGUCUUUUCAAUAACAGUUCAAGUAGAAUACUAGUAAACUAUAAUUGGUAUAGUUUAGGGAUUCAGAAUAUACUAGAUACAAUACACGGUAACAAAGAGAACAUACCAUACGCUAGUAGAUACUAUACGACUAAACAUACUAAGACACUAUAACAAGAGAAGAUACUAAAGUACUAUAACAGAACGAACAUACUAAGUUGCUAUAGAAUGGAACACUUACAGGAUCUAAUUAUACCAAUGAAUCACUAACGCAUUGUUCUAAACAAAAGGUGAUAGUUAUAUUGGGUAUACAUGAUCAUAAAAUUUUAAUGUGGAUGUUCACGGCUUGCAAUUAUUUGCAGAGGUCGCGUUUGGAUCCCAUAAUCUUUUGACAGGGAGAGCGUUUAGUAUGGGAUCUAGCCAUCACAUUAUAUAUUAAUAAUCAAUUUAAGGCAAUUAGCACAACAGUAGUUACUAUGUACAAUACUACAACACUUACAUUAUCUCAUUUCUUUCAUAAAGUGACAGUACCACUUGAAAGUCAACGUAAAUUAUUUUGGAGUCAAGAUAGUUAUAAACUAGGGAAAACUUACAUUUUACAAAUGAUAAACAGAAUAUUCGGGUCUAGUACAAUCAAUAGAAAGGGACCAUAAUGCUAACCUUCUGAUUCCUUAAUGUAUAUNAUAUAUAUAUAUAUAUAUAUAUAUAUAUAUAUAUUAAUAGGAUCUGAUAGGUAAUAUGAUGUGUGCUCUCCGCUUCAUUUCCUGUUCCUUGUUUGGUUGUGGGCUUAGAGCAGACUCACCGAGCCUAUUAUCUAUUCAAUCUUAGUUAUAUAUUGGUUCUGUACACAUUAAGUCAUCAUAAGGGGUACCCGGUAUGGGUCAAGUCAUAGGACACUAAUUCAAUGCAUAGUUUUCUAGUACAAUACAUACCUUUCAAACAUAAUUUUUGGUAAACAAAACUAGAAACUUACCAGUAAAGGGUUUAAUCCAUUUUAUUAAACCAGUGUAGACUUAAAGGACUUUAGGUGAUCGACUCUAUAAUACCUUAGUUUAUACAUCAUGUUUAUAUAUCAUUAAUACCCAACAGGUAGUUGGAUGUGUUCUUUCCACCUUAUUUCGUGUUCCUUGUUUGGUUGUGCGCUUAGGGCAGAUUCAUCAAAUCAACUGUCAAUUCGAUAUUAGAUUAUAUAUAGCAGUAUAAACUAAGUGAUUAUAGAGGUAAUCAAUGUAAAAGAAAAAAAAAAGGUUUUCUUAAAGGGUCUUUUUAGUAAUUGUAAAGGAACUAUUACAAUUAUCUCCACGAGUAACAAGUGAAUACACCUAGGUUAUAUACAACGAGGAUCUAACAAACAAUGGGAUGUGUGCUAUCCGCCUUACUUCUCGUUCCUUGUUUUUUUUUUGUAGGCUUAGGGCAGAUGCGCACAAUUGAUUGUUUGUUUACUUUGAGUUUUAUAUAACUUGUAUCCAUUUAGUACUCAUAGAAAGGAUUGUAGAAUCGUUUUUAUGUAUCUCACAUCAAAUUAGGAAAUAUAGGAUUUUCUAGAGGAAUAGGCAAAACCUUUCUAAAAACAGAACGUAUAACUUACUACUUUUCAACUACAUUUUUCAGCAACUUUCUACAACUUACUUACAUCACUAAAAUCUUAUGAACUCACCAACUUAAUUGCUGAUAAACUCUUUCAAAUAACUUGUAUUCUCAGGAAACUAGUAGACAGGUACCCGCUCUGGGAGUUCAGAAGAUGGAGCAGUUUAGCUUCAAGUCUUGCUUUGUUAUUUGCUUAUGUGCUCGAUGUUUUGUGAACACAUACUUUGUAAACAAUUUCUUUCUAAUGAAAUGGUUGUUUAUUACUUGAUUACUAUGAUACAUGUCUUGUGAUACUAAACAUGACGUCCUCCACUCACGAACGUUUCCGUCGUUCCGGUUUUGGGGUGUGACAUCACUGGAUGACUAAGAGAGCAUUCUAAGAGUACUUUAGAAGAGCUAAUAGAAUCUAUAUGAGACUAUUAGUUUAGAAAGGAUCUUUACGGAAAGAGCUACACAAGAUGCUAAUUUCUAAACAUAUAUAAAUAAUUAUGAAUUAUAAUUGGAUUUUGACUUCAUAUGGAAUGAAGAAUAAGUUUUGUUAGAAUGAGGUCCAUGCAAAACAUAAUGACAUAAUCUACUACAAAAUAAGAAUACACUGCUUUAGAAGUUGAAUUCAAAUACGAUUGGAUGAAUGGGAUCACUGAAAAACUGUAUUGAUUUUUUCCAUUCAAGGAUCACAUAGAAAUCUUUGUGACUUUGAGAUUAUACUUAAUUUAGCUAAAACAAUCUAUGUCACGAAAGAACACUGAUGGGAUUAAAAAUAACUUUUAAUCUAUGAAGAUCGAUUAGAUCUUGAACAAGUAUAUGAAUAUGAAACAGCAAGAACACAAUAUUAAUAACAAGGCAGAACGCAAUAAUAAGAACAAACAGCUUGAAUCAAACGUGUCGAAUGAUUAAAUAAAAUCCUUAGAAGAGCUCGAUUAAGAACAUCAACUAUAAAGGAUUAGAAGAUUACAAGAGAGCAAUAUCGUAAAACUCUGGAAUGCUAAAUCUGAAAUCUUGGAUCUUAACCUAAUAUGCAUGCAAGCAUUAACUUAAAUACUAUACAUAAAAGGGUCUCGGUUGGACAGGCCAAAACCAGAGAAUACAAGGCUAUUCUAACGAGCCCAAAAGACGCAACAUCAAAAGCUAUCUCCAGCCCAACAAUCUCCCCCUUUGCGUCAAUUUGGAGCGAGACCUUCACUUCCUACUUGGGCCGGCGGCUGAAGCUGGUACUUUCUUCUUCACGGUACUAAAUAGACACUUGGUUAUGGAAAGGAUGGUCUGUCUAAACCGGAUGUACCAAUUGAUCAUAUCUUCAAAAUAUUUGAUGUCAUCAGCCGAAUUGUCCUUACACCGCUUGACGAUAGAUAGGACGUGUUCCAAGCAGGUAGUGGUGUAGAGGUGCUUGUCAGCUAAUGCGAACAGACAUUUCUGUCCUUCGGCUCUGGUGAACAUCACAGAGUUUCGCCUUGAAUCUAUCUUGCCCAUUUUCAUCGUGUUUAGAUCACUGGCCGAUCCCACAGGCUUGACUUUCGGUUUCUUCUUAAACACUGUGGCAACCUCCUGAUCCAUUAGGGCCACCUCCAUGAUAUAGCAUGCCAGCAUCCUUUUGACAUGGUCUAAGAUGGGACCAUAUUCGGCUUCGUUUGUCAGCAAGAUGUUGUACAAGACUAUCCAAUCAUGAGGGUUCAGAUUGGGCAGAUCCGCCAGAGAGAUCAUGUGAGCAGUUCUUGCAGAUCCUCGGAUAAGCUUGAACUUGACGUUUGUGAAUCUCCCCACGGCAAACGGCUUCAUCACCCGAACAUUGACAAUCUUCUGGGCGCUCCAUGUAAGGUAUUGAGGGCGAGCGGCCUCCAGGUAGAAGUCAAUGAGCUCCCUGUCAAGCUCAUCGUUCGGAUGCGGGACUUCGAAAAUGUUGGAGAAGGCGUGGAAGAUGAACGCCUUUCGAGUCAGCGGCAUAUCAAAUUGCGAAUCGACCGAGUUGUUGCAGUCGAACGAUAUCACCGGCUCGAGCCAUAGUAUGCUUGGAGUUUCUAUGGCCUCCUUUAUCAAACGAUCCCUGGUCCAGGCAGGGAAGAGCAGCUUUCGGCUCUCAAGGAGAUCGUUGGCUUCUUUUUGUUUACGUUCGGCUUCUUCAGCUUCACGUGCCACACGACUGACAUCGUCAUCAGUAUUGCGACUGUUCUUUCUCUUUAACAUGUCCGCAAUAGUCUCCUUGUCUUCAUCUUCAUCUUCAUCUUCAUCUCCUCCCUCUGCAAUGUUUUUGCCCUUGUCCUUCACACCCGAACCCGAGGCAUGACCAGUUGGGGGUGGUUCGGUUGUGUGAGUUGCUUUUGAGGAAGGAGGUGGUUUCGAUCCUUUCUUCUCAUCUCCCCCUUGUUUCGGAAUGGACACGAAACUGGGUAGGCCUUCAAUUUUACUCAAGAGGUCCAUGGCCGGAGAGAGUUUCUCAGCGAGGGUACGCCUCACCGAGUGAUUGAGGAUGGGGUCGUGUGCUUCCAGGAUGUUAGAUAGAGCGGCGUGGACAUCCGAAACACACGUCUUGAUGAUUUCCCUUUCGGAUCGAAGAGCCUCCAAUUGUUGUUCGGAGUUGGAAAGUUGGGUGCUCUUGACCUUGAGGGCAGUAGUCUUACUCGCCAGGACGUCCAUCAGUUUAUUUUCAGCCGCAAGAUCCUCUUGUAGCUUUGCCAAGCGGGCUUCAAUGGAGGCACGGAGUGCCGAGUUGUCGUCGCUAAGGUUUUGUCUGAGGGUAGCGAACGAGGAUAACUCCGUCUUUACAAACUGGGCCAAUUGAUUAACAAGUGGUUCCAGAGUUGUUUUGGUGGCUUCGGCGCUUUCCUGCAUAGACUGCAGCAGGAUUGUAGCGUCAUGGAAUAGUUUAUCGACUUUUUCGGUCGCUGCCUCACAAGCUCGGGUGGAGGCGUCUAUUGCAGCAGUAGCAGAGGCCACUGAGUCAUGUUGAGCCCUAGAGAAGGCAUCAACUAUCCUCUGAAGGGCAGCUUCAGAUAAGGAUGACUGCUGAUUGGAAGAGGAGGCGAGAAGUUGAUCAACCUUCUCGUUCAGCUCGCGGAGAUGCUUCUUGGUUACAGGAGCAUCAUCCUCCUCAUCACUUUGAACUUGAAACGGACUAUAGUAGACCGAAUCAAAGUUCAGGUGAUCACCACCUAGGUAUUGAUCAUCGCCAUCGGAGGCGUCUUCUGGAGAUUGAGGUGGUGGUGAAGCUGGGGGUGUUAUGGGUUUGGUUGGUUCAGGUUGAGUGGGUGGGGGGUUAGUUUCGGGUGGUGGUUGUGUAUGGGUUUCGGUUUGUGGAGGUUCGGUUACGGGAGGGGUUUCGGUUACAGGUGGUGUUUCGGUUGAGGUGGUGAAUAUGGGUGGAGGUAUAGGGAAUGAGGUUGGUGGUAUAGUAGGGGUUAUGGUGGGAAUGGAAAUAGGUAUUGUGGGUGGAGGGGAAGGAACUGGGGAUUGGUGAAGUUCCAUCUCCGGGGUUGGGGACCGAGGGGGUGUGUUGCCUCGUUGUGGAGAUUCGUCUCCUUGUGACCCCUCAGAGUCCGAACUCCUACCUUCGGAUUCACUGGAGGUUGAGGAAAGGACGAGCGUCCGUUUCGGUUGGGUCUUCCUCCUUUUCGGUUUUGGAGAGGAAGCAGCCUUCGGUUGUUUGCGUUUCUUGGGAGUGGGUUUUGGGGCUUUUGAUGGUUUCUUCCCCUUGUCUGCCUUCUUACCCCUUGCCACCGGUUUGUCAGCAUCAUGAAUUGAUCGCAGCAUGUCCGGUGUCAGUUCCCUCGGACCAGAUGGCCCUAACUCCUUGAUCGCCUUGAUCAUACUGCUGUCUGAUGGCACACUACCAUACAUCGACUCCGGGAUAGAGCCAAUGAAGGAGAAUUUCGAUGCAGCGGAUACGAUGAUCUUCGUGGUGUGGAACGUACCAAUCGAAGACAUCGGUGCACCGUCAGCAGUUUGGACAUCGAACCUGUCCAUAGCCCAUCUUGUGAUCAAGAUCCAGAACCGGGCUAGUGACACCUCGGAGUGUCGGGAAGCGGAAGAGAGGCUCUGAAUCAGUUGUUGCCAAAGGACAAAUCCGUAGUCCAGAUUGAUCCCGUUGUACACCGCAUACAUAAUCGACAGGAAAAGACGACUGGCCCCGUCCGAUCCUGAGCUUCGUUCUGACAGUCCCUUGAAGAGAACUGUAAAUAACCCAUUCCAUUGGGGCGGUAGGCAUGACUUCUUGAAUCUGGCGACGGAGGUGAGAACUUCCGUGUAGCCCAUGUUGUAGAACAUGCUGUAGAGCAUACCAACCGGAAUUGUCUCCGGGUGAACACGCGAUGGGUCAGCAGCAAACCCAAGCAUAGAGCAGAAGCGGGAACGAGAAAUCGACGUCUUGUGUUCCGCCACUUCGAAAAAGAUCCUGUCGACGCCCUUGUCGUAGUAGGCCGUCGCAUAGACCUGAGAAAGAGCCACCAUUGGCACCGUUUCAAUCUUGGACAAUGCCGGAGCAAGUUGGGAGUACUUGAGGCAUUCAAUAAUCGGCGACAUGUAGGGAUCAUAGGCUUCUGGGUUCAGAUCAAUGACAAGGCAUUGUUGAGGUCUGAUGGGGAGAAUCUGAGAAGUAGCAUGGACGGAAGAGGAUUCAGCCAUUGUUGCAGGUUGGAGAAGAAGAUAACCGGGAGAGAGUUUGGAAGUAUUUUUGCUUUGGAAAUUAUGGGGCAGUAAAGAGGUAAAAGGUGGUCUGGAUGGGUUUUUAUAGUAGGUGAUAGGAGAGAGAAAGAUCGAUUCAAAUCUCUUAUGGAAAUAUGGAAGGGUUUUUGAGUGACUGAUUGGUGACAGUUGGGACGUGCGAUGAUCACGUAGGAGAGAGAGUGUCAGAUUCCUAGGAUCACGCCGCCCAAUAAGCGCCGGUUCAGAGAGAGGAACCGUUUCCAUUUCCACACGCGCCAUUAAUGCCUGAUGGAUGACGCUUCAAUACUGGACACGCGUCCAAUAGUGUCAGAAAAAGCGCGGCCUCUUCAAAUUCACGCGCCCGCCUUUUACCGUCGUUUGAAUUUCUAUCCUUUGAACUUCCGCCGCGUCAGCAUCUUUUGUCUCUUCCCCUUUUUAAUCUGCUGUCUUUUGAAUAAAACGCCCACGUGGAUUAUUGGUAACCACAGCUUCAUUAUGAACCAUCCAUUAAUUUUCCAGCCUAUAAAAUAAUUAGUAACGGAAUUUUUGAAAAUCUAGGAUUUUCGUGCAAAGAGUGUAAAAGAUAAAGAAAUAAAGCAACUCUUUUUGGAAUGAUCUGUGAUGUCAAUUAUGACACGAAACUGAUGAUCCCGGGCACGAAUCUCUUCCUUCAAGGUCAAGAGAGACCUCAAAGUGUUAGUGUGGAAUCCCGUUGAAUUACGAUCAAACAUUCAUUAAUAAAUGUUGAAAGGCUUCUUUUAAUAAGGCAAAUUAAGGGUGGUUUCGCUUUGAUUCAUCAAUUCAAUUCUUGAUAUAAGAACGAAUGUGAACAAAGUACUUGUGAGACCAGUGUAGUCUGUUGAACAAGUAGGUUUGAGUUGAUUCUGUAGUGGCUUGGAUGAAUAUGAAAUCUCAGAUAAAAAUUUAAAACUGGAUCCCUUGGGAAGAAAUGUUAUGGUGUGUAACAAUUUCAUUGGAACCACGCAAAAAGAAAAGAAAUUGAGAUUUCAUGAAGGUACAUUCGUCAAUUCAUUGGUGAAAACUUGAUCAAGUUAAUUGGUCACCGUCAAUUCGUUGGUGUUGAAUUUUGGGUUUCACUCAGUUCGUAGUGGCACGAAACUAAGAUCAUAAACACAGAGGUUGUGUAACCAUAAACCUCAGUGGAAGUUGCUGAGAGUCUCAAGGGUUACAGUGAUGAAACGAAUGUUAUGGAGAAUUGUAAUGGAGAUGGUGGAAGAAGACAUAGUACCUCUGCUGCGAACAUAAGGACCAAGCAGGAGACUCUGAACUCGUGUGAGAAUAGAGUGAGGUAGCUCACGAUUAGAAUAAAUAAGUUAGCCUUAUUGGGAAGACAAGGUUUGUGUUUACCAGGUCAUGAAGGCUAUUAUUCAAAAUCUUAUGAGGCUUGGGACACAUACAGCAGCAUGCUUCUAGGGACACUUAAGUAAGUCAUCAAAUAUAUCCCCAUAAACGAAUGAGCACACAAAAAAAAAAAAAAUAUUUUUGGAGUUUUUGAAAUUGAAAAUAAAAAUAAAAAUUAAAAUUAAAAAAAAAACGUAAAAAAAAUUAUAAAAGAGUUAAAAGAAAAAAAAUACGAUUAAAAAAAAACUUUGGAAAAAAAUUGAAAAACCGAACCCGAACGUUCGGUUGGUUUCGGUUGUGGAAAAUUUUGAAAAACCGAACCCGAACCUUCGGUUGGUUUCGGUUCAGGAAAAUUUUGAAAAACCGAACCCGAACCUUCGGUUGGUUUCGGUUCAGGAAAAUUUUGAAAAACCGAACCCGAACCUUCGGUUGGUUUCGGUUCUUGAAAAUUUUGAAAAACCGAACCCGAACCUUCUGGAGGUUUCGGUUUUUGAAAAUUUUUAAGAAACCAAGGAGUUUAGAUAUGCAAUAUGAAAAAACUUUUUACAUAAAGAAAAACAAAUUUUGCACAAGAAAUAUACAACACAGAAAAACUACCUUUGAAGUAAUGAGCGAGUGAAAUGGUUGAACCGAACCCGAACGUUCGGUUGGUUUCGCUUCUUACGUUUGAGAUUGAGAGGUAGUGUGAGGUACUGACUCUGAUUCCAUCAUACCUAGCCCUUGCAAAAUUUUAUUGAAUGAUGCUUCUGGAAGAGCUUUGGUGAAGACGUCAGCCAGUUGAUCAGUGGUUCUUACGAAGUGAACUUCGACAUUUCCAUCUUCCACAUGAUCUUUGAUGAAGUGAUACCUCAGUGCUAUGUGUUUGGUUUUAGAGUGUUGCACCGGGUUAUGACAGAUCCUAAUUGCACUUUCAGAGUCACAAUAUAGAGGGAUCUUCUUCAUAUUGAGUCCAUAGUCUCGAAGUUGACUCUGGAUCCAAAUCACUUGUGAUGUGCAGGAUGCAGCGGCAAUGUAUUCCGCUUCAGCAGUAGACAGCGACACACAUGUUUGUUUCUUGGAUUGCCAGCUGACCAACUUCCCAUCAAGAAAUUGACAGCCACCAGUUGUGCUUUUGCGGUCGAGUCCACAUCCUCCAAGGUCAGCAUCAGAAUAGGCUUGAACGAAGAAGCCAGAGUUGGAUGGAUACCAUAGACCUAAGGAGGCGGUUCGCUUGAGAUAGCGUAGGAUGUUCUUCACUGCCAGCAUGUGAGGUUCGCGUGGGUUAGCCUGAAAUCGAGCACAAUAACAUACAGAAAACAUGAUAUCAGGCCUGCUAGCAGUUAGAUACAUCAGUGAGCCUAUCAUUUGACGAUAGAGCGUGAUGUCGACAGCCGGUUUAUCCAGUGAAGGGGUAAGUUUGGUGCCGAAUGCCAUAGGGACUUUGACUUUUGAGUCUCCCAUCAUGCCAAACUUUGCUAGGAGAGUCUUCGUGUAAGCUUCCUGAUUGAUAAAGAUGCCUUCGGGUCCCUGUCUUAUAUUUAAACCAAGGAAAAAAUUAAUAGGACCCAUUGAGCUCAUUUCAAACUUAGUCUCCAUCAACUUUCUGAAUUCAGCUGUUAAGCUGGGAUUCGUAGAGCCAAAGAUGAUGUCAUCGACAUAAAUUUGAACUAUCAUAAGGUGGUUACCUUCCUUUUUGCGAAAGAAGGUUGGGUCAACCGAACCUUGUUUGAAUUUGGACAUCUUUAAAAAUUUUGUAAGCGUUUCAUACCAGGCUCUCGGAGCUUGUUUGAGGCCGUACACAGCUUUAUCCAGAAUGUAGCAAUGAUUUGGAUACUUUUCGUUCACGAACCCAGGAGGUUGCUCCACAUACACCGUUUCUUCAAGUUCUCCAUUGAGAAAUGCGCACUUGACGUCCAUUUGGAAGACCUCAAAGUUUUUGUGAGCAGCAUAGGCCAGAAAUAUUCUAACCGAUUCUAGCCUAGCUACUGGAGCGAACGUCUCUUCGUAAUCUAUCCCUUCCUCCUGACAGUAUCCUUUGACAACCAGACGAGCCUUGUUCCUUAUGACAUUACCUUCCUUGUCCAUUUUGUUUCUAAAAACCCAUUUGAGACCAACAACUGAAGCAUCCGGAGGAGUUGGAAUGAGGCGCCAGACUUUGUUCCUUUCAAACUCGUUUAGUUCGUCUUGCAUUGCUUGAACCCAAUCAGAGUGAUCGAGGGCAGUGUUCACUGUCUUCGGUUCAACUUUUGAUACAAAUGAGUUAAACAUACAAAACUCAACCUUUGAGAAUAAGGAUGUCUGUUUUGCCUUCAGUUGAGAUCGGGUCAGAACCUUUUCAGAUACAUCACCAACUACUUGAGAGAUAGGAUGAUCUCUGGUCCAUUUUGUAAGAGGAGGGUAAUUCGGAUCAAAGGAUGGAUCUAGUUCAGCGUUGAUCAUCUCUUCAGGCUCGGAUUGGCUAUCAAAAUCAAGCGUCAUAUCAUCAUGCUCCCCCUCAAUUGAUGAGUCUUGACAAACAUGAGGUUCAGGGGUUUCUUGUGGUGCUGGAUUUUCAGGCAUUGAAGCACCUUCGUUUGGAGGGGCAUCUUCGGUUGGAGAGUUACCUUCGGUUGAUGAAGGACCUUCGGUUGAAGUAGUAGAGCUUGGCUCCCCCUGGACUUGUGAGCUAGGCUCCCCCUCGACAAGAGAAUUUGGCUCCCCCUCGACUGAAGCAUUGUUGGUUGGAGAUUCAUCAGUAGGCAAUUCUCCUUCAUGCAUUCUUCUUGCAGCAUCUUCGACAAUCUGCUUCAUAUGAUCUAUUUUGUUGUCGGCUGCCCCUGCUUCUGAGAGAGAAGCUUUUUCCGGUUCAUCAAAGAGAUCCAGAAAAUUCUCGUACAUAUUGGCGAUUGAGACUGUGACUUGACCAGUUUGAGGGAAGAUUUCCCUGGCAGUGUCAUCUAUGGCCUGUAGCUUCUUGACAUAGCUAUCGUCGAAGGUCACAUAGUAUGUCUCUUCAAUCCUUCUUGAUCGUUUGUUUAGGACCCUGUACGCCUUUGAAGUGAGUGAGUAACCCAGAAAGAUUCCCUCGUCGGCUUUGACAUCAAACUUGUUGCGGUGUUCUUUAGAGUUAAAGAUGAAACACCUUGAGCCAAAAACGUGGAAAAAUUUCACAUUGGGCUUCCUGUUGUUUAGUAUCUCAUAUGGUGUGAGCGUGAAUCGCUUGUUGAGAUAGGACCUGUUUUGUGUAUAACAAGCAGCAGAAAUAGCGUCAGCCCAAAAAUAAAGAGGUAAGGAAGCGAAACUUAACAUAGUUCGGGCAGCUUCACACAGAGAUCGGUUUCGUCUUUCGACUAUUCCAUUCUGCUGUGGUGUGUAGGGAGCUGAGAAAUUAUGGCUAAUUCCCUUUUCUGCAAGAAACGCUUCAAACUCCCUGUUCUUGAAUUCGAGACCAUUGUCGCUCCUGAUGUUGCGAACGACCUUCUUGAGCUGGACUUCAAUUUGCUUGAUAAACACUUUCAGCUUUUGAGUCGCUUCAGAUUUGAGCUUUAGAAAGAACACCCAUGUAAAUCUAGAGAAGUCAUCAACGACAACAAGAAUGUACUUGCUACCACCGAUGCUUUCAAUAGAUGAAGGACCACAUAAAUCGAUAUGAAGCAAUUCGAGUGGUUCAACAACUUUUGUGUUAAUUAUGGAUGGGUGACUUUGACGACUCUGCUUUCCCAUUUCACAUGCAGCACAUAAAUGCUCUCUGUCAAACUUGAGCAAUGGAAGACCCCUAACAUGACCUCCAGUGACAAGUCGGUUGAUAUCUUUGAAAUUGAGAUGAGAGAGUCUUCUGUGCCACAACCAGCUUUCGUCGGAUUGAGCUUUUGAUAGCAGACAUAUUGCUGGGUUUCCUUUGAUGGGUUUCAUGUUCAGCGGAAACAUUUCACCCUUUCGCUCUGACUUCAGAAUCACUUUCUUUGUCGUUUUCUCUAUGAUUUCAGAACCUUCAUCAUCGAAUGAAACUUUGAGACCUGUACCUCCAACAAGCUGAGAUACACUGAUGAGGUUGUGUUGAAGUCCUUCCACAUAGGCCACCUUUCUUAUGGUAAAAUCACCAUUCGUUAUCAUCCCAUAUCCCUUUAUGGUGCCGAAAGAGUUAUUUCCAAACUUAACGUUGCCACCAUUUGCAAGAGAUCUGUAUUCCCUGAGUUCCUCUUUCCUCCCUGUCAUGUGACGCGAGCAGCCACUGUCGAUGUACCAUUCUUCGUCAAACUGCUCGUCACUUAUAACCUGCAAAAAUUAAGCAGAUUUAGGAACCCAAAGUUUCUUGGGUCCAUGUGAGGUUUUCAUGGGAACAGGAAUAGUUAGAGAGAUAUCAACAAGAUAUGUUCUUUUAAUUAAAGUUGUUUCAUCUUUCUUUUUAAUGGUGAAAACUUUUAUUUUGUUAGGAUUGGAUUUGUUCGCUUUAGACUCAGGUUUGAAUUCACCGACUUUCUGCUUUUCCUUCUGUUCAGCAGAUGGACGUGGUUUUUGAGAACCCAUGGAAUUAGUGUUAGAGCAAGAUGGAGAUGAACAAGAAGAAUUAGGAAGAGAGGAUUUGGAUUUGGAUGGAGGUGUCUUCCUUGCUGAUGACUCUAGGUGACCCUUUUGCUUUUGAUCGUUGGUGGGUUUAACCUUUGAGUCUUGUUCUCUUCUGACUUCAGAACCGAACCUCUGAGUUCGGUUGGAGUUGUUCUUGGAACCGAACCUUUGGUUUCGGUUGAAAUCCUUUUCAGAACCGAACCUUUGCUUUCGGUUGGUAUUUUCAUGCGAACCGAACCUUGGCUUUCGGUUGGUAUCUUCUUGCGAACCGAACCUUGGCUUUCGGUUGGUAUCUUCUUGCGAACCGAACCUUGGCUUUCGGUUGGUAUCUUCUUGCGAACCGAACCUUGGCUUUCGGUUGUUGGAAUUAUCGUGCUUUCUUACGAGAUUAUUUUCAUACUUCAGAUUCUUGUCCUUGUGUGAAUAGUAUGCAUUCUGGGAGUGCCAGAAUUGUUUCCUUUCAGAAAGGUUUUUCCUGUAUCUUAGGUUCCUUUCUAUCUUUUUAUCCCUCAUCUGUUUAGGUUGAUGAUGAACGUUCGCUUUCGCUUUUGAUGUAACCUUUGCUGAUUCCUUUUGAACUUUAGGAGUUUUUCUUUGAAACGAGGGAGCAGAGGGAAUAUCUGAAGAAGAUUCAGUUUGCCCUGAGGAAGUGGAAGGAGUAUCUGAUGAAGUUUCACUUCGAGCUGUUGGCGUUGAAGGAAUGUCUUCUUUUACUGAAUGAUCAACCUCUUGAGGAGUGUCUUUUGUACCACUUGUGCUUGGUUCACUGAAAUUAUCAGGCUUGUUCAAGGGUUCAGGUAUGUAUCUCCCUUUCUUCAUCCAAGAGGUUCUUUCAGAUAGGCCAACGGUUUCGUUUCCAUUGUCAAUAGGAGCUUCCCAGAAGAACUCAUCACAGCCAUCAGCAUUGUCUUCGUUAACAAUAGCCGUGAGUUCAGCUGUCUGAUGUUCGGUUACUCCAGUCACUUUGUAUACCUGAUUCGGAGUGGUUCUGACCUUUUGAUAGACAACAGCCUUUUCUACUAAUUUCGGGGACUUUUGUUGGGACAAUCUAGCGAAUUCCACAGAAUUUUCAGAAACAAGAUUUUUGUGGUUUUCAGUUUCGCUUUUCACAAAUUCUGAGCAGUCAACCGUAUCCUCUACAGAAAUUUCACUCAUGUUUUCGUCCUCGUUAAGCUCAGAUGCAUUUUCAACAUCAAUUUUAUUUUCUGAGCUUACUUUGGCAUUUAGAGAGUCAAACUUUUGUAUGGUUUCGGUUCUCAGUUUAAGUCUAUCAUUUUCGUCCAACAGAUUUUUGAGCAUGUCCUUAUGGUCUUUGGAUUUAAUGAAGGACUCAAUUUUGUCCAGUCCAAUUUGAUAAGUUGGGUUGACAUCAUCAGACGAAAUCACACUCUCACAAUUGUAAGCUUCGGCAUCGAUUUCAUCCUCCUUAAAUUCUAGGAAUGGUAAAAUCAUACGGUGGAUCUUUUUGCCUAUCUCACAGUCCAAGUGCAGCUGAGUAAUAUUGGAAUAUAAACGUUUAGCUAUUAAACAAAAAACAUUUCGUUGUUUUAACAAUUUCAAAUUGUCUCUCUGCAAAUAAAUGUUUUCGUCUUUGACUUUAAUUAAUUCCGACUCUUUUAACUCAAUCCACAUACGCCGCUCCUCACUCUUCGACGCCACCCUGCUUAAUUGAUCAGUCAGGUUAGAAUUGGUGACUCUAGUUUGAGUUAAGCUACUAUCUAAAUGAGAAAUUCUUGUGUUAACGUUUUUUAGUUCUUUCUCAUAUGAGGAUGAUGGUACUUUAGAUGAAAUAAAAACAGAUUGUACCUUCUUUAUCAGUUCAUCAAGCUCAUUGAACUGUUGGCUGAGUGGUUUGGCUGUGAAGCACAUAUCUUCCUGCACUUUCGGUCCAUUGCUUCCUCCAUCGGUAUUGUAUCCCCUCAUUUGAGAUGCGCUUGACACCAUGAAGCAUUUUCCACCACUGCUUUCCUCCUUAGCCAUAUAAGCCUUUCCAUGAGUAGGCUUCCUCACUUCUUCGUCUUCUGAGUCAGUAGACCAAACUUCGGUGCUACCGAACUCAUCGUUAUUAACCGAACCCUGCACAAUAAGAGCAUUAAUAGAAGGGUUAGCGGUAGACUUUUUCUUCCUCAACUCAUCCAACCUCUUCUGCAGUACGGCUUCCUCAUCCUUUCCGUCAUCCUUUUCAGCCAUCUUUUUAAGAACACAGUCCUUAGCAUAGUGGUUCUUGCCACCACAGUAAAAACAGCUUACUCCGGAAUCGCCAUCUGCCUUCGGUUCCUUCUUGGACUCCUCAGCCUUCGGUUCAUUGUUUGCCUUUUCAGAGCUAUAACUCCCCUGCCAGUUUCGGUUUUUGUUGCUGGGGAAUCUCUUCUUUAUGAACCUCUUAGGAUUGGAUACCAUCAUGGCAUAAUCCUCAGUUGUGAGGUCAUAUUCUUCCAAGUUGAGCUCUUCAUCCUCCAUCACGGCUUUACUUUUAGAUAGGAGGGCCAACGAACCAAGACUAGACACAACGUUCUUCUCUUGAACAACAAUCUUCUCUUGGGACUUUAGAAUACCCACCAGUUUCGCCAAAGAGUAUGAUUUAAACUGUUCAUGGGCUUUGACUGUGGAAACUACUGCUCUCCAUUCCGAUCUCAGUCCGUUCAAGAAAGUAACCUUUUGUUCGAUGAGCUUCCUUUCAAUGUCGUGUUUGAUCAUCUUGCUGAGAAGAUGAUUGAAGCGAUCAAACGUCUGGGUCACGGUUUCUUCGGCCCCUUGCCUGAAUUCUCCAAACUCAGAUAGAAGCAAGGUUUGGAUGGAGUGUUCAAGAUCUUCGUCUGUUGAAUACAGUUCGCGAAGUCUAUCCCACACUUCCUUCGCCGUAGUGCAUGAGCUGACUAGUCUGAAUGUGUCGGACUGAAGGGCGAAUCUGAUCAACCUUAGUGCCUUAAUAUUGCACUGGAAUUUAUCUUUCUCAUCCUGCGCAAUAUUCGUCACGUCCUUGAGCAAAUCGUUGUAUUCUUUUUGCGUCUUAAUAACUCUGGAUGUCGCGGAAUGAGAAAAUGGUCCAUUGAUAAUGGCUUCCCAUAUGAGAAAACCAUUGUCCUCCGAUCCAAUCACGUAAUCUUCAAAAUGAUGUGCCCAUACUUCAUAGUCAUGGGUGUAUAAGAUUGGAAUCUUUGUCGUCGAACCAAUGCUGUUGGAAAUAUUAAUAGGGUUUGAUUGCGUCGCGUCCAUUAUGAUCGUAAUAACCUGUUCAAAGAUCAGACUUGUAAUAAAGCAGAUUAGGGCAAAACAAUAAAUACUAAGAUACGUCAAUUAAGAUGACGGCUCAAUAAAUAUCGAUGAUUGCGGAAAAACCCUAAUGGAAAUAUUUUUCACAAAAAACNUCUGAUACCAAUUGAUGGGAUUAAAAAUAACUUUUAAUCUAUGAAGAUCGAUUAGAUCUUGAACAAGUAUAUGAAUAUGAAACAGCAAGAACACAAUAUUAAUAAUAAGGCAGAACGCAAUAAUAAGAACAAACAGCUUGAAUCAAACGUGUCGAAUGAUUAAAUAAAAUCCUUAGAAGAGCUCGAUUAAGAACAUCAACUGUAAAGGAUUAGAAGAUUACAAGAGAGCAAUAUCGUAAAACUCUGGAAUGCUAAAUCUGAAAUCUUGAAUCUUAACCUAAUAUGCAUGCAAGCAUUAACUUAAAUACUAUACAUAAAAGGGUCUCGGUUGGACAGGCCCAAACCAGAGAAUACAAGGCUAUUCUAACGAGCCCAAAAGACGCAACAUCAAAAGCUAUCUCCAGCCCAACAAACACCAAUCAUAUUCUCCAAGAUAUUUAACUAUACUUAGAGUAAAGUUGGGUAUGGAGAUGAUAGUAUUCACAUAAUUCACACAAAUUAAAUUUUGUUAGAUCCAUUGAUAAAUUAUUCUAUUGAGUUAUGUAUGAAUGGUCACACUUCAUCUAUUAGAAUUUAUUAUUCUAGAAAUCGGUUUUUGAUUUGGAUUUGGUAUUUGGAUAUUGGAACAUUUUAACAACAAUUAUUAGAUAUUGUUAUGAUAUAUUGUGAUAUAAUCAUCACAUUAAUACUUGUUGUGUUCUAUAUUAACAUGUUUAAUCCAUGAAUAAUGUUAUUAUUCUAUAAGUUCAUAAUCGGUUAUAAUUGUGGGAGCAUUGAUAAAGUAAGACUAAUAUGAAUUGGAUUGGUUGACACUUACUAGAUGAAAGUAGGCAAGUGGUUGUAACCAAGUUUUAUAGGUACUUGUCAGAGAACUAAUAUUGAACUUACCUACAUCAAGAUCAUCUCAUGGAUCGCUAAUAUGAAUGAUACAUGAUUAAAAAGGUACUAUCUUCGUAUUCUUAACACCUGAGAUACAUAGUGGGACUUAGCUGUAGGGAGUACAAUGAUUUGAUAAUGGUCAAAUGUUUUUCCAUAACCAGGCAGUUAUAAAAUCCAUUUUCAGGUAUGGUGUGAACUAUGCAAGAUGCUUAUGUAGUCAAGAUGUGAUAAUCGUCAAGUUCAAGUCAAAGUCAAAGUCAAAAAGUCAAAGUCAACGUCAACAAGUCAAAGUCAAGUCAACAAGUCAAAUCGGUCAAUCUUGUAUAAUACUUGUAUGAUUAAAAGUUAUUCUAUGAAAACGUACAAUUGUGUGUUAAGAAUUCGAGUGUCUUGGUAAAUAUAUGUGUUUAUCAAUGUGAAACCUAAAGAAGGGAGUUAAACGCAUCAAAACACGUCUAGGAACCCUUUUGGGGACUUAAAAGAAUCAUAAACGAAGUAUAUCGGGGUCCACGGACCAUGCAUUGCAAGACUAUUCAAUGAAUAUGGCUAAAAGUGAAUCUCUUCAAAAUCUCUCCCAAAUCUCUCUCAAAAUCUCUCUCAACCUUUUAUAGUCAUCCGGGUCAUCCCGUCCCUUAACUUGGCCAAAAAUCACUCAAAAUGAGAAGUUAUAUUGAAAAAUAGCCAUUUACGGCCGAAACCCUCUUAGGAACCGAACCCUCUUAGAGGGAACCACUCAUUAGAAGCGAACUCAUCAGAAGCGAACUCGUCAGAAGCGAAGCCCCUCAGACCGAACCUUGUGAACCGAACCUGACCUUCGGGCCCGAGCCUCCACCUUCGGUCCCUUGACAUGCCUUUGGUCUCUCCUCCUCCCUUCUCUCGGUUCUCACCUCCCAAGGGCCAAACCUCGCACGUUCGCUUCCUUCUCCCAGUUUUCGACUACUUUCGCCUCCUAAGCCUGUUUUUGACGGGAUUUUUUCACCAAAUUCAUAUUUUUACUAUUUUAAACUCCCAUAACUCAUAUUUUAUUUAUUUCUCAAGGAUUUAUUAAUUUAAAAUUAUUAUUUUAUAUUAAGAGGAUAAUUACCCCACAAGUGGGUUAAGUGUGCCCACUUGCCUUCCAUGUGUCACCCUCUCACUUGCCACCUUAUCCACAUCACACAAACCAAUGCACACAUCACUUCAACAUCACAACUUGCUCCAGCAACUCACCUAUAUAAAGAAAUCCCUUGAGGAUUUCUUGGUUUACUUGAUCAUUCCCACACUUUUACACCUUUCUUACCACACAAAGAAGCUUAUUUUCUCUCAACUUGCAGCCACUUUUGGAAGUGUUCUUAGGCUAUUAAUUCACUUUUUUGUAAUUAUAUCCUCUAAACUCAAGUGUUAUUCCAUGUUUUCAUAACAUCCUUGAAUCAUCUACACACAUUCUAACGCUAAAGAAUUGUUCUUAGGAUCAUCCGAGCUUUUACGUGUUCAUCAAGUGUUCUUGACCUGAUACUCCUCGUCUUGAACUUACGCUCUUCCAUGAAUCACUAAAGGUGAGUUCAUACCCCUACAUUUUCUAGUUUUCUUUAGUUUUCAGCGGGAGGACACAAGUUAAAACACUAAAACACAUUUGAAACUUAACUUGACAGCUUACAACUGAAAAGUUGUGACCUGUUCAAGAUCUGUUUUACCCAACUUAAACUUAAUAUUUUUCAAAACUGUUUAAUAUGAAAAUAUUUCAGGUAUAUACCUUUAAAAUGAAUACUUUCACAUCUCCAUACGAUUUUCCUUCAAUUUUUGGUGAUUUUUACAAAACUGCCUAUCACUGCAGCAACGAAAUCGGACCAGGAUGUGAAAAUGAACAUUUUCACACUGGUUUGAGACAACCAAAACUUAUAAGAAAAUUUGUGAUCAUAGUAGACUCUUUUUCCAAACUGUCCGAGUUUAUGGAUUUAGUUUACGACUUACGAUGAUUUUUCUAUAAAUAGUCUAAAACAGUGACAGUUAAGAGUAAAUAUUAAAACAGGUUUAAGAGUUAUUCACACAUUGUAACAUGUUGAGCAAUGUGUGUAGGAGUUUAUACUUAGCAUUUUCAAUGUCAUUUUAUUGAAAUACAAAGUCAUGCAUAGUAAGGUUCCAUUUACAACAUAAAACAUUUUGAUAAAACUAUAAUAGGUAUAGUUUGGACACCUCAAACGGUAAUACUAUCGAGUUAUAAAGCGAGUAUUUUAUUACAAACUACGUGAACAUGUUAAUAAACAAAUUUGUGAGACAUUCAUCUUCGGUGUAAUCUUUAGUGCUACUUAAAAGUCUUGUAGUUAUAGCCAGAAUCUCUUGUAGGGAGAGCGUGAUUGCUGUAUAUAGAUCUAUAUUGGGUUUGGCAACCCACACCUGAGCUGUUUACAACAGCUAGACCGGCAGUUCUGGGGUGACAAGUGUCAUAACAUUCCGAUGCGUGAAGAACGUCGAGUACGAGGUCCUCGAGUCAUAGUAUGGUUAUAGCAACUCACAUGGGAAAAUUAACAAACACACCGUUCACGGGAAUUUAAUGAUUUCACGAAAAGGGGUUUUAUUUAAUUAUAAAACCACAUAUAAGUAUGAUGAUUUACUCACAUAUACUAAGUCUUGGGUCAGUUAAGACUACACUAAACCUUUUAGAAAAUAUUGGAUUUUCUGGAAACAAACUUAUAACAAACUUUAAGGAGCAACAUGCAUUUUUCAUUCAUAAAUUGCUUAUGAACUCACCAGCUUUAAUGCUGAUACUCUUUCAAAAACAACUUGUAUUCUCAGGUAAUCAGUAAUAUAGGUAACCAUAAGACUUUUGAAGAAAAGACGCUAAGGCGUAGAUUUCUUUUUAACUAUUUUGACAUCAUAUGUAAUUUCUUUGGAAACAUAUAUUUUGCAACGAUGUAACCUUUUAAAUUAUAUUUAUGAUGGUUGUGUUUACUUUCUUCACUAUGGUUAUGAUACUGAACAUGACGUCCUCCGCCCCCGAACGUUUCCGCCGUUCCGGUUUGGGAGUGUGACAGAUUGGUAUCAGAGCUUUGUUUAUAGUGAACUAAGUAUAUCGAACCACAUAAGAUAUACAAGCUAUAAAUACAACGGGAUAAAAUUCUCUGACGUAGCCUUUCAAAAAUACUUGUAAAAGUAAAAAUCUGUAUUUUUAUAAAAGUAUUCGUACCAUCGCAUUCACUAGUUCAGUAUCACAAUAGCAAUAACAUAAAAGUAUUGAGACAAGUUAGACACCAUGAUCCAGCUUCUGAGUAUGUAGUCAAAUCUUGGAUGAAUAUAGCCCAAUCAACUAUAUUUAUCCAAGGUAUGACCAACGUAUGCCGAAGGAGGAUCAUGAUGAGCAACAAGUCUUCAACUUACCAAAAAUCUUGAGAAUCAAACGUAAAAAUAAUAUAGGAGUAUUUUAACACAAAUAAUCAUAUCAUAAAAUUACAAUAACUAAUUUUGUAUACUAAAAUUUCUCGCAAUAUCCUUCUUAUCCAUAUUCUCAUAUAGGCGCGAUGAAAGGAUUUCACUUACCGGGUGACCCCUACUUCCCCAAUCAAGGGAUUGCUGGUUGGAUUGAGGAAGACUCGGAGGAAGAUUCUGAUGAGGAACCCAUGGAGGAUGAAGAACCCAUGGAAGAGGAAGAAUCAGAAGAAAGUGAAGAAGAAGAAGAAGACUUAGAUGGAACCGAUUCGGAACACGAAGUUUACAAUCCACACCCUGCCCCUAAUCCUCCACAACACUACCAGGGCCCGACGCCCCAAUGGGCCGAAACUAUACAUCGAUGGAGCCGAGAGCAAGGUCAACGACCUCCCUAUAGCAUGCAACGGGGUUUCUACGAUCUCAACAGAGGAGGGUCAGCCGACCGAGCCCUCCCCGUCAUAAUUCACCGUGUCACACGCCACGAAGAGCAAACAAGCGUUAACACACAACAUCUCAUGGAAGUUGGUGCCACCAGUCAAUUCAACUCCGUUCGUAUUCGCCGGUUGGAGGAUGACCACGAUCGAAAUUAAGACCGCACCGAGCUUCUUUGACGGGAGAUGGCCGCGACCCGAGCUGAAGUACAAGAAAUUCGAGAACACCGAGCUGCUUUGGAAGGACGUCUGACAGACACAGAACGCCAGGCAGCUAAAUCCAGAGCAGAAAUGAGGAACUUUGUGUCUUCAUUUCUUGAUCAGCAGAGCUUCAACCACCGCAAGUAGUACUUGCACUGCUCGCCUCAGCUUAAUGUAGUUUUGCGGAAAAAUAUUACUAUUAUUUUCUAGUAUGUUAUGUCCGAUCCCGCGAUUUAACUGUUUACACUUCGGGGAUCUGUUAGGUGGACAAAUUUUUCUAUACAUUGAUGUAAUAUAGACCCUUAUACGGUCAAAUUUUUGCAAUAUUGUAUCCUAAGUUAUAUCAAUGAAAUUGACACGCUAUUUGCUUUAUCACAUCAAGUUCAUGAUAAGGAUUGUUUUCAGACUAAAUUUACUGGUGUCUGAUUUAUGGUUGUUUGAUUUAUAAGUCAAAUUAUAUAUAAUUAAGACCAUGUCGACCUAGAAAAGAUAGUUCCGCCUUGGAUCCUGUUCCUUGUUUGGUUGUGGACCUAGGACAGACCCAGUAGAUUCGAAAGUUUAUUUUAUCUUAACUAUAUGUAAAUAUUAUACAUCAAACGAUUUAUGCGUGGGCCCAGUAUGGAUUCUAUCUCAAACAUUUCAUGUAAAUCAAAUCUAUCAGCAUUCAUAAAGUCUAUAUUUUAUUAUCUAUAGACCUCUAGUAUGAAUGGAUUCAUACAAUAACUUUACAAGUCAAAAUCAUUAUGUACUUAAAGAACUAAUAAUGUUAGUUUAACUCUCGACUUUUGGAGAUCUAUCAAAGACUUAUUGUCUUUUCAUUCUUGUUAUGGUAGAAAAUGCCACCUCGUAGAAAUCCUAGACGUGGCGGCGUCGAAGGAGCUCCACCACCACCACCACCACCUCAGUUCGACCCGGUAAUGUUCCAGGCUGUCGUAACAGCUACAGUAGCAGCAGCAAUGUCCCAAAUCAGCACCAAUAAUGCAGGUGGUGCGAGUAAUGGUCCCACAAAUUCUAAGAACAGGGAUAGUCAGGGACGCUCAAGAGAGUGUACCUACAAAGACUUUACUAAUGCCAAACCUAAAACUUUCAAUGGGAGUGGAGGUGUCAUAGCAUUGCUCCAAUGGUUUGAGAAGACCAAAUCAGUCUUUGAAAUAUGUGCACGCCCUGAACCAAACAAGGUCAAGUUUGCAGCAUGCACAUUCUCUGAAAGGGCACUCACCUGGUGGAAUGGCCACAUCAAGACAUUUACACUUCCGGUGGCUAACUCGAUAACAUGGGAAGACAUGAAACCCAUGUUGAUGAAGGAUUACUACCCAAGGGAUAAGAUACAAAAGUUGGAAGAGGAACUUUGGGGCCUCAAAAUGACAGGCUCCGACAUCCUAUCUUAUACCUCAAGAUUUAAUGAUCUAGCAAUACUGUGUCCAGGAAUGGUUCCGUCGGAAAGCAAGAAGAUCGAAAGAUACAUUUGGGGACUAUCUUCCUAACUUCAAGGAAGCGUAUUGGCCUCAAGGCCAACUACCUUUGAUAGUGCCAAAGAACUGGCACAGCAACUCAUCGAUCAUAAAGCCAGUCAUGGCACUGUGACAACCACCUCCGAGCAAGCUAAAGGAGGAAACAACAAAAGGAAGUUUUGGAACAAGAAGAAGGGUCAACCUGCUCAAGACCCUGCCAAGAAACAACAAGUGGUUGUUGUAAAUGCCGCCACAACUACCGCCAACCCAACUCCAAUAAGGCAAUACGCCGGGAACCUGUCAAAGUGCAACAAAUGCAACUUUCACCAUAAUGGCACUUGUCGUGAAAUGCAUUGCACCAACUGUAACAAAAAGGAGCACACCGCUCGAUUUUGUAAAGCUCCAGUCCAACAAAACGCACAAGCUGCCAACGCAGGAGCAAGUCAAAACUGCUAUGGUUGUGGAGAGGCAGGACACUUCAAGCGGAACUGCCCAAAGGCAAGAAACCCCAACACUGUUGGAGUGGGCAGAGUUCUGGCAGUAGUUCAUGAGGAAGCAGUUGCAGACCCAACUGUGGUCACCGGUACGUUUUCCUCAAUAAUACAUACGUAUGCAUUCUUUUCGAUAGUGGCGCGGAGAAAAGCUUAGUGAGCCAUCAAUUUAAACGCUUGCUUAAACAAAAACCACAAAUACUAAAAGACACAUUCACCGUAGAAAUGGCUAUUGGAAAAACAGAGAAUACUAACGACAUUUACAUUGGGUGUACUCUCACCAUAAACAAUCACUCAUUCCAAAUCGACCUAAUGACAGUCACCAUAAAAAGUUUUGAUGUCAUUAUUGGCAUGGAUUGGUUAUGCCAUCACCAUGCCGAAAUUCUAUGUCACGACAAGGCCGUUCGCCUUAAUCUGCCGAAUGGUGAAACUCUCGUCGUCUAUGGUGACAAACCCAGUUCAAACUUUCAGAUCAAUUCGUGUGUUAAGGCCCAAAAGUACCUCCGCAAGGAGUACCACGCCUUCCUAGCCAACGUUGUGGAUAUGAUUCAAGAAGCUAAAAACAUAAAGGACAUUCAAGAGGUCUGUAAUUUCCCUGACGUAUUCCCGGAAGACCUUCCAGGAGUACCCCCUGCUAGACAAGUCGAAUUUCGAAUCGACCUAAUUUCAGGAUCUACUCCUGUAGCCAAAUCGCCAUACCGUCUAGCCCCAGCCAAGAUGCAGGAACUGUCGAGUCAACUAAACGAACUACUUAGCAAAGGCUUCAUUAGACCAAGCUUCUCUCCUUGGGGAGCACCGAUAUUGUUCGUUAAGAAGAAGACCGGAUCGUUCCAUAUCUGCAUUGACUACCGCGAAUUAAAAAAAAUUGUGACAAUAGUCAAAAUCGGGUCAAGUCUAAGCCGGUCAAGGUCAACGAGUCAAACCGGUCAACUCGAUUAAAACCUUGUAUGAUAGGGUUUAUAUUAUGUAAUUACUGUAUAACUCACUAUUUUAAUGAGAAAACACCACUUGGAAAGUUCAUGUGUUUAAAUUUCCUUAGCAUUAGUGCUAAACAAUGAACAAAAACAAUAAAACAAUGUUGCAUACUCAUAGGGAGUGCGUAAGAUCCUAAAACAUGGCACAACAGGGUCUAAGGACCUUGCAUUACGAAGCCGGACACUCUCAUUCAUCACACACGAAAAACACUCUCAAUCGUUUUCACUCUAUCUCCCUGUAUGUGAAAUCUCUCCCAAAUCUCUCCAAGUAUGUCAAAUCUCUCCCAAAUCUCUCUAAGUAUGUGAAAUCUCUCUCACAUAUCUCUUUGUAUGUGAAAUCUCUCCAUGUAUGUCAAAUCUCUCCAAGUACGUCAAAUCUCUCCCAAAUCUCUCUGAGAACGAGGAAUCUCUCUCAAAUCUCUCUCGAAAUCUCUCCCAACUUUCUAUAAUCACUCGGGGCAUCCCGACCCUCGAAUUUGGCGAAAAUAGCCCAAGAACGGAAGUCUACGCGAAAAACGGACUUAAGGAAACGAACCCUCCGAACCGAAAGUACUAUUCAUGAACCGAACCGAAAGCACUAUUCAUGAGGGUCCGAACCGAAAGUACUGUUCAUGAGCUGGACCGAAGUUACUGUUCAUCCGAACCGAACCCNNNNNNNNNNNNNNNNNNNNNNNNNNNNNNNNNNNNNNNNNNNNNNNNNNNNNNNNNNNNNNNNNNNNNNNNNNNNNNNNNNNNNNNNNNNNNNNNNNNNNNNNNNNNNNNNNNNNNNNNNNNNNNNNNNNNNNNNNNNNNNNNNNNNNNNNNNNNNNNNNNNNNNNNNNNNNNNNNNNNNNNNNNNNNNNNNNNNNNNNNNNNNNNNNNNNNNNNNNNNNNNNNNNNNNNNNNNNNNNNNNNNNNNNNNNNNNNNNNNNNNNNNNNNNNNNNNNNNNNNNNNNNNNNNNNNNNNNNNNNNNNNNNNNNNNNNNNNNNNNNNNNNNNNNNNNNNNNNNNNNNNNNNNNNNNNNNNNNNNNNNNNNNNNNNNNNNNNNNNNNNNNNNNNNNNNNNNNNNNNNNNNNNNNNNNNNNNNNNNNNNNNNNNNNNNNNNNNNNNNNNNNNNNNNNNNNNNNNNNNNNNNNNNNNNNNNNNNNNNNNNNNNNNNNNNNNNNNNNNNNNNNNNNNNNNNNNNNNNNNNNNNNNNNNNNNNNNNNNNNNNNNNNNNNNNNNNNNNNNNNNNNNNNNNNNNNNNNNNNNNNNNNNNNNNNNNNNNNNNNNNNNNNNNNNNNNNNNNNNNNNNNNNNNNNNNNNNNNNNNNNNNNNNNNNNNNNNNNNNNNNNNNNNNNNNNNNNNNNNNNNNNNNNNNNNNNNNNNNNNNNNNNNNNNNNNNNNNNNNNNNNNNNNNNNNNNNNNNNNNNNNNNNNNNNNNNNNNNNNNNNNNNNNNNNNNNNNNNNNNNNNNNNNNNNNNNNNNNNNNNNNNNNNNNNNNNNNNNNNNNNNNNNNNNNNNNNNNNNNNNNNNNNNNNNNNNNNNNNNNNNNNNNNNNNNNNNNNNNNNNNNNNNNNNNNNNNNNNNNNNNNNNNNNNNNNNNNNNNNNNNNNNNNNNNNNNNNNNNNNNNNNNNNNNNNNNNNNNNNNNNNNNNNNNNNNNNNNNNNNNNNNNNNNNNNNNNNNNNNNNNNNNNNNNNNNNNNNNNNNNNNNNNNNNNNNNNNNNNNNNNNNNNNNNNNNNNNNNNNNNNNNNNNNNNNNNNNNNNNNNNNNNNNNNNNNNNNNNNNNNNNNNNNNNNNNNNNNNNNNNNNNNNNNNNNNNNNNNNNNNNNNNNNNNNNNNNNNNNNNNNNNNNNNNNNNNNNNNNNNNNNNNNNNNNNNNNNNNNNNNNNNNNNNNNNNNNNNNNNNNNNNNNNNNNNNNNNNNNNNNNNNNNNNNNNNNNNNNNNNNNNNNNNNNNNNNNNNNNNNNNNNNNNNNNNNNNNNNNNNNNNNNNNNNNNNNNNNNNNNNNNNNNNNNNNNNNNNNNNNNNNNNNNNNNNNNNNNNNNNNNNNNNNNNNNNNNNNNNNNNNNNNNNNNNNNNNNNNNNNNNNNNNNNNNNNNNNNNNNNNNNNNNNNNNNNNNNNNNNNNNNNNNNNNNNNNNNNNNNNNNNNNNNNNNNNNNNNNNNNNNNNNNNNNNNNNNNNNNNNNNNNNNNNNNNNNNNNNNNNNNNNNNNNNNNNNNNNNNNNNNNNNNNNNNNNNNNNNNNNNNNNNNNNNNNNNNNNNNNNNNNNNNNNNNNNNNNNNNNNNNNNNNNNNNNNNNNNNNNNNNNNNNNNNNNNNNNNNNNNNNNNNNNNNNNNNNNNNNNNNNNNNNNNNNNNNNNNNNNNNNNNNNNNNNNNNNNNNNNNNNNNNNNNNNNNNNNNNNNNNNNNNNNNNNNNNNNNNNNNNNNNNNNNNNNNNNNNNNNNNNNNNNNNNNNNNNNNNNNNNNNNNNNNNNNNNNNNNNNNNNNNNNNNNNNNNNNNNNNNNNNNNNNNNNNNNNNNNNNNNNNNNNNNNNNNNNNNNNNNNNNNNNNNNNNNNNNNNNNNNNNNNNNNNNNNNNNNNNNNNNNNNNNNNNNNNNNNNNNNNNNNNNNNNNNNNNNNNNNNNNNNNNNNNNNNNNNNNNNNNNNNNNNNNNNNNNNNNNNNNNNNNNNNNNNNNNNNNNNNNNNNNNNNNNNNNNNNNNNNNNNNNNNNNNNNNNNNNNNNNNNNNNNNNNNNNNNNNNNNNNNNNNNNNNNNNNNNNNNNNNNNNNNNNNNNNNNNNNNNNNNNNNNNNNNNNNNNNNNNNNNNNNNNNNNNNNNNNNNNNNNNNNNNNNNNNNNNNNNNNNNNNNNNNNNNNNNNNNNNNNNNNNNNNNNNNNNNNNNNNNNNNNNNNNNNNNNNNNNNNNNNNNNNNNNNNNNNNNNNNNNNNNNNNNNNNNNNNNNNNNNNNNNNNNNNNNNNNNNNNNNNNNNNNNNNNNNNNNNNNNNNNNNNNNNNNNNNNNNNNNNNNNNNNNNNNNNNNNNNNNNNNNNNNNNNNNNNNNNNNNNNNNNNNNNNNNNNNNNNNNNNNNNNNNNNNNNNNNNNNNNNNNNNNNNNNNNNNNNNNNNNNNNNNNNNNNNNNNNNNNNNNNNNNNNNNNNNNNNNNNNNNNNNNNNNNNNNNNNNNNNNNNNNNNNNNNNNNNNNNNNNNNNNNNNNNNNNNNNNNNNNNNNNNNNNNNNNNNNNNNNNNNNNNNNNNNNNNNNNNNNNNNNNNNNNNNNNNNNNNNNNNNNNNNNNNNNNNNNNNNNNNNNNNNNNNNNNNNNNNNNNNNNNNNNNNNNNNNNNNNNNNNNNNNNNNNNNNNNNNNNNNNNNNNNNNNNNNNNNNNNNNNNNNNNNNNNNNNNNNNNNNNNNNNNNNNNNNNNNNNNNNNNNNNNNNGGGGUGUGACAGAUUGGUAUCAGAGCACGGUUUAUAGUGAAUUAAGUAUAUCAAACAACAUAGGAUAUACAAACUAUAAACACAUUUGGGACUAAGAGUCUCUGAUUUUAAAACAUUCUAACCGGUUAUACUUUUUUGAAAACGAAUAAGUUCUGUUUAAAAAUAUACCUACAUGCAUUGCAUACGCGCGUAGUGUCAUAACUAGAAGNNNNNNNNNNNNNNNNNNNNNNNNNNNNNNNNNNNNNNNNNNNNNNNNNNNNNNNNNNNNNNNNNNNNNNNNNNNNNNNNNNNNNNNNNNNNNNNNNNNNGGGAGAUCCGAACCGAAGGUACUGUUCACUACAGUUCCUUCGGUUUUUAGCCUGACCUCGGACCGAACUCUGCCUUCGCGUCGGACUGCUUCCCUUCGGACCGAACCACCGCCUUCGCUUCUCGCCUUCGCGUCAGACAGCUUCACCUCGGACCGAGCCGUCGCUUCGCGUCCCGCCUCCGGAUCCAGCCUCCCGCGUCCGAACCGAGCUCCAGCUGACCGAGCCUCGGCCGAGAUCCGAAGAACUUCGCUGGAAAAUGCAAUUUUCACCCCGUUUUUGCAUAUUUUUGCGUUUUAAACCCAUUUCUAAUUAUUUUAACAUGGGAUUUUCACCCAAAACUUUAUUUUUAAUUAUAAGACCCCUAAAUUAAUGAUUUAAUCACAUUUUANNNNNNNNNNNNNNNNNNNNNNNNNNNNNNNNNNNNNNNNNNNNNNNNNNNNNNNNNNNNNNNNNNNNNNNNNNNNNNNNNNNNNNNNNNNNNNNNNNNNNNNNNNNNNNNNNNNNNNNNNNNNNNNNNNNNNNNNNNNNNNNNNNNNNNNNNNNNNNNNNNNNNNNNNNNNNNNNNNNNNNNNNNNNNNNNNNNNNNNNNNNNNNNNNNNNNNNNNNNNNNNNNNNNNNNNNNNNNNNNNNNNNNNNNNNNNNNNNNNNNNNNNNNNNNNNNNNNNNNNNNNNNNNNNNNNNNNNNNUUAUCUACUGAAAUCACACAAGGUGAGUUCAUACCCCUACAUUUUCAUGUUUUCUUAAGUUUUUAGGGGGGGAAUACAAGUUAAAACACCAAGAACAUAACUAAAAUUUUCUAACAGCUUUCAUCAGAAAAGUUAGACUCCAUUCACGGACUGUUUUGGACACCUUAAACAUUUUAGUUUUCAAAACUGUUUUAGGUGCAUGUAGUUCCACUUCUUAGCUUUAAAAUGACUACUUGCACAUCCCCAUACGAUUUUUCUACAAUUUAUGGUGAUUUUUACAAAACUGCCUAUCAUUCCAAGCACCAAUCCGGACCAGUCUGUGAUUAUGGACUUUUUCACCCAAGUUGGAGGUCAUUAAAAAUCAUGAUAAAAAUUAUGAGUAAACUAGACACAUUUUGGGAACUCUCAGAAUUUACGGAUUUAGUUUUCGACUUCGUAUGAUUUUUCUAUGGCUUUUCUAAAACAGUGCAGGAAGGUCUAAUUUAGUUAAUUUCAUAUAAUUUUCAUAACACCUUGUAACAUGUUGAGCAGGGUGCAUAUUAUUACGUAUUCAUGUAUAAUUGCAAUAUACGACAUUCUUUUGUUAGUAUCUAAACAUAAACCUGUUAACAAAUGGAUUUUCACUAGACAAAGCAUAGAUUACACAAAGCGUUAUUAUUGAAGUAUACCCAUUACACACAAACGUUAAAUGAACUAUGUUAAGUAAAAAUUUCGUACUUUACUGUUACUACCUUCGUUUUGCCAAACUAUAAUAGGUAUAGUUUACGAGGGAUUUCAAAAUGCAUACAUUACAAAAAGGAAACUUUCAUUGUGAUUAAGUGUAAAUUCGUUAAUAACUUUGUGAGACAUCCUCUUCACAUAAAUCAUAAGUCCUGUAUUGUAACCAGAGUCUCCUGGAAGGAGAGCGUGAUAGUUGUAUAUAGAUCUAUAUUGGGUUUGACACCCCACACCUUGCUGCUAGCUACAGUUGGACCUGCAGGUCUACGGGUGACAAGUGUCAUUUCAGUUCUACGACGCCCGAAGAACGUCGUAUUCAGGCCACCUAGGUCAUAGUAUGGUUAUAAUAGCUCACAGAAAGUAUUAACAAACUUAAGAAUAUACGAGAGUUUCAUUGAUAUCAUACGCGUUUGCGUUGAAAUAAACACACAUUAUUUUCUGCAAAUAAGAAAGAUUACUCAUAUAUUUCAGUCUUCGGAUACAAGACUACAUUAUUCAUUUUAAGGAAAUAUUGGAUUUUUCUGGAACAACUAUACAAUUACAUGACGAGCUUUUUCAUAAAUUAUAUACAAAAACUUAUGAACUCACCAACCCUUGUGUUGACACUUUUUCAAACUGCUUGUAUUCUCAGGAAACCACUAAACAGGUAAUAAAGUACUUUUGAGGAUGGGACGUCGAGGCGUCAAACUUAUUACAUUUUGUCAACAUAUUGUAAUUGAAUUUGAAACAUGUAAUACAUACAAUGAUGUAACCUUUUCAAUUAUAUAUAUGUUGGUUGUGUUUACUUUCAUCACUAUUACCAUUGUCGUUAUGAUACUACACAUCAAGUCCUCCAUCCCUGGACGUUUCCGCCAUCCUUGGUUCAGGGGUGUGACAAAAUCACCAUCAAAAACCGGUAACCUUUGCCUCGAAUCAAUGACCUCUUCGACCAACUACAAGGAGCGAUUUUCUUCUCGAAGAUUGACCUUAGAUCUGGAUACCAUUAACUACGAGUUCAAGAGGAGGAUAUUCCCAAGACAUCCUUCAGGACGCGCCAUGGUCACUACGAGUUUGUAGUGAUGCCCUUCGACUUAACAAAUGCACCCGCGGUGUUUAUGGACAUGAUGAAUAGGGUUUGUCGACCUUACCUAGACAAGUUCGUGAUUGUUUUCAUCGACGAUAUACUAGUCUACUCCCGAAGUGAGGAAGAACACAUCCAGCAUUUACGUCAAGUCCUGGAAACACUAAGGGCGGAGAAAUUAUGCGCAAAAUUCUCAAAGUGCGAGUUCUGGAUUCAAGAAGUGGAUUUCCUCGAGCAUGUAGUCAGCAAGGAAGGAAUACAUGUGGACCCUUCAAAGAUCAAGGCAAUCGAAAGCUAGGUCGUGCCAAGAACGCCUACAGAAAUCCAUCAAUUUUUAGGACUCACCGGUUACUAUCGAAGAUUCAUCCAAAACUUUUCCAAAAUCGCAAAACCACUCACCACCAUGACUCAAAAAGGAGUGACCUUCGCCUGGGGGGAUAAGCAAGAGGUUGCGAUCCAAACGCUAAAACGAGCCCGGUGUAGUGCUCCGAUCUUGUCCCUACCAGAGGGAUCAAAGGACUUUGUGGUUUAUUGUGAUGCAUCAAACCAUGGUCUUGGAUGUGUGUUGAUGCAACGAGGAAAGUUCAUUGCCUACGCCUCAAGAUAGCUGAAGACACACGAGGUAAACUAUAUGACGCAUGAUCUCCAACUAGGAGCGGUGGUUUUCGCCCUAAAAAUCAGGAGGCAUUACCUCUACGGCACCAAAUGCACUAUCUUCACUGAUCAUAAAAGCAUUCAGUAUAUCCUCAACCAAAAAGAACUCAACAUGAGACAAAUACGAUGGGUAGAAUUGGUAAACGAUUACGAAUGCGAGAUUCGUUACCACCCAGGAAAAGCCAACGUGGUGGCAGUCGCUUUAAGCAGUAAGGAAUAUUCUGGCCGCUGAGUAAAGGCAUUAACCAUGACCAUCCAUUCAUACCUGUCCGCAAAAAUCAAGGAGGCACAAGAAGAAACCUUGAAACUAGAGAACGUAGCAAGUGAGGCGUUGAAAGGAAUGGACAAAAAUCUUGAAGUCAGGGAUGACUGAGUUCAUUGUCUCAUGAAGCGGAUCUAGACACCAAAAUUUGGUGGAUUCAGGAACGUUGUCAUGAACGAAGCUCACAAAACUUGUUACUCAGUGCAUCCCGGCUCAGACAAGAUGUAUUUAGACCUCCAGAAGUUGUAUUGGUGGCCGAACAUGAAAGUCAAAAUAGCUACUUUCGUGGGUAAGUGUCUGACUUGCGCAAAAGUUAAGGUAAAGUAUCAGAAGCCCUCGGGACUACUUCAACAGCCGGUGAUGCCCGAAUGGAAAUGGUAGCGAAUUGCAAUGUACUUCAUUACCAAGUUUCCUAAGACAUCUGGUGGACUUGACACCAUUUAGGUAAUCGUCGACAGAUUAACCAAAUCCGCUCACUUCCUGCCGAUAAAGGAAACUGAAAAAAUGGAGAAACUGACGAGGAUGUACAUUAAAGAAGUUGUGCGACUCCACGACGUACCGAUAUCCAUUAUCUACGAUAGAGAUAGUCAGUUCACGUCACGAUUUUGGCAGUCACUGCAGAAAGCUAUGGGAACUAGGCUGGACAUGAGUAUAGCCUACCACCCACAGACUGACGGGCAGAGUGAAAGGACCAUUCAAACUUUAGAGUACAUGCUAAGAGCUUGUGUAAUGGAUUUUGGUAAACUAUGGGAUGCUCACCUACCCCUUAUCGAAUUCUCAUACAAUAAUCGUUAUCACACUAGCAUCAAAGUUGCUCCGUUUGAAGCCCUCUAUGGUCGUAAGUGCAGAUCACCUUUGUAUUGGGCUGAGGUGGGCGAUACGCAACUAGAAAAAGGGCAAGUUCCUAACAGCACACUCACUGGCCCGGAGAUCAUAAGGGAAACAAUAGAAAAGAUCGUCCAAAUUCGAGAACGGAUGAAGGCUUCACAAGACUGACAAAAGAGCUACGCCGAUAAAAGACGGAAGCCUUUGGAGUUCCAAGUUGGAGAUCGAGUACUACUAAAAGUAUCACCUUGGAAGGGAUUAAUACGUUUUGGAAAAUGUGGGAAGUUAAAUCCAAGGUAUAUCGGGCCAUUCGAAAUCCUCACUUGGAUUGGCCCGGUGGCAUACAAGCUUCGAUUACCAUAGGAGCUCAGCAACGUGCCCCUAUCUUUCAUGUGUCGAACUUAAAGAAAUGUUUGUCUGAUGAGACCCUUGUCAUUCCUUUGGAAGAAAUUGAGAUCAAUGAGUACCUCCACUUCAUAGAGGAACCUGUUGAAAUCAUGGAUCGAGAGGUCAAAUCGCCGAAACAAAGCCGCAUCCCCAUCGUAAAGGUCUGCUGGAACGCCAAGCAAGGUCUCGAAUUUACAUCAGAACGUGAGGAUCAAAUGAAGCAAAAGUAUCCAAAUCUAUUCCCCAAUCCUUAAGGUCCCUCUCAAAAAUGCAAAUUUCGGGACGAAAUUCCUUCUAACGGGGGAUAAUGUGACAACCGUCAAGUUCAAGUCAAAUUCAAAGUCAAAAAGUCAAAGUCAAAGUUAACAAGUCAAAGUCAAGUCAACAAAUCAAACCUGUCAAUCUUGUAUAAUACUUGUAUGAUUAAAAGUUAUUAUAUGAAAACGUACAAUUGUGUGUCAAGAAUUCGAGUUAAACCCUAAGAAGGGAGUUAAACGCAUCAAAACACGUCUAGGAACCCUUUUGGGGACUUAAAAUAAUCAUAAACAAAGUAUAACGGGGUCCACGGACCUUGCAUUGCAAGAUUAUUCAAUAAAAAUGGCUAAAAGUGAAUCUCUCCCAAAUCUCUCUCAAAAUCUCUCUCAACUUUUUAUAAUCAUCCGGGUCAUCCCGACCCUUAACUUGGCCAAAAAUCACUCAAAAUGAGAAGUUAUAUCGAAAAAUAGCCAUUUAGGGCCGAAACCCUCUUAGGAACCGAACGCUCUUAGAGGGAACCACUCAUCGGAAGCGAACUCGUCAGAAACGAAGCCCCUCGGACCGAACCCUGCGAAUUGAACCUGAACUUCGGGCCCGAGCCUCCACCUUCGGUCCCUUCACCUGCCUUUGAUCCCUCGUCCUCCCUUCUCUUGGUUCUUACCUCCUAAGGGCCGAACCUCGCAGGUUCGCUUCCUUCUCCCGGUUUUCGACUACUUUCGCCUCCUAAGCCCGUUGUUGACGAGAUUUUUUCACCAAAUUCAUAUUUUUACUAUUUUAAACUCCCAGAACUCAUAUUUUACUUAUAUCUCAAGGAUUUGUUAAUUUAAAAUCAUUAUAUUUAGAUUAAGAUGAUAAUUACCCCAUAAGUGGGUCAAGUGUGCCCACUUGCCUUCCAUGUGUCACCCUCUCACUUGUCACCUUAUCCACAUCACACAAACCAAUGCACACAUCACUUCAAACUCACAACUUGCUCCAGCAACUCCCUUAUAUAAAGAAAUCCCUGGAGGAGUUCUUGGUUCAUUUGAUCAUUCCCACACUUUUACACCUUUCUUACUUCACAAAGAAGCUUAUUUUCUCUCAACUUCCAGCCACUUUUGGAAGUGUUCAUACGCUAUUAAUUCAAUUUUUUAUAAGUAUUUCCUCUCAAAUCUAGUGUUAUUCCAUGUUUUCAUAUCAUCCUUGAAUCAUCUACACACAUUCUAACGCCAAAGAAUCGUUCAUAGGAUCAUCCAAGCUUUUACGUGCUCAUAAAGUGUUCUUGACUUGAUACUCCUCGUCUUGACCUUCCACUCUUCCAAGAAUCACUAAAGGUGAGUUCAUACCCCUACAUUUUCUAGUUUUCUUUAGUUUUCAGGGGGAGGAUACAAGUUAAAACACUAAAACAUAUUUGAAACUUAACUUGACAGCUUACAACUGAAAAGUUGUGACCUGUUCACGAACUCUUUUACCCAACUUAAACUUAAUGAUUUUCAAAACUGUUUAAUAUAAAAAUAUUUCAGGUUUAUACCUUUAAAAUGAUUACUUGUACAUCUCUAUACGGUUUUCCUUCAAUUUUUGGUGAUUUUUACAAAACUACCUAUCACUGCAGCAACGAAAUCGGACCGGGUUGUGAAAAUGAACAUUUUCACACUGGUUUGAGACUACCAAAAAUUAUAAGAAACUUUGUGAACAUAGUAGACUCUUUUUCCAAACUCUCUGAGUUUACAGAUUUAGUUUACGACUUACGAUGAUUUUUCUAUAAAUAAUCUAAAACAGUGACAGUUAAGAGUAAAUGUUAAAACAAGUUUAAGAGUUAUUCACACUUUGUAACAUGUUGAGCAAGGUGUGUAGGAGUUUAUACCUAGCAUUUUCAAUGUCAUUUUAUUGAAAUACAAAGUCAUGCAUAGUAAGGUUCCAUUUACAACAUAAAACAUUUUGAUAAAACUAUAAUAGGUAUAGUUUGGACACCUCAAACGGUAAUACUAUCGAGUUAUAAAGCAAGUAUUUUAUUAAAAACUACAUGAACAUGUUAAUGAAUAAAUUUGUGAGACAGUCAUCUUCGGUGUACUCUUUAGUACUACUUAAAAGUCUUGUAAUUAUAGCCAAAAUCUCUUGUAGGGAGAGCGUGAUAGCUGUAUAUAGAUCUAUAUUGGGUUUGACCACCCACACCUAAGCUGUUUGCAACAGCUAGACCUGCAGGUCUGGGGUGACAAGUGUCAUAACAUUCUGACGCAUGAAGAAUGUCGAGUACGAGGUCCUCGAGUCAUAGUAUAGUUAUAACAACUCACAUGGGAAAAUUAACAAACACACUGUUCACGGGAAUUUAAUGAUUUAACGAAAAGGGGCUUUAUUUAAUUAUAAAACCACAUAUAAGUAUGAUGAUUUACUUACAUAUACUAAGUCUUGGGUCUGUUAAGACUACACUAUACCUUUUAGAAAAUAUUGGAUUUUCUGGAAACAAACUUAUAACAAACUUUAAGGAACAACAUGCAUUUUUCAUUCAUAAAUUGCUUAUGAACUCGCCAGCUUUAAUGAUGAUACUCUUUCAAAAACAACUUGUAUUCUCAGGUAAUCAGUAAUACAGAUAACCACAAGACUUUUGAAGGCAAGACGCUAAGGCGUAGAUUUCUUUUGAACUAUUUUGUCAUCAUAUGUAAUUUAUUUGGAAACAUGUAUUUUGCAACGAUGUAACCUUUUAAAUUAUAUUUAUGAUGGUUGUGUUUACUUUCUUCACUAUGGUUAUGAUACUGAACAUGAUGUCCUCCACCCCGAACGUUUCCACCGUUCCGGUUUGGGGGUGUGACAUAAGAUGCGAUUUGUUCCUCUAAUGUGUUGAGAGUUAGACAUCUAAGGCGCCUUACCAAAAGUUGAACAACUAAUGAGAUUGAUCGCGAUCUGUAUCUCAUGUAUAACAUGAUGUCUGUAGCAAAGGGAUAACUGAUAAACUUACCUUAUACACCAAUUGUAGCUUUGAGAUUUUUGGGAAUUGGGCAUUGAUAGAAUGACACAAUGUCGUAUGUUGUUGUGGGAAGUGAAAUGUUGCUAGAUUUUCACCACUGUCUAUAUAAGUCUAAUACGAGUCUUGCGCAAGUGGGAGAUUGAAAGUUCUAGUGUGCUCAAGAGUCAUAUUAAAGUGAUAUUGCUAAUUAACAUAUGAUAAUAAUGGGUCACAAUAACAACAACUUGAUACAACUGAUUAGUUAUUAGAAAUUGAUUUUAUUAAAUAUUCAAUAAAACCCUUAUAAUUAAAUUGGAAAGUAUUUAUUUCAUGCAAAUAAUAAUUUUCAUUAGCAAUUAAUAUUACAUAAUUCAUAUGGUGUGAAUUAAUAAGUCAUGCACAACUUUUUGGACUAGCUGAAACCCUUUUUUCUUUUACUCAAAAGACAAAGUUUGUAUUUUAUAAACCAUGGGUUUAUAAAAUUUAAACUAACUUUCCUCUUUUUUUUAUAAUUUUCGAAAUUGAUGAAAAGAAAGAAAGGUGUGGCUUUUCCAUUAGUUUAUUCAAAAGAAAUAAAGCAUGGGAGACAUGUUUAUGAAAUGGGGACAUAUGUGCUUAAAGUGUUAAGACCUAAUGGUUAAUACUUUCACUUUAUGCAUAUAAAUAAGAGGCUUACAUUCUUGAAAUGUUGAUCAUUCAUUUCCUCCAAAAAACCAUAACAUGCUUAGAGCAUGUUACUUUCUCCCUUUGCUUCUUCAUUUCUACAAGAACACUUGCAUCUUCAUGCCUUCUUUAAGUUUAUAUUCGUUAUGAACAUACAAGAAGAUUGCAUCAUGCAUGGGUUUGAAUCCCAUUUCUUCCAGUCUUUUCCUACUGAACACUUUCCUGCUCAAGAUAGGUUACUAGAAAGGGAUCAUACGAAGGCUAUGUUCUUUUUUUAGAUCUAGCCUGAAUGACUCCUAAACUAAAGGUUUUCAUUAUAUCUAAAGUGUGCAGUGAGGGAUCUUUAUAUUAUAGGUAGCCAGUCUUUACUUCACUCGACCCAAGCAAUGCCCAAAGAGUCCCAUGCCUUUCUUGGUCGGACUAAGCCAACUGGCAAUUUCCGACAAGUCUUUCCUAAUUUUUAGAGCAAGAAGCGAAACUAC
This 90996-nucleotide long non-coding RNA is filed under the name Lactuca sativa (garden lettuce). RNAcentral describes it as "long non-coding RNA (LSAT_LNC004885)". Lineage: Eukaryota; Viridiplantae; Streptophyta; Magnoliopsida; Asterales; Asteraceae. The record is from RNAcentral.